UAGGCAAGUUCUUAGCUGUCUGGUAAAUUUUCCUGACUUUCAUUGGUUGGUGCUGCUGUCCCUGGAGUCUAACGGCCUUGGCAGCUUGUUUCAAGGUGGGGCAAACGCAAUCUGGGUCUUCUGGCGAAGCUCGCUGCAGCACUUCUGGAGUAGCGAGGGUCUCUGCGGGUUCUCGAUGUCGUCUUCCUAAUCGAACUCAUCGUCGAGGGAAGGACCACCACCAUGGCCUUGUCUCAUUUGCUUGCGCAUCAAUCGCUGGCAAGCUCUAAGGUGUUGUUCUUUCUGAAACUCCCUCUGACAUUUCUGUCUUGGGCCUAUGGGGUUGCUGGCGUCAUAGUUCGACGACAGUGCGGUAGAUGGAAGCGUUGGUGAGGAGGAAGCAGAGAGCGAGAGAUGUGCAGACGAGGACGAGUUUGUUCGCCAUUUUUUGCUACUAACUUAGGUAUAUUUUUUGUUUGAGUGAAGAGUGAAAUGAAGGGGUUAUGGGUAUUUAUGGACAAGUGAGGAGUUUGGCAUGGAGAUCACGUGUAUGAAUGCAUGCACAGCAAUAAAAAAAUAAAACAUUUCAUGCAUGUGAUUAUGUGUUAUGUGAGCGCGAAAACACCUCCAAUUUGAUUAUGUGUUAUGUGAGCGAAUGCAUGCACAGCAAUAAAAGGUUGUUUUCGCGAUUAGGUGUUGGAAACUCAAAUUGGAGGUGUGACAAGUCAUGGACAACACCUAGUCUCCGAAAGUUGCACAUAUUAAGAGCAUCUCCAAUGGUGAGAGUCCCCCAUGGGCUCUCACCAAUUGUUUAAACAUAUUUUUUUUUGAAUUUUUAGAUGAGAACUUGGGGUUUUUUUUUUUAAUUUUCAUAGUCUAAUGGUAGUUUCUCUUGUGGGGUUCUUAAAAUUUUUUUUUUUUAAAAUAUUUUGAUUUUGAUGUAAUAUGAUGUUUGGUUUUGAUGUAAUUUGAUGAAUUAGGACAAAGUAAUUGGUGUAAUUAGUGUUUGGUGUUUCAAGAGUUCAUAAUCACAUCAAAAACUUGUCAAAUGCAAAAAAUAGAUUCAUGAUCUACACAUAUUAAACUUGUCAAAUGCAAAACAGAGAUUCAUGAUCUACACAUAUUUUGAUUUGAGUGUCUUGUCUCCUACUUGGCCUAUACAAGACAGAUUUGGUGUCUUCUACAUCAAAAACACAUUCAAAACAAAGCACGUUCAAAUUUAAUAGCAUAGACAAUUCACAAGCAACAUUGAACUUGCCUUCUCCACUGCCUUUCUCCUCUUGGCUUCUCCAUUUGCAGUUCUCCAUUUAUACUCAACAAAAACAGAGAGAAAUAAAGCACAUUAGCAUAAACAAUUCACAUUCAAAAACUAUAUAUUGAUUCAACAACCUAAUCAAACACAACCAACCACACUUUCUAAUUUCUCAACAACCAACAAAAUUGUUAGGCUACAAACGUUUAGAAAACGGAAUCAAAACGUCCAUGAGCUUCUUGAAUCUCUCUUUAGUGCUCUCUUCAAUCUCCUUCAAAAGCUUCUCAUUCCCUUCCUCUAAUUUCGCAGCCAAAGUCUCUAACUCAACUUGAUAAGCUUGUUUCCUCUCUCGAGACCUAGCAGCGGAUUCACGGUUCUUGAUCAUCCUCUUCUGUCUUUGAGCUGCAGCUUUAUCCAUUGCCUUCGUCAUCACUCUCCCUCUCUUUCCUCUCAUUCCUCCUCCUCCAACCAUUGAUCCUUCAAUCAUCUGAAACGAACUGUGUUGCUGCGGCUGAGACAUCAUUGGAAAAUCGAAUGUAUAGCUACCGUCGUUGCCUCCGUCAUCACUCUCCCUCUCUUUCCGUUGUUAACGUUGUUCCGAUCCUUUGUACCAAAACGUGAAGCUUGAAGUUGGUUGUUCUCAGGGCAGACCAUAGGAGUUUAACCUAGCAUUGCCAAACCUGUUAUUUAGAUUAGUGGAUUAGUGGAGUUCACAAUUAAGAAACUGAUUCCAAACAGAAAUAAAGACCUUAAUUCAAGAGCAGCAACAUCAUUAAACUCAGUAUAUGCUUCUAAGGUUAAUAAACUGAAUCAAAUACACCUAGAACAUUACAAUCAAGUACUUAUCAUACAACUAGGCAAGUUAUCGUAUCUCUGCUUCUAAGUUAGUUUCCACGUUUUACCACAAUGUUUUAUACAUAGGUUCAUACAUAUAAAGCUCUCAUGAUUUAGAAUCAAACAAAAACUACCUUUCGAUUACUCCAUCAAGGCAUGAUCUUCUUCCCAAGAAGCAAGAUGCACACACUCACACUAUCACCCACUUAAAGAUCUUGUUCAACACUAGAAAGUAACUUUUCUUUUGACUACUUCAGAAGCAGCUGAAAGAUAUGAUUACAACAACAAAACCCAGCGUUUUUCCAGCAAAUUCUAAAAUGAUGGAACACCCAAGAGAGAAAAAAUAGCAUCUUGCGUGAUGAUAUCAAAGAGUAUCAUCUCCAAACUAGUUUGAGCAAGUUUCAAAAAUCAGUUUGAUCAUCUUCAACCUAAGCUACACAAGAUCAAUUUGCAAAUAGUAAACUUAAAAUUCCCACCUCACAAACAUAUCUACACACAAAAAUUCCAUGAAACCUUAAGGAACCCCAGAAACAACAAAACGAAAACCCUAAUUAUGACAACUAAUUGCGCAAAUCUACACACACAAAAUUGGAGGAUUAACGCAGACAACAAAACACCACCCGAAGCAAGUUUUCCAAUUUCAUGGAGAAAUUGAUAGUGGGGAAAGCUUUAAUCUAAACCUAAUUUAUUAUUUGAUGAUCGAGACGGCGGAUGAUGAUGAUCGAGACAUGAUCACAAAUCUCCUCUGUUUUUGCAGUGGGAGAGAAAGAGAGGAGGAAGAGAGAGAGAAAACACGAACGUCGUUUUUUUGUUUCCUUUCAUAUUAAACGCAUUGACUCACACGACGACACGUCAGCGGCUCUCUCUGAUUCUCAAAUGUCUCUCAAGAGAAUCGGUUCUUUGAUUAUUUAGUAGUUUUGAUUUAUUUUAAUUGCAAUUAAACAAGAGAACCCCACAAUUUUUACUUGAAAACCUUGCUUUGGAGAUGCUCUUAUUAUAUCAUGAAAAAACAAAAAAAAAGUCCAAAUAACUAUAAUUUUUGGUUAUUAGUUAUUAGCAUAUACAAGAGUUAGUAUACAUACUUGCAUAGUCUAAAUGUGAUGUUUUGUAUAUUUAUACUAGCAUUUUUGCAACACUUUGGUGACGGGUGGGUAAAAAUGCUUCUGGGUUAAUCAGAUAUCCGACCCGUUUUUUAAAAUCCUUCACAAAAAAAUUGUUGGAUCGGAUUAUAUUUAACCCAACUCAUACACCGGAUAUUUCAUAUUUAAUAAUUUAGAUAUUUAGAAGAUUUGAUUAAGAUUUAGAAUUAUGAUUCUCCUAUUAUCUUUGUUUGAUUUGUUUUUAACUGUUUUGAAUCAUCAUAGAAUACAUAAAAGUAAAAAAAAAACCAAUUUUUUUUUCUGCAUAUACUGUGAUUCGAAAUUUUUAAAACGGACAUAUAUUAUCUAAUUGACGAAAAUGUGUGUUCAACGUUCUACAUCGAUUAAAAUAUUUAGAUAAUGAUUCAGAAUCAUAUCAUAAAUAAGAUCAACAUUAAUAAAAUAAAUGAGUUUUUUAGCCAGACGGGUUUGGCGGGACGGGUUUUUGAAUCAACAAAUAAUAAAAAAUUAAAAUAUCAUUAAUCUGCCGCUUCAAUACGGAUUAAAUCUUUUUUUUAAUACCACCAAUAUUAGACAUAUUAAAUCAGUCUCAUUUAGAAAAGAUUGUAUAAAACCAAAAAUUGUCCCGUGGUAUAAUGUUACUUAAUAACAAUAUUUAUAAAAUUUAAAUAUCAUUAACAUGCCGCUUUAAUACAUAUUAAAUCUUCAGUUUAUUAAAAUAUAAAUGUCUUAGAGAAUGAUAUGAUUUGUAAACUUUUAUAUAUAAUAAAUAAUCAUUAAAUAUUAAAAUAAAAACAAAUAACGGGACGGGUUGAGAAAUUACGGAACGAGUUAUAUUUCGGAAAAGAUUUAUAUGGCGGACGAAUUUGAAUCAAUAUUUAUAUACCGCUUUAAUACGGGUUAAAUCCUUAGUAUAUUAAUAAUUGUCUCGUGGACUCUUGGUAUACCGUUACUUAAUAACAAUUGUAAACAAUAAUAUAAAUAAAUAUGUUAUAAGGAGAUACAAUUUACAAAAUAUUUUUAUACUAACUUUAAAAUUAAAUCAUCCCGCGAUGUACCGCAGGUUAAAAUCUAGUAUAAUAUUAUAACUUCAAGAAAUCGCUAUUUUGGAUGAACAAGAAAUUAAAACUUUUCCAAAUCACUAGCUCCCGCGACAUGUCAAUCAAUAUUGUUUUGUUCAUAAGUUUUUUAAUAAACAAUACUGUAUUUGUUAUGACAUCUCCUAGUUCGAUCGGGCCUGAAGUAUUGUCUGGUUUAAUUUGGUUUCGGUUUAGUUCGAUUGGUUAAUUUGAUAAAAUCUAAAUUUGAAAUCGAUGUAUAUAUUCUUUUUUCUUUAUUUUUAUUCAGAAUGAAUUUGCAUCUACUAAUCAUAGAGUAGGCUUUAGUAAAUAGGAGACCAGUACUGGUUUAAUAGGACGGCAACAUCAGUAAGCUAGUUAAGUAGUUGCAUAAAAAGAAAUUAAGUAGAUGAGUUUAGUAAUUACAUCGAGGAAUUGGGAAUGAGAUACGUUCUUGCCACCAAAAAGAGAUUCCAAAUUGGUAAGGGCCAUAUCUUCGUUGGGCAGUUGAGAAUAAGUCUUGCCUGAGUCAUUUUUUCGAUCCUUAUUUGGAACUUGAUAAACAAACCUCUCAUUUAUUACGGUGUAUAGUGCUAAUUACAUUAGCCUCAAACAUCCUAAGCUUACAGUUUUAUAAAACACACACGAUGACUGUGUAUAGUAUUAACAUACAUCAAUAGCCACACUCAUGAUCAUCGUGCUAGGGCUUGGAAUCUAGUAGUAAGGAGGGAAGAAAGGGAUGGUGCUCUGGAAGGGACAUUCACCAACUUGCUGGAUUUUGCAAACGUUAGGCAAGUACUUAGCUGUCUGGUAAAUUUUCCUGGAUUCGAAUGGUCCGUGCUGUCCCUGGAGUCUAACAGCUCUAGCCGCCUGUUUCAAGGUGGGGCAAACGCAAACUGGCUCUUCCUGGCGAAGCUCGUUGCAGCACUGCUGGAGUAGCUGGUGUCCCUGCUGGGGGCCCUGUGGGUUCUCCAUGUCGUCUUCGAAAUCGAACUCAUCGCCACGACCUUGCCUUGUUUGCUUCUGCAUCCAUCUCUGGCAAGCUCUUAGGUGCUGUGAUUGCUGGAACUCCUUCUGGCAUCUCUGUCUUGGGCCCAUGGGGUUGGUGGCGUCAUCUUCCUCGAACUCGACGACUGUGCGGUAGAUGGAAGCGUUGGUGAGGAGGAAGCAGAGGGCGAGAGUUGCGCAGACGAGGAAGAGCUUGUUUGCCAUUUUUUGCUAUUUGUGUAUGUUUUCUUGUUUUGGUUUGAGUGAAGAGUGUAGUGAAGGGUUGGUUUUUAUUUAUAGGUGACAAAGGAGAUUUGCAUGGCAAUCACGUGUAAGAAUGCAUGAGUGUGUGUGGAGUCAUGGAGAGAGAGAUUCUCUUACGUUGUUGUCGGGAUUAGGUGUUGGAAAAGAGUGACAAGUGACGAACAAUACCACUCCUAGGCUCCUAGCUCCGCUUCUGCAUGCUAUGUGUGAUUUGUAGCUCAUUUUCUGACAUGACAUUAUGAACGAUUAUAUUUUUUAGAAUUAAGAAGGUAAAACUUUUUUAGUAAAACACACUUUUAAUUUGGUUUUGAUCGAAUGAGAUGCGAAUUCAAUCUUUUGGUGGUAGUGCUGUUGGAAAUAUAGUUUUGUGAGCUUAAUCAGAAACUUAGAAUUUUAAAAUAAAUCUAUAUAGUCACGCAGGCCCGGCUCACUCAUCGGUAAGACCCGGUGCCAUACAAAAAAAAAUCUUAUCUUUAAUAAAAAAUUUAUAUAUAUAUAUAUAUAUAUAUAUUUACAAAAAGUUAUAUUUCAUAAAUUAUUUUGUAUUUUAUAGCUAUUUGGACAUGUUAUUUUUGUUUAUUAAUUUUGGGGCUCAAUAUUACCUUUUAAAAUAAAAUUUUGGGACCUUUACAUAUGGAUAUUGUAUAAAAUUUCAGCAUAAUUAAAUAAUUAAAUAAUAAAAAAACUAUGAAUUUGGACCUUAAAUUUGUUGGACCCGGUGCAAAUGCACCACUUGCACAUGCCAAUAACCGGCCCUGUAGUCACGGUUCACGAACCAUGUAAUAAAAUUUUAUAAAAUAUGAGGGAUAUAUAUUAAAAAAAAAUUCAUAAAUAUUUAACCCUCUAAAUGACUCGUACAAAAAAUACAAACAAUAAGUAAUUUAUCUCUUACAUAAAAUCAGUGGUAAUAAAUUAAAGUUAAGAAAUAAAACCGAAAUAUGUGAGACACACACAUAAUUAGAGGUGUCAAAAACUCAAAAUGCGUCAAAAUUAAACUUAUAGAUUUACCAAAACAUUAUAACCCAAACCGUGAACUACAAGUCAAAGAAAGUAUCAGGAACCAUGUUUUGACUGAAAAUUCAAAAGAGAGAGAUGAAGAGAAUGAGAAGAAGAUAUACAAAAUAUUUUACGAAUUCUGAAUCGAGAGUUAGUACAUCGACUAGUUCAAUCUAGCAAUUACUAUGUUUUUCAUUUCAAAGAGUUAGAAUGACUCAAAGAUAUGAAUGAUACAAAAUCCGAUCCAUAAGACCCAUUAUAUUCUCGAACUUUCCAACCACGUUUAGCUUAAACCAAAGUAAACCCUUUCAAAACCAGACUAAUGGCUCUUUCAGAAAUCUGCAUGCAGCUCUUAACCAGAACUAAUUGUGUUCCCAGAACAACAUCAACACGUUUUUACAAGACAUUGUUUUCUCUGUUUGUUUGAUUGGUAACGUUUUACACUCUUGACCACAAUGGCUAGCCCUUUUUUACAACAAUUGUUAGCGACUAUCGGUCAAACCGAUCAUGUAUGUAAAUUAUAUCAUUUUUGAAUUUCGCUUCCACGGGAUCAUAUCUAAUGUACAAUUAAAUGGCAUGUCUCUUCCACUUGAUGGCGUGCAAAUUCUUGAGGCCAAAAUAGAUAUUAAAACGCACGUGGUAGGGCGGUGGUAACUGGGACUAUGGUGUAAAUACAGACCAGCAUGAUGCUUCAUUCUUAUAGAGAACAAAUUUUCUGCGUGUUGGAUCACUUGGAACUGUGCUUUGGUCAAGUGUUUUAUCCAUGGUGUAGUUUGCCGCACACUCUUGCAAACAAAUUAUUCACCCUUGAAAGUAGUCAGCGCAUAGCCCUAAGUUUUAGUAUGUGUGCAGUGCCGGUCCGGUGAAAUCCGGGGCCAAAUACGAAAAGAAAAAUUGGGGUUUUUUUUAAAAGUAGAAACUGCUAAAAAAUUUUUUUUUGCUAAUUAUGGAGCAUUUAUAAUUUUUAUUUAACAAUUUUUCUUAAAUUUUAAAGAUUUUUUGCUAAUUAUGAGGCCUUUUUGCUAAUUGUGAAGUCUUUUUUUGUUAAUUUUUGAGGCCUCUUUUACUAUUUUGAAGCUUUUUUUUGUUAAUUUUUGAGGCCUCUUUUACUAAUUUUGAAGUCUAUUUCAUAAUUUUAGGGCCUCAAAAAAAAAAAAAAAAAAUUCUUCACAAAAUGAGCCUCGAAAAUUUGAGACCCAAUACAAAUGAUUCACCAAAAUGGGUGAAGGGCCGGGCCUGUAUGUGUACGCGCGAGUCGGUGACUGAACACCAAGUGCUAUACCAAGAAAGAAAUAGCUAGCAUGCAAAAAUGUUCUUUGCAUAUAUCAUAUCAUGCCUGGGCAUUCGGAUUUCAGAUCGGAUUCGGUUCGGAUUUAUUCGGAUUCAGAUAAUUCGGGUAGGAGAUUUUAUUAUCCGUUCGGAUUUUAUGACUAUUCGGAUCGGAUUCGGUUCGGAUAGUAUCGGAUUCGGAUCGGUUUCAGAUCGGUUUUGGAUUGUUUUUCGAGUAAAAAAAACUAAAAAAUGUUCAAUUCAAAUAAAAAAAUAGUUUAAUCUUACUAAAAUUUGGCUAAGUUUUCCAAAAAUAUGUAUAAUUUUAACAAAUAUAACUAAAAACUUUCUGAUAUCUAGGUUAUUUAGGAUAUUUUUGUUAUUUGUUAUAAAAUUAUAGCUAAAUAUAACUAAUAUUUUUGGAUAUAUAAUUUUAUUUUCGGUUUUCGGAUAUCCUUUCGGUUUUCGGUUCAGAUGUGGUUCGAUUCGGAUAAUUCGGAUAGGAGAAUUCAUUAUCUGUUCGGGUUUUGUGACUAUUUGGUUCGGAUUCGGAGCCAGAUUUUUUGGAUCGGUUUCGGAUUGGUUUUCGGAUUUUAUGCCCAGGCCUAAUCAUAUGGAUAAAUGUUUAAUACUUAAGAGUUGAUAAGAUGAUCUAGAAUUAGUUGCAAAUUAUCUUCACCAUAUCUUCAGUUGUGAGAAACAUAUAAUUGAUUGUUAGAGCCUAGAGGGGCACAGUCAUAGAGCAGUUUUUAAUUGGUAUUUUGCUUAACCUGUAAAUUUGAUUGAAAAAUAUUUCGGACCACCUAGAGAGAGCGUAUGCAAGUGAAAAUUAAACAUAAACAAAACUCUUAUUUAUUAAGGACUUGUGCUAAUUACAUUAAUCUCAAACAUCCAAAACUUACAUUUUCAUAAAACACACGAUGAGGUGUGGUGUUAACAUGUAUCAACAACCACACGCUCAUACGCUCGAUGGUUUUGUUUGGAAUCUAGUAGUAAGGAGGGAAGAAGGGGAUGGUGGUCUGGAAGGGGCAUUCACCAACUUGCUGGAUCCUGCAAACCUUAGGCAAGUACUUAGCUGUCUGGUAAAUUUUCCUGGAUUGGAAUGGUCCGUGCUGUCCCUGGAGUCUAACGGCUCUAGCCGCCUGUUUCAAGGUGGGGCAAACGCAAACUGGCUCUUCCUGGCGAAGCUCGUUGCAGCACUGCUGGAGUAGCUGGUGUCCCUGCUGGGGGCCCUGUGGGUUCUCCAUAUCGUCUUCGAAAUCGAACUCAUCUUCACCACCACGACCUUGCCUUGUUUGCUUCUGCAUGAAUCUCUGGCAAGCUCUUAGGUGCUGUGAUUGCUGGAACUCCUUCUGGCAUCUCUGUCUUGGGCCCAUGGGGUUGGUGGCGUCAUCUUCGUUGAACUCGACGACGGUGCGGUAGAUGGAAGCGUUGGUGAGGAGGAAGCAGAGGGCGAGAGUUGCGCAGACGAGGAAAAGCUUGUUCGCCAUUUGGUAUUUGUAUGUGUUCUUACUCGUUAUUUGUGAUGAUGUAAAGAGUGGAAUAAAGUGGUUAAUUUAUAGGUGAAAAAUGAGAUUGCAUGGUGAUCACGUGUAAGAAUGCAUGUGUGUGUGAGAGAGUGAAUUUUUAGAGGAUGUGCAAUGGGAGUCUCUCGUCAUAGUCUCUCACAUAUGUGGAUGUCGGAUUCACACACUCAAGUAUUUUGUUAAGUGGGAAAGAUUAUUCUUGAGGGACAAAAAUGAAUAUGUAAAAACUUAUAAAUUGAUACGAAAAUUGCUAUAGUAUUUCUCUCUUGAGAGGAAGAUCCCCUUUUACAUGGUCAUUGGCCUCUAUAUUUAUACAUAGAGAAACGACAUUAAAAUGAAUAAUUAAGUACAAUUAUUCCUUCUUAAAUGUGUCCGUUUUGAUUCUUCGACUUUAAUGCUCAACGUUUGAAUUUGAGUUGACUCUGAUCUUCAUGGGACUCGCCUUUUUGGCCCAAGUGUCUUUGAACCGACUUACCCGUGUCUUCUACACUGAACUCGUAUCACAGUGCAGUCACUUCGGAUUCUCGAUGUGGUGACAACCACUUCGACCGUCCCCUCGGUUCACGGGUCCAAUGGGCUUCAUCCUUUAUGGGCCACCCGCUUGACUAUGUGGCAAUCUUUGGUUGGUCUCGUACUUCUGGUGCGGGAUCCGACACCAACAAUUAGCCCCCCAAGUUCUUCGAAGUGCUUUUCCAAUUCGGAGGACUUUAAAUGCUCAAGUGGCCAAAGAUUGCGCUCGAGAAUCUUUCUGAUUUCCCGCCGAAAAUCUCAUCACUCCUUUAAUUUUGGCACUAGCCAUUUUUAACCGAGUGACAUCUGUCAUCAUUAUGACCGUAUAUUGAUUAAUUACUAUUAAAACGGGAAAAAACCUUCCCACUUCCCACACGACUUCCGGGCGGUUUCAUCAUUAGCUUGAGGUAACUUCUUUUCACCAUUACUCUCUUCUUUUAUUUUUGUACUUUAAUCAAAACCUCUCUCUUCGUUCCUUCACCAAAACCCCUCUUCGCCGGAUCUUGAAUUUUUCUUUGUUCCCAAUGACUUCCGAUUCUGAUAGACCCGAGUCUCCGUCUUUCGACGAAAGACGUUCUAGUAACGACGAGUGCACCCGCCCUGGUGAUAUUGCCGGUCCGCACUAUAGGUCCGCUUGUACUCUUCAAUCCCUCGAGCGAUUGAGAGAGCUUUGCCGGAUUCCGCCGGAAAUUAUGGCGGAAGCACAAAUAGCUUCCCCCACAGAAUCUCCAGAGAACCAUCGCGAUGGUUACUUCUGUGUGUAUGAGAUUUAUUUCAAGGGUUGCGGGCUGACCUUUCCUCUUCCUGAAGCCUUAGUUUUAUACCUAGCGGCUCUUGAAAUCGCUCUUCCUCAAUUAACCCCCAAUCUUCUUCGUACUAUUCUUGGCCUUAUAACAAUCGCGGCGGAGGCCGGUUACGUUAUCGGAGUUGCUGAACUAAAUGAGCUUCUGAGUGUGAGAAGUUCAUCGAAGAAAGCGGGGUACUUCUCAGCAUAUCCUAAUGCCAACAGGAACAUCAUUUCACAUCUUCCGAACAAGGAUGAAAAUUGGCAUCAUCCUUGGUUUCUAAUUAAGAAAACUCCCGCUUCGAUUGGAAAUCUCGCAUAUUUUCUCCCUUCGAAGUGGUCUGCGAAACCCGGUAGUCAUUAGGUUGCCCGUAUCUUUCCCGGUUGUUUCUUUAUCUUUAUUGACUAACACCGUUGUUUCUUUCGCAGCUUUCAUCGCUUCCAUUCUCCCAUCUGAAGAGUUCAUCGAAUUCUUCAAAAUAAUUCUUGAAGGGGAAACCCUUUGGAAUUCCUUCACUCUUGAACGAUUCCUAGAGGCUAACCACAGACUCAGGAUGAGUCCGCCUGGUCAUCUUCACCAAAUUCCUCCCCCUCCCUCAACUCAGGGAAUGUCAUCUCGGGCCCUUGCGGCCAAGCGUAAGUUGCUUUCCAAGCCGAUGGCUGAGGCUUGCGAGGAGAAGAAAAAGUUUCUCGCGACUUCUAUAGACAAGAAGGACUAUAGUAGGACCUUGCUGGUUGAUGAUGGCAGUACCGAGGGAGCCCGAUCUGUUGCUUCCUUCAGACUAACUCCUCGUCGCGACCGCCGCGACUCACGUUCUCCUCGGAGGGAUCAAUCUCCUCGCCGUGAUUCACCUCGUCCUCCCCGAGAUGAUUUUAGUAACGAGCCAAUUAAGAACUUGGUUCGCCGGAAGAGAGACAAAUCCUCUCGCAGUGAUCCUUCCCCGCAGAGGGAAAAGUCAAGGGCCCGGACUGACCGCUCACCUCGGUCAUCCCCUCCUUCUGAACCAAUGGGUCCUCCACGACCGGUUGACAUGUCCUCCUCUUCCCAGCCUGAUAGUGGAAAGACUGCCCGGAGCGCGUCUCCGAAAAAGGGAGACUCUGAAUCUCGAGAUGCUCCCUCGAGGCUGAAGCCUGCUCUUGUCCCUCAAGUCAAAUCGCUUUCAGGUUUGGUGAUUUACACAUACUUAAACUUUUUGUCUUUAUUAAAAUUCCAAUUUUUACAACUCUUCCUUCUUCGCAGCUAUGGAGAAAGAGGACAGCGUCUUCCGAUGCUUCAAGACCCGAUCGGGUUCGAUCUUACCAGACUUCGACAAAUGGCGUCCUGCAAUUCGUGAACGUUAUUUGCUUCAUGCGCAUCACUCAUCUCGGGUUAGUUCCGCUUUCUUUUAUGUAUAUUUUUUAUUGUAUUGCCAUUCUGCGAACUGACUCGUCAUCCCGGGUUCAUGUAUAACGCCAGGCUCAUAGCGAAUUUAACGACAUGAUCGAACAUUACGAAGGGUUGGUCAUUGGCCGGGAGAAGGAGAUUGACAUGUGGAAAAAGAAACUCUCUGCCCUUGAGGCCGAACUCAGUUCUUCUGCCGGCUCCAAGCACGAUCUGGAGGACAAAGUCGACAAUUUAACAUCCGAGCUAGCGCAGAUAAAGGGGGAGCUGCAGGGUCAGUACGACCAGAACUUCAAACUCCAGGAAGAGUUUUCUGGUAUUCAAGGUAGGCUUCAAGAGUCCGAAUCAAACGCUGAUUCCCUGAACAACCAACUCAUCGAGCUCAACGCGAAGUACAAGGCGAUCGCCAAAUUGCGUGACUCCGAGUUGGCGAGGUCAGCAUCAAAAGCCAGAAAAGAGGUUAAGGGACGCGGGAUGGAGUUGAUCCAAGGGGCCAUCCGAUUCAUGCAGACUGAGAAGGCUAGGUCUGACUUGGAAUCAGACAUCAAGGAGCACGAGAGCAACCUGAUCCUGCUGGAUCAAAUCCAUGAUGCAGAUUUCUCCGAGGAUCAAGAGAGAACCGAACUAUCGGCUAAUCUUUCUGAAAAGCGGAGUCGCUUGGCAGCUCUUCCUACUUCGACCUUCAACCCUCAGGACUUCGAGGAAUUCUUCACCGAAUCGCCUCCUAUAAGCGAAUCAGGUCUAGACUGGGCAGGUAAUGCUUGGCUCCUGAUAUUUAUUACCUUUCCUUUUCUUGCACCUUUGAUUGACUGGAAUUAUUAUUCCUAGGCUCAAGUGAGGCGGAGGACGUUGUCCCGCCCGUAGCUCCUAUGGUAUCGGAGGUCACUCCGGAGGUUGGUUGUACCGCGGAGGGUGGUCAGGGAGCUUCAUCUGAUCAAGCAGCUGCCAAGGACGCGAAUGAAGCUUCGACUGUUGAGCCGGACUCCGAGGUGGCUGCUGCUCCGUAGUGGCUGUGUCCACUUUAAAUUGGGGAUUGUCCCUUUAUUUUUAAGAUUUAAUUUCAAACUUAUUUUUGCCUAAGGAGGCUUUAUUAUUUUCUUUUGAACAAGAUAUUUGCCUGAGGAGGCUUUUAAACCUUUCUAGGUUGUGACCCAAGGGGGUUUGGUUAAAAUUAUAUGCGGGUUUGCAAAGUCCGCUUUUAACCUUUUGUGGCCUUGUGGCUAUGCUUUUGAGAUAUUUAGGCUGAUCAGACCUUUCUCUUUUAGAAUGCGAGAACUGAGCCCGGCUUAAAACGAGUUCCCCACUUCGGGUUUAGUCAACUCGAUAAACUUGUUGGGCUUGGGCCUUAGAAACUUUUGCAGUUAAUGCGACGGUUGCUCUUUCCCUUCUUAAAGAAAACGGCUCGUCUUUUAAUGUAAUAAUUGCCUUUUCUCGAUUUUCCAAAAAUGGUUUAACCCACUCGGAAACGCUACCAUUAAUGGAUUUAUGGUUCCAAGACAAACCCUAAAUCAUUAUAAAUAAAGGCUUACCUACCUCUAGGCUUUAUUAAACAUGACUCUAGAGUCUUACUUGAGAAAUAUUUUAAGAAUGGAGAACGAAACAGCAGCCCCCGUUGAUCCCGGCAGUCCACUCUUCUUAUCCGGCGACGGCUUUGAACCGGCCGGCGUUCUCUUCCCUCACGCCGUCUUUCACUUUCCUCCGAAGGAGAAGAAAGAGGCUUGCGAUUUUAUUGACAAGGUAAAUGUUAGAGUUUUUGGUUUAAAACUUCUUAUUUCGUUUUAUUCACUCAUUUUUAUGCUAGGUCGCCGACAAGCACCGUCGCUUGUGUGAAGAGAGGCAGCGGCUGGGACUCAAAAGGCAGACGCUCGAGGCUCGCAUCGCUCGGGUGGAAAGGAAGAUACGGGCUUUGGAGAGUGAUCCCUUUCAAUGGGAGUGGCGGAACUUCGAUUCUGUUGCUGAGAUCCCGAAGAUGCUUCAGAUGUAUCUCCGCGCUAGAGGAGUCCCGGGUCCCGUGAACGCCCCUGUCUUCGCCGUUCCAUCCGACAGUGAAGAGGAAGAGGACUUGGAGGAGGAGGCCAGCAACUGCCGGAAACGCGUUCGGGAUCGCUCCGAAGUGGAUGCCAAAAACAAGGCGUCCACUUUGAAGACUGAACCGGCGAUGAAGGAGCCUGUUCCUGAGCCUCUCCCAUAAAUGUUCUCUAAUUUCUUCACUUCUUCUUUUUUUUUUUUUUAAACUCGUAAUGGGCUUCGCCCCCUUUUUAUUUAUGGAAAUAUUUGCUACUUUCCUUUCUUUCCAAAUAUUCUUGGAGAUGCGUCUUUUAAUGCAGGAUCCGUUCGAGGGCAUAAAUCUCUCCGCGAAUCAUUCCAUUCCUUGGAUAGAAUCCGCAGCUUGCUAGGGAUAUGGAGUUCCUAUAAAUUAUAGGUUCAAUUCCCCUUUACUCCUCACCACUCUUUUUUUUUUAUUUUAGCAGGUAUGGAGUUCAAUCUACGCUGUUCAGAAUCUAUGCCCGACUUCUCCAGAAUCGGAAUGAUGAAUGAAGAUGUUCCAAGUGAGCCCAACAGGCAGCCUCCUCCACUUCGUGGCUUCUUGAGAUCUCAAAUCCGAGCCCCAUGUGCUUUGAUCAGGGAUCUCCCAAUCAGAGACCAAGGAACGGCGACGGUGUUCAUUGAGGCGCUCAAGCUUCAACACCGGAAGCUUACGUCGGAAAAGAGGAGACUUCGGAAGAGGAUUAACCGAAUGCAACGCAGGCUUACUACAGUGUCAAGAAGUCUUCACAUCCUUGAAUCUCACCCCGGAGAGUGGAUUGAGCUUGGAAUUUCUGACUUUGCUCGAAUUCCGGACUGCAUGAUGCCGAUCCUUGAUCUUGCUGGUCAAGGAGUUGAAGUGUUCUGCUCAUCAACAAGAUUUCCAUAAUCCGAAGUGUACGAUGAAGGACAUUCUGUUUUUUUUUUUUUUUUUUUAAAUAACGCUCUAUUUCCAAUUCCUUGUAUGUUCGUUUAGCCGAACCUUCUAUUUGCUUCACUUGUUCGCACAGUCGAACCUUUCUCCUUUAAUAAAGAAAUAAAACAAAUUUUUAUUAAUAGCUGAACUCGUUUUCGAGCUGCCUACGUACCCAUCUUGGGAUCAAGCCACACCGUAGUUCAUGUACAUAAACAAUGCAUGUAGCUUUAAACAUAAAAUUUCUUUAGGUUGAUCACAUUCCAAGGUCGCUUGACUGGAUUGUCUUCUAAGUCUUUCAACCUAUAAACACCGUUCCGAACCACUUCGGUAAUAAUGUAAGGUCCUGCCCAAUUAAUACCGAGUUUACCGGCGCCUUCUUCUUUUCUGUUAUCAAAGACGCGCCUUAAUACAUAAUCUCCCACGAAGAACGGCCUACUUUUAACCUUAGAAUUGUAAUACCGGGCUGCUGCCUGUUGGUAAUUCUGGAUCCGGACUAGAGCUUGAUCACGCCUUUCAUUUAUGGUAUCCAGUGAAUCAUUAAGCAUUGCUGAAUUUUCUUCCUCAUUUAACGGUGCUUCUGUUCGACGAAGUCCGGGCACAUUGAGUUCAGCUGGUACUACCGCCUCCAUGCCAUAAACCAAAGAGAAUGGAGUUUCUCCUGUAGGUCGCCUAGGAGUCGUACGAUAGGCCCACAGGACGGGUUGGAGUUCUUCAUACCAUCCUCCCUUUAGAUGACUUAAGCGUUUCUUGAGAUUGCUUAAUAUUGUCUUGUUCACGGCUUCAGCUUGUCCGUUCCCUUGCGGAUACCGUGGAGUAGAAUAACUAACUUUGAUUCCCCAGUCCGCACAAAAGGCAUCAAACUCGUGUGAAAUGAAUUGUGGCCCGUUAUCAGUGACUAUUUCGUAUGGAACUCCAUGUCGACAUAUAAUGUUUUUCCAAAUAAAGGUCUUCACCGCCGAAUCCUUGAUACCAACAUACGCCUCAGCUUCAAUCCAUUUUGAAAAGUAGUCCGUAAGGACUAAAAGGUACUGUACACCUCGAGUUGAUUUGUGCAAUGGCCCAAUGAUGUCCAUUGACCAUCUCAUAAACGGGUAUGGGGCGGAAAUGGAGGAGAAUAAUUCCGACGGUUGAUGGAUCAAUGGUGCAUGGAGUUGGCAGCGCUUGCAUCUUUGGGCGAACUUAACACAAUCUGUGAUCAUAGUGGGCCAAAAAUACCCCAUUCUUUUAACUUUAAAAGCCAUAGCUCUUCCUGAUGAAUGACUCCCACAUAAUCCUUCAUGCACCUCGCUCAUGACGAUUUCUUCGGGCCCAAAAAUGCAUAAUAGGUAAGGGUCACUGACACCUCGUCUAUACAACGCAUCCUUUGACAGACAAAAUUUUGCGCUAACGACUUUCAUUUUCCUGGCCUGUCAUUUAUUCUUUGGGAGCUCACCUGUCAUGAUGUAGUGCUUUAUUGGCUCCCUCCAAUCAGCCCCCCAGUCUUUAGCCGGAAUUUGAUCAACUUUUUGGAAUAUUCGUGGCUCUGGUUCGGGAUGCUCGUUUGGUUCAAGAACAUCUUCCUCGAUUAAUGGCUUGGUUUCUAACAUCGUUUCUGGAACCACUUCUUCAGCUAAGACAACGGGUUCCUUGUUAGAUGUAUUUGAUCCCUUUGACUUCCUGCGUUUGUUGGGUGGCGGUUCGAUCUCUGGUUCGCCACGGUUGCGUGCCGCUGCUCGAGACCUUGUAACGACGAGGGUUUCCUUGCUGUCUUGAAUGCUUCGCUCCGAGAUGCACUCUACUGGAAUAACUCUCUUUAACUCAGGAUAUGAUGUUGACGCCAAUGCGGCAAGUGCAUCUGCAGUUGUAUUCUCUCCCCGAGGUAUGCGGAUUAACUCGAAUUUCGAGAAAUUUUUAGAUAGAUCCUUCACCACUUCGAGGUACGCUUCCAUUCUUGAAUCUUUGGCUUCAUAGUCUCCAUUAAAUUGGUUAACUACUAAUUGCGAAUCGCAAUAAGCCAAUAUUUCCUUAGCUCCAACUCCUUGUGCUAGUCGAAGUCCGGCAAUAAGGGCUUCGUAUUCUGCCUCGUUGUUGGAGGCAUUGAAUAACAAUCGGAAUGAUUGUUCUAGAAUUUCUGAUGUCGGAGAUUCCAACCUAAUUCCCACUCCGGAUCCUUGCUUUGUUGAAGACCCAUCUACGUGUAAUUUCCAAGUUUGGUUCUCCGGUUGAUCUAUCGUUCCAGGUAUUGGUAGUUCGGUCAGGAAGUCUGCUAAGACCUGAGCCUUCAUACUGAUCCGGCUUUUGAACUCUAUGUCGUACUCGCUUAAUUCCACCGCCCAUUUCGCCAAACGUCCGGAUUGACUUGGACUAUGAAGUAUUGUUCUGAGUGGUUGGUUAGUUAAUACUUCAACCGGAUGGGACUGAAAAUAUGGACGCAGCUUCCGAGCCGAAGUUACCACCGCGAGUGCAAGUUUUUCCAUCAUUGUGUAUCUGGUUUCCGGAUCCGUCAUUGACUUGCUCACGUAGUAAAUUGGUUUCUGCUCCCCACGGUCUUCCCGAACCAAGACUCCACUAACCGCGUGGUUUGAAACUGAAACGUACAAGUAGAGUUUUUCAUCCACUUCCGGUUUGGACAGUAUAGGUGGAGUGGUUAAGUAUGCCUUAAGCUGCCCAAAAGCUUCUUCACACUUCUCAUCCCAAAGAAAUCCUUUGUUCCCUUUUAGAAUUUGGUAGAAAGGCAACGACUUAUCUGUUGAUCUCGAGAUAAAACGAUUCAAGGCCGCAAUCCGCCCAGUCAACCGUUGUACUUCUUUGAAGUUUCUCGGAGAUGGCAUGUUUAGAAAGGCGUUAAUUUGAUUUGGAUUGGCUUCAAUCCCUCUUUCUAUCACGAUAUAGCCAAGGAAUUCUCCGGAUGGGACUCCAAAUGUGCACUUCGCCGGGUUCAGCUUCAUUUGAUAUUUAUUGAGAAUAUCAAUACAUUCUUCCAAAUGUUUAACAUGAUCUUCUUUCUUCAACGAUUUAACCAACAUAUCAUCUAUGUAGACUUCCAUAGUCUUCCCGAGGUGAUUGUGAAACAUUUUGUUCACCAACCGUUGGUAAGUCGCUCCUGCAUUUUUCAAUCCAAAAGGCAUUACCUUGUAACAGUAGAUACCUCUAUCUGUGAUAAAUGACGUCUUUUCUUGAUCGUCGGGGUUCAUCAUUAUCUGAUUAUAACCCGAGAAGGCGUCCAUGAAUGUUAACAGCUCAUUUCCAGCGGUGGACUCUACAAGUCGAUCUAUAUGCGGGAGCGGGAAACUAUCUUUGGGACAUGCUUUAUUUAGGUCUGUAAAGUCGAUGCAAACCCUAUCUUUCCCAUUCUUUUUCUUGACAACGACAGUGUUUGCUAUCCACUCCGGAUAUUGCACUUCUCUUAUGGACCCCAUCUUCAAAAGAUUAUCCACUUCGUCGUUUACUAUUUUUGCCCGCUCCACUCCAAGCUUUCUUCUUUUUUGUUUCACCGGUUUGAAGCUUGGAUCUACGUUUAGUUCAUGACAAAUUAUACUCGGAUUUAUGCCCGGCAUGUCCGCUGCAGACCAUGCAAAUGAUGCUUUGUUUUUCCUUAAGAGUUCGAUCAAAGCUUCUUUUAUUUGGCCAGUCAAAGUUGCUCCAAUUCUAAUUUUCCGGUCCGGCUUGUCUUCUUCCAGUACCACUUCGACUACUACAUCCUCUUUUUUCUGCCCACUAGGAAAUUUUGUUUUUAGUCCUUCUUUUGCGGGCUUCGUUAAUUGCUAUUGAAUCUUCAUACGGUGGCUAGCUAAGUAACAAGUCCGCGAAGCUUCUUGAUCUCCCCGAAUCGUUUCCACCCCAUUUGAUGUUGGAAAUUUGAUACAUUGAUGGUAUGUAGAGGGGACUGCUUUCAUCCGAUAAAUCCAGGGAGUCCCGAGGAUGAUGUUGUAAGCUGCGGGCUUAUCGAAGACAACAAAGUCCACGAUCUUCGAUACCUUCUUGGCAAGGACCGGUAGCUUGAUUGUUCCGAGAGAUAUGGCUGACUCGCUUGUGAAUGCAACUAACGGAGAUGGGGGUCCUACUAUGUCUCCUCGGCUGAUUCCCAUUUUUUCUAGAGUACUUAAAAAGAUUAAGUCAACCAAACUGCCUGUAUCUAUAAGGAUCCUCGAUACUUCGAAGUUGGCGACAUCAAGGGUAAUGACUAGAGCAUCAUCAUGAGGCCUUUUGAGGUACCGCGUUUCUUCUUCAUCGAAUGAUAUUGAUGCACCUUGAAAAUCGACUUCUUCGCUUAAGCUUGCUUUGAGUAAGACAUUUCGUCUAUGCUUUUUGAUUGAACUUAUUGAAUCUCCGCAAAAUCUGGAUCCCCCUAGAAUCACAUUGAUCUUACCCUUAGAACUCCUUGGUUCUUCCUCGUUGGACAAUCUUGGUCUUUUGGAAUUUUGAUCUUUGGAGUUUUCCCUUGCUUCGUGGUAUUCCUUCACAAAAUCUUUUAUAUCGAAUUUAGAAAGAUCGCCACUAGCCCAAAGCUCUGCGAGGUGCUUUUUAAGAACGCUGCAAUCCUUAGUUAAAUGUCCGGUUACUUUAUGAAUGUCGCAAUAUAGACUUUCAUCACGGACCCAAGUGUUUGAUCUCCCUUUCCCUUGGAAUUGCUUUCCAACGGUACUGUUGAAGGGUUGCGACCCAAAUUUCCUUGGUCCUUUGCUUUCCCUAGGCUCGAACUUCUUGGCAGGGACGGUGAUUGCUGGCUUUUCUUGCUUACUUCUUUUGGCGAAACUUUCUUUUUCGUCCUCUACCUCCAUCCAAUUGUUCGCGCGAAAGAGUGCAUCCUGAAUUGUGUCUGGUUUAUGAAGUAUUAAGUCUUCUUUAAACUUUGAAUCAUGUCGCAAUCCUUUUCGUAGGGCAGAUAAAGCUGAUUGCUGUGAGAUUCUUGGGAGUUUUGACAGCACUCCUUUGAAUUUGGUGAUGAAAACUCGAAGUGACUCACUAGAUCCUUGCGAUAAGUUCCAAAGAUCAGCAUCCGAAACACUUUUAUCCAUAAGAAUGGAGUAUUGCUUUAAGAAUACGGCUGAUAGUUCGUCGAAAUUGCUGAUCGAACCUGGCUCUAAUUGGGUGAACCACAUUAGAGCUUGGCCACACAGAUUCUCCGAAAAAAGCUUGCAGUAACCUGCAUCCUCAUCAGCUUCAUCCAAUUCGACUCUUCUAGCAGCAAUCAGAAAAGCUGCGAGAUAGCUUUUUGGAUCCUCCAAUCCGCUGUAAGGGUCCAACUUGAGUUUCCGGGAAUCUUUGAUCCUCAAACUUGCAAUUCGCGGGAUAAAAGGGGUUCGCCUAGCUUCUUCAAUGACUGGAUUGAUGUCUGGCUCCGAACUUGUAGCCUGAUAAAAUUUUGAUUUCAUUUCUUUUAAUUCCUGGCUAACCUUCCUCAUGGUCUCGAACUGGUCGAGGUUCUCCUGCUCGUACUGAGCUGCAAGUUGUUCUUCAUCCCCGAGCUGCAUCUCUUCUUCCGACGUCUGAGCUACAUUAUUAGUAGCACCGGGAGUUGUUUGUCCGCUGGUUUCAUUUCGUGCAGCGGAACUUGGCGAGUUGAAUAUCCCUCUUCGGGUUCCCACCGGGUUUCCUGCACUUAAAGAGCGAACACGAGUUUGUAUAUUAUUGACGUUUUGACUAAGAGAUACCUGGGAUGUUUGCAACGUAUCGACGGCCUUCUCCACAUCCGAGAACUUUUGUGAUAUGUCCGACAUGGUUUGCUGCAUAGCUUUGAGGGUUUCGGCCAAUGAUGUCUCAACGGCGUCUCCUCCGGACAUUGUCGCUUAUCUCGGAAAUGUAGAAAAGAAGAAAUCUGACCACUCAAGAAUCCUGAUAUCCCCACAGGCGGCGCCAAAAUGUGGAUGUCGGAUUCACACACUCAAGUAUUUUGUUAAGUGGGAAAGAUUAUUCUUGAGGGAUAAAAAUGAAUAUAUAAAAACUUAUAAAUUGAUACGAAAAUUGCUAUAGUAUUUCUCUCUUGAGAGGAAGAUCCCCUUUUACAUGGCCAUUGGCCUCUAUAUUUAUACAUAGAGAAACGACAUUAAAAUGAAUAAUUAAGUACAAUUAUUCCUUCUUAAAUGUGUCCGUUUUGAUUCUUCGAUUUUAAUGCUCAACGUUUGAAUUUGAGUUGACUCUGAUCUUCAUGGGCCUCGCCUUUUUGGCCCAAGUGUCCUUGAACCGACUUACCCGUGUCUUCUACACUGAACUCGUAUCACAGUGCAGUCACUUCGGAUUCUCGAUGUGGUGACAACCACUUCGACCGUCCCCUCGGUUCACGGGUCCAAUGGGCUUCAUCCUUUAUGGGCCACCCACUUGACUAUGUGGCAAUCUUUGGUUGGUCUCGUACUUCUGGUGCGAGAUCCGACACCAACAACAUACAAAAGUAUUAAUAAAAUAAUCAAUAUUCUUAUUUAAAUAUAAAAGUCUCUUAAAAAAGUCGAGAUAGUCUCUCACUUGAAAUAUUAUGAAAGACUUUCUUUACUUUUUUGAAAGACUCUUGUAUUUAAAUAAUAAUAUUGAUUAUUUUAUUAAUACUUUUAUAUGUGAAAAAUUUUGGUGAGAGACUUCUAUUACACAUGCUUUUAGGUUUUUAUCGCGAUUAGGUGUUGGAAGAGAGUGACAAGUGACGAACAACUCCAGCCUCUGCGUCUGCAUGCUAUAUAUGUGUGAUUUGUAGCUCAUGUUCUGACGUGACAUCUUGUGAACGAUUUUUAAGAAGAAGCCAAAAAGAUUAUUAAAACAGAAAUACAGAAUUAAUUUGGUUUCAGCGGAAUAUGUGAGAGUCAAUCUUUUGGUGGUAUAGUGCAAUUGGAAAAUAUGUUUUGGGAGCUUAAUCUGAAAUGUAGAUGUUAGAAAAUGAUUCUAUAUAUAUAGUCACGGUGCACGACCCAACAGUGUUAUAAAUAUGUAAAUGAUCAGGGAAUACAACUCAGAAGACUAAAGUAUUAUUUUAUAGAGAAAUUGGCCAAAAUGGCUACAAAAUAUAGUGAAAUCGAAAAAGAAAAAAAAAAAAAGAAAUCGAAAUUAUAGCAUAGUGACAAAUUGAGACUUUUUUUUAGAACAAAUUGACUCAUAUCUCUAUAACAUUAACAAUUUAUAAAAAAGGUUGUGUAUAUACUAUAUAGUAGUUUUCAAUGUGUUUAUCGGUGUUUAAUUUGUAACCUGCGAUGCGAAUGUCUAGUAAAAUAUUUCGGGAAUUAUCUCAAUUUGUUCUUCUCUUUGGUUCAACUUUUAUCCGGUAUUUUUUACUCUUUUUUGACUACACGUUUUAGGUCCAUUAGACCAUCCUUAUUGCAAGGUUCUUAACAUGGUUCUUAAAGAAAUUGAGAUUAAAAUUAAAUGUUUAAUUGUUGAUUUUGGUAAGAAAUGGCUCUUAACUAAGAGUCAAAAUUAAUGUUAAGAGACGGACACGUGUCGCGUUUCUCUUUCUUCUCCUCCUCUCUCUCUUUUUCGAGAUUUUUAUUCUUUUAGCGACAACGGAGGCAAAAUCCGGCUCUUAUUUGGGAUAAGACAAAAAUAGGCAAUAUUAUGCAAGCAUGUAUAAUACUUCAUAAUAUGAUAGUAGAAGACGAACGAGAUGGGUAUACUCUGUUUAAUGUAACCGAAUUCCAACAAGCGGAAUCUGCCGGAAGUUCACAGGUGGAUUUCACCUAUUCUACAGAAAUGCCUACAAAUUUCGUCGAAAUGAUGGCCGCUAGAACUCGAGUUCGAGAUCGAGGUAUGCAUCAAGAAUUGAAGAAGAAUUUGGUCGAGCAUAUAUGGACUAAAUAUUCCAGAAAUCAAACUUAAAUUUUUUGUGCUUUAUGUUAUGUAUGUUUUAAAUUGUAUCUCAUGUAUGUUUUAAAUUUUUAAAUUUGCAACAAUUAUUAAGUUUUAUAAAAUUUUAGUUUUGUUUAAAAAAAAAAAUUUCUAAGAACCAUAUGCUAAGAGACUACCAUUGGAGAUAAAUAAAAUUUGAAAACAAAAUACAAGCUCUUAAGUAAAAUUUUUACAAUUUUAAUACUAAAAAAUUACUAAGAACCAUCGGUGAGCUACUGCCUUCAAAAAAUAACUAAAUUUUUUCACUACGAAAAAAAUCUCAUCAAAUCAUUUUUCAGAUGGACUAUUCAUAAACCAAUCUCAAACUCUAGUUAUAGUAUAGUCGUUUAUGGUGUCAUACCAUUCAUAAACAAACUGUAUACCAUUCUCAUAUAGAUUAUCAAUCUCAAAUCGAAGAUUGUACAUCAUUUCGUUUAUGCAAGUUAUAGUUUUUUGUUCAUUUAUAUGCUUCGUUAUAGCUUUUUAAAGAAGAAAUUUGGACACCAGUUUUUUAAAAUGGUACUUUUAGCCACAAAUUAAUAAUUAAAAACAUUUUUUUUUUUUUGACAAAGACAUGUAUACCAUUUGUUAAAGUAGCAAGAAAGAUCAAACUGCAAAUUCAUUCCCUUGGUCUCUACGCACUUGAAGUCUUAAUUAGUUACAAUUUACACAUUAUAUCUCUGAUGAGUAGUAGUCUAUGAUCUUUCCGUGGAGCAGUAGCCUAUGAUUUUUCCCGUUCAUUGUAGUAAAGUUAUUUUUAUCUAACCGUCAUGAAUUUUUAGAGAGCAGCAGCAAAUUAAAUUUAGCAAACCAAAAACAUAAACAAAACUCUUAUUUAUUAAGGAGUAGUGCUAAUUACAUUAGCCUCAAACAUACUAAAGCUUACAUUUUCAUAAAACACAAGAUGAGGUGUGGUAUCAACAACCACACUCUCAUACGCUUUGAGAGUUUUGUUUGGAAUUUAGUAGUAAGAAGGGAAUGAAGGGAUCUUGAAGGGGCAAACAUCAACUUGCGGGAUGUUGCAAACUUUAGGCAAGUUCUUAGCUGUCUGGAAAAUUUUCCUAACUUGCAUUGGUUGGUGCUGUCCCUGGAGUCUAACGGCCCUGGCAGCUUGUUUCAAGGUGGGGCAAACACAAUAUGGCUCUUCCUGGCGAAGCUCGUUGCAGCACUGCUGGAAUAGCUUCUCUUCCUGCUGGGGGCCCUGUGGGUUCUCCAUGUCGUCUUCGAAAUCGAGCUCAUCGUUACGGCCUUGCCUUGCUUGCCGGCGCAUCAAUUGCUGGCAAGCUCUUAGGUGUUGUUCUUCCUGAAAUUCCUUCUGGCAUUUCCUUACUUUUGGGCCUAUGGGGUUGGUGGCGUCAUCCUCGUCGAACUCGACGAUGGUGCGGUAGAUGGAAGCGUUGGUGAGGAGGAAGCAGAGGGCGAGAGCUGCGCAGACGAGGAAGAGUUUGUUUGCCAUUUUUUUUUGCUAGUUGUGUAUGUUUUCUUGUUUUUGGUUUGAGUGAAGAGUGUAGUGAAGGUUUGGUUGGUAUUUAUGGGUGAGAAAGGGGACUUGCAUGGAGAUCACGUGUAAGAAUGCAUGCAUAUGCUUGUUGAACUUGGUCUGCGGCAUAUAGAAGCUAUAUGAUUGUUGUCGUGAUUAGGUGUUGGAAACUCAAAUGUGGAGGAGUGACAAGUUUCCGCGUCUACAUGCAAUAUGCAACCAUGCAUGUAUGAUGUGUAACUCAUGUUCUGACAUGUCAAUUAUUUGGAAAUGACCGGGUGAGAGUCAAUUGUCAAUAUCGAAAAAGUUGGCAGUCUUUGGAGUUUGUAAAUAACUGUUUUUUGGAGGUUAAUUCUGAAAUGUACAUAAGGUUUUAGCAUCUUGAAGAAUUAGUAUUUCACUAAUAAUUUCUUAUACCCGCAGGUCACGGCCCAUUGGAAUAUUGGAUGAUGUUAUGACAACAUAUGGGGAAAAUGUAAGCUUGAUAAUUUUCCACUCCAAAGUAAUGUAUGUCUAGCAGAAUUUAGCGGACGAUUGUGUAAAUAUCCUCUUAAUAGCCUACACAGCUGUGGUCUAGUGGUAAGAGAGAAUUGGGAAAAUGUUGGAAGGAACUAACCCAGGUUCGAUCUACCCUGGAAACAAAAAUCACAUUUGUGUGAGAAGUCUGGGUUUGGGCUUUGGCCCAAGCAAUUCACAUGGUAUCCGGGAUUAGGCUAACUGGAUACCCCGGGCAUUAGUCGGACAGCAUUCCAAACUCGGGGUUAGGCAGUGUGGUAGUCCAACACCUAGGUGUUGGCGACGAGUCCACAUGGUAUCACUUCGGUGCGUUUCCGCCAGAACUGACCAGAUCAUCCGAUCGGGUAUAUAUAUAUAUAUAUAUAAAAUAUCCUCUUAAUAAGGCAAACUAGUCCUCUCACGUCUCACAGUGACAAAACAUUUCUAAACUAGUCCAACUUAACUUAGUAGCGAGUGUAGUACGGAUACGAGUAGUUGGUUAUUCAUUCAGGUAUCAAAUGGGGUACUUUUAUGAUUCACAUAUUUGAAUACACUAUGAACUAUCGCUAAAUCGGAUAAAAGUUAGAUUUUGAUUAAGAAAUCUCAUAUUUCGGAACACUAAUUUUUCCACAAAUGCUUAACAAUCGAUUUUUUUUUUAUCGAAAACGAACGAAUCUUGGUUCAAUUCGGUACCAAAAAUAUCAUCUCUGAACCGAACCAAAAUCUACCACAUCGUAACUAAAACAAAGCUUUGUUUCGUUCGAACUGGUAAAAAGAAAAAAAAGUACCAAACCGAAAAUUGAAAUUCCAAAAUUUCCGAUUAACCGGAAAUCCUAGCUCUAACCAUAAAAUAAAAUAUAUAUAAAAAGUUGCUAAAGAGACUGUGAGACAAAAAUAUAUUUUCCUCUUCCUCUCUCAUAAACAGAAGUUGCAGACUUUAUCCGAAUUUAGGGUUUCAUCAGCUCGUUCUCUCUUCUCCGAUAAUCAGAUCCACGAAACUCUACUUUUCGGAUCAGGUAUAAUUUGUUCUUUUUCUAUUCGCGUUUGUUAUGUUCUUAUAAGCUGAUUACACGAAUUGCUUCUCGCUGUUUCUUCGAUUUCGGUAUUUUCGAGGUGAAGUUUGUUUUCAUUUUCCGAUCCAUAAUUUUGGAGUUUGUGAUUGAUUUGUUUUCGUUCAUCAGCUGGGUAAUAUCGUUUACGAAUGUCCCUGUAGACUGUACGCGAGAUUUUGUUUAGGAUCUCAUCGGAUUUGCGGCUGACUUUAGAAAGUUGGAUCUUGCUUUGAUCUGCUGUGAAAAUUAAACGUCAAAUCAUGUAAUUGAGCUAGAUCUGCUUAAUUAGAAUCCUGGGAUUUGGACGACGAAUCAAUUUGAUGAAGAUGAUAUCUUGCUCAUUUCGAAUCUUAUGUUGCAAAUGGUACUUCUGGAGUUGGUUUCUUAGUUGGGGUUGUAGUUUCUCAUCUGGUUUAUGUAUCAUUAGUCUCUAGAUGAGCAUGGCUCGUAUUGGAAUUGUGUGUGUUUAUUGGUUGUUAUCGUGUUAUGUGUUUCCUUCAGUUCUUUGACUGUUUUCUAAGACCUAGUUAAUAAUCAUUUUGCUUGUAUGGACGUUGUGGUUUAAUACUUGCAUCUUCUAUUAUGUGUGCUUUAUCCUUCUGAGUGUGCCAAAUUCUUUUGUGACGUUGGCUUUCUUGUUCAGGUCUCAGCUUCUUUAUCGUUUGCCCCUCAGAUCAACAAAGUUUCAUGUCUGAACUUGAUUCCCAGGUCCCUACUGCCUUUGGUAAGUGUCAAUCAUACCAAUGCUUUAAACUCGAUCUAUAAUACAUCAAAGUAACUUUGCUUAUUUGUCUCAAUAGUUCGUAUAGACAUAUUUCAGAUGUUUGGUAGCAGUUCUGAAUUUUGAUAUUUGGAACAUGGGCUUUUGUAAAUUUGUUUAAGUCUUGGAUUCUUCAGGUUGUGAUUUGCCGUAUCUCAUGUGGGAACUGACAGGAGCUAAUCAGUUUCUUUGUGUUGCUUGCAGACCCGUUUGCUGAUGCGAAUGCUGAGGACUCAGGUGCAGGAACAAAGGAGUACGUUCACAUUCGUGUCCAGCAGCGGAAUGGUAGGAAAAGCUUGACAACGGUCCAGGGGCUAAAGAAAGAGUACAGCUACAGCAAGAUACUUAAGGACCUCAAGAAAGAAUUUUGCUGCAACGGAACUGUGGUUCAGGACUCAGAGCUCGGACAGGUACAUGCUUUGAAACACCAUGGUGCAUCCAUGUGGGUAAAUUACUGUCGGUAUAGUUGGCAAUUGGCAUGUUACCAUUCGAAUAGUGCAACAAAGGGAUAGAUAUACAGUAUGUGCUGUCUGUCUCUGGCUACUGUCCAUUGCUUAUGCGACUGUGCAAAAUGUGCAGGUUAUUCAGCUUCAAGGCGAUCAGAGGAAGAACGUCUCCACAUUCCUAGUCCAGGUAAAAAAAAUACACAAACAGGUUAACAAAAAAGAUUGUUGCUUGAUCUUGUUUCUCAUACUUGUCAUGGAACAGGCUGGCCUUGUGAAGAAAGAUAACAUCAAGAUCCAUGGUUUCUGAGCUGCUUCUGUUGCAUUGUCCCUAGGACGUUUAAGUGGAUCGUUACUGUGUUGUGCAGUUCCAAAACAAAUCUUCACCUUUCUCUUUGAUUGCUUGUUGGUGAUUUUUGUUGUUGUUUUUUUAAAUAUCUUUGGUAUGAUACUAAGAGACUAUCAUCGUCUUCUUCCACAUGCUACUUGUGUAAUAUGAAGCAUUCUCUCUCUAUUAAUGUUUGCCUCUUCUCUCAAUAUCUUGUUACCAAGAUGGAUCACACAAUACUUUUACUAUUAUUAUUCUUGUGUUGUGCCAAUCUGAAUUUGGAUCCGGAAAACAGAUAAUACCUCAAUGAAAGCAAAAACAUGAGGCUAUUUUUUAGCUAAAAAAAACAUAUGAAUUUGAUAUCGCCAAUGGAUUACAUUGACCAGAGGACUUGAAUACUCUGACGGGUCCAGAGGUUUUCAAAGUCGCAGGAAAUUACGAAUGAACCAACCGCUUGUCUUCUCUAUCGAGUCCAAAAAGUGGAGCUCUGCAAAAUCCUCGGGGAAGACGAUUUUAGGUUAAAGAUAAGAGAAUUUGGAAAACGCAAUUAGGUUAGAGUUUGGACUAAUCUGAAUCGAUAUUCUUUGAAUUCGUAAUCGAAGUAGCGUUUUCUCUACAGUUUCCUCAAAAUCCGCUUUAGAAAUCGCAGGUAAAAGAUGGAGGAGAUUUUCGCUUUGAUAGUCUCAAUGAUUCUCAUAGUUGCGGUGAUUCCUUUGUUCUUUUGGAAACGUCGGAGAGAUGCUAGAUCACGGGAGCAAGUUGCAGAACCGCCACAGGUAAAUAUGCGAAAAUGGAUUUGAAUUUUUGAUCAAUCUGGGGCUUGAUGUUGGUUGUUCGUGUGAAAUUGAAAGGUUCAGGCUCGUGAAAAUGUGGCACGUGCUACUGGUGGACGUAGGAUGCGUCGGAGACCUGCAGCAACUUCUGGUGCUAGCUCCUCCUCUACAUCCAAUGUUCAAGGUUGGUAUUUGACAGGACAGCUUUUGUUUCUCUUUUUCGUUGUUUUUAUGUCAGAUUCUCUCGAAAUAGUGUGUGUGUGUGUGUGUGUUUUUAGCUGCAUCAACUGGAUGAGUUUUGAGGAUUGAGUUUCUGCUAUCUUUGUAAUUUGAGGCAACCUUAUGUAAAUAGGUGUGUUAUUGGUUAGCUAGUGAGAACUCAGAAACCAUUUUUAUUCAAGAUUAGUCAAUAAUUUUUUUUAGUUUCAUUUUGUCAUCUAUCUUGCUGUGAAUGUAGUUUAAGAUUAGAAGCGGCUUGGAAUUAGGUGAACUAUUGGCUUUGGAAUAAUUCCUUGGGUAUAUGUGAAACAGAAAACGUCAGUGGGAGUGAAGAUGAAGAUGAAGAUGAAGAUGAAGCUGGUGGAUCUCAAGCCAGAGCAUCAAAGAAGAAAGAGAAGAAGCGACAAGAGCGGGAAGCACAAAGACAGGUGACCAACAUUCUCUAUUUCUGCUUACUUCUUCUAUUAGAAUUUUUGGUAUGAUUAAGGAUGAGAAAUUCUAGGAAUAUCAGUAAGAUGUUAACUUAAGGAUAGAGCAUUUUGUUUUGAGCUCGGAAUAGUACAUCCCUUUUUGGCAAGACUUUCCUGAUUAAGUUCUGUUCUUAUUGUCGAGUAAAGGCUGAGGAAGCUACACGCGAGUCAAGGAAUACAAAACAAGAUUGGUAUGCAGAAAUGCGGAGGAAGAAGGAUGAAGAGCGCGAGGCAGAAGAGCGGAAGUUGGUGGGUCAAUUAAUUUAUUUCAGAUUUCGUUUUGUUUUAGGCUUCCUGCUUUUUAUAUACUGGGCUUGGCGAAUUGUGACAUUGUUGUGUAGGAAGAAGAAGAAAAAGCGCGACAAGCCAAGGAAGAAGAGGCAGCUGCGUUAGAGUUUGACAAAUGGAAAGGGGAAUUUUCAGUUGAUGCUGAAGGUACUACAGAGGAAGUGCAAGGUGGAAAUCAAGAUUUGCUUUCAGAAUUUGUUGAAUACAUAAAGGUAUAUUAUCUAUCUUGAAUAACCCUUUACCAAAGACUUUUUGAUCUCCGAUUCUAAUCGUUUUUCUGCGAAUAUAAACAAGCUAAGAAUAAAUUAUAGGUACAAAUGUUGCGAAUGAAACAAAUUAACAAUAAAGUAUAGAUGCAAAUGAAAUGUUGUCUCAGCCCUAUGAAUGUACCGACAUGUUGAGCCUUCCUUUUGCUGUGUGAUGUGAUUGCAGAAACAGAAAUGUGUUCCACUUGAAGAUCUCGCUGCAGAAUUUCAUCUACGAACUCAGGUAUCAUCUGGCUACAUAUUCUAUGUGGAAAAUAAAUGAAUACAUUUUGUCAUGGUUUUCAAGUCUGAUUCAACUGUUGGUCUUCUUAGGAAUGCAUCAACAGGAUCGCCUCUUUGGAGAGCAUUGGUAAUAUUCUCUCUGUCCAAUAUAGCAUUCCGCAUUCAUCUCAUCUUGUAGUCUGUAAUCUGCUAUGGGUAUAGUAAGCCCGAAGCUAUAUGAAUAAGCAGAUGAGAAACUGAUGUGAAACCGUAAUGGGACACGUUUAAGAUCUGAAACCCUUCUCUUUUAUUCAGGACGGCUCUCGGGGGUCAUGGAUGAUAGAGGGAAAUACAUUUACAUAUCAAUGGAAGAGAUGAAUGCGGUUGCGGAUUACAUCAAACGUCAAGGGAGAGUUAGUAUCUCACAUCUAGCAAGCAAGUCAAACCAGUUCAUCGACUUGGAGCCCAAAGUACAGCAUCAGCUGACCGAAGAAAUUAGCGGCAUGGAAGAGAUCUCAGUUUCUUAGUUGUGUUUCUCGGGUAAAAUCGUUUGUCAUAAACAAGAGUUAAAGCCUUAGGGAGUCACUGCAACAUGAUGGUGUUUGGGUCAUAUACCUUCUUCUUUUUUACUACAAUAGUUUGAGAUCCUUAGGCUUGCAUCCAUAUACAGUACAUGAAAAUAUAUAAUCUUAUAUAUCAUCCAUAUGUUAAAUUUGUUGUUUGUCUUACCAUUAAAUUUUAUUUACAUCGUCUGUCUUACCAUUAAAAAUAAAAUAAACACAAAAGAAAUGGAUGGUGUUGGUAGAUCACAAAACAAUGGGUGUACUCUGUGUCUGCAAACUUAAAUUCCUCUUCUUUUAUUUAUUUCUAACUCCAUUCUCACAACCACCAUAUCUCUCUCUCUCUCGUGGUUCCUGUAUCUUCCAUGCGUGCCAUUGGUGUGUGCUUCCACGAUUCUCUAAAGUUUAGCCUGUGAAUUGAGUUGACAGUAAGAUUCUUUCUUUAUGCGUAUAAACUUUGAAGAAACGAGGAAGCACAUACCAGUGGCAGCGCAUAAACUCUCUUUGGGUUUCUGUACCCAGAGAAUUUUCUUGAAUAAGUUUCUUGUCAAGGAUGGAAAAAGAGUUUGUUCACUUGUCUGCUUCAUUUUGUGUGGUUAACAUAACCUUAAUUGCUUAAACUCUUAUUUUUUGCUGGUAAUCAAACACUCGUUUGCUUUAAGAGACUUAUGUAGUUAUGUAUGUAGCCGUCAACAAUUUCGGAGCCACCAUUAAGUCAAGUAUUUUCCAUCUUUUAACUGGUUCUCGUGAACCAAUUUCGUCCAACCACAUUUCCAAACAAAUACUACUCGCGCUUCUCGUUGAAUCUGACCCAUAUAACUAGAUUCUGAGAUCUCACCUUAAACAAUGUUUGUGCCAACAAGGUGUUCACACAAGUCUUGUGUAAGAAUAAGAUCAUGGUUGCUUAUCUUGGUAAGCGGAAUUUUUGUAAAAACUUUCAUACAAAUUUUCUAAUGAAUUAACUUAGGAAUAUGCGGUUUGUCUAAUCCAGAUUUUCGGUAAAAUAUAUAAAAAAAUAAUAAAGAAACUAGUAGUACGUAUACAUUUAUUGAUUUACGUUAUUAUUUUGUUCUCUUUUGUAUUAUCUCUGUUUCUCCGGAGAAACAGGGAAAAACUAGAGGGAGAGAAACCGUUAUGCUCUGCCUCUCUAAUUCGCUUAAGUUUUAUUACCAAUUUCUCUCUUCUUCUCUGUUUUCUCUUUCUUGCGUCCUAAGAAACUUGGGAAACACGAUAGAGAUGAAGAAGAUACCUUACGUCCAUCUAAACCUCCUUCUCCUUCUAUUACCUCUGAUCAAUCUUCAGUUUCCGACAUUAUCAUUGGCUCAAGACUACGAUGAACCAAAGAAGGAUGAUACUCCACCGCCAGGCCUUGCCCGUUGCAACGGAGUUUACAUGUCUUACAGUUCCGGCGGCCGCGAAAAGUUGUAUCCUCGCACCACAAACGCGACGGCUCAAGCUUGGUCGUUUAAAUCAACGGCCAUGAUCGUGAACACCGGUAUCGAAGAGGUCAAAGGUUGGCAAAUGUUCGUAGGGUUUCAUCACAGAGAGAUCAUCGUUUCCGCGACCGGAGCUGUCUCAUCUGACGGUGACUUUCCUGUCGAUGCAACCAACGGGACUACGUUUAUAGGGUCUCCGAACACGGAUCUAAAGACCUCAAUCCUGACAGCUGGCGAUUACACUCAGAUCUCAACCAAUAUCGAGAUAACCGGAACGGUUUUCGGCGGGAAAGGUACGGCUACGCCAAUGCCGAAAACCAUCAAGCUCACAAACGAUGGAUGGCAAUGUCCUGCAGCUACUUCUAAAGGUAACGAGACCUAACUCAUGAAAAAACCCUUAAUUUCUUGUCCGGGAAGAAACAAUAGGUCAUGAUCGGUUUUUCGAUUUGUUUGGUAUGUUUUCAUCGGCAGGUGAUACAAUGCAAGUUUGCUGCAAGAGGAACCCAAAGUUUAAAGCUAAAGAAAAGUUGAAAACCAAGUUCAUGCCUAGACAACACGGUGACCUGAAUAUAAUCUACGACGUUCUUCAAGCCUAUGCUAGCAGCUACAUGGCGCAGGUGAGUCGCCGGAUCCAUCAAUUGUAUCAAUAUAACCUCGAGAGAUUCAUAUAUACAUAAAGUAAUCCAAAAUUGAUUUGUUUUGGACAGGUGACUAUCGAUAACACUAGCCCGCUGGGACGGUUGGACCAUUGGAACUUGACAUGGGAGUGGAUGCGAGGAGAGUUCAUCUACUCGAUGCGUGGAGCCUACGCGGCCGAGAAAAACACGUUGGAAUGCUUAAGCAGCAAGGCGGGACAGUUCUACGGGGAUCUUGAUUUCUCCCAGGUUGCUAAUUGCCAGAAGAAACCAAUUAUCAAAGAUUUACCGGCUGAGAGAAAAGACGAUAAUGUCACCGGGAAAUUGCCUUUCUGCUGCAAGAAUGGUACUCUUUUGCCCACUCACAUGGAUCCUUCUAAAUCCAAAGCCAUUUUCCAGUUACAGGUUUGCCUCAAAACGUACCAUUUAUAGUUUUUGGUGACUAAAUUUAGGCGUAAAGACUAUUAAACCGGUUUUGAUGUUUGGUUUAGGUGUAUAAGGUGCCACCUGAUCAGAACAGAACAGCAUUCUUUCCUCCUCGAAACUGGAAAAUUGACGGUAUAGUGAAUCCGCAGUACAAAUGCGGACCACCUAUACGGGUAGACGCGACCCCGUUCCCUGACCCUAGCGGUCUCCAAGCCACAACCUACGCUAUCGCCAGCUGGCAAGUCAUCUGCAACAUAACCAAGCCUAAACCAAAAGCUGCACGUUGCUGCGUCUCUUUCUCAGCCUUCUACAACGACUCAGCCAUUCCUUGUAACACCUGCGCUUGCGGCUGCAAAGAUAUAGAUACCGACACUUGCAACGCCAAUGCCCGACCGCUUCUCCUCCCUCCAGACACGCUCUUGGUACCGUUUGAUAACCGGACACUCAAGGCAAAAGUAUGGGCAAAGCAGAAGCACAUGGCUGUUCCAAAGAAGCUUCCUUGUCCUGACAACUGUGGAAUCAGCUUAAACUGGCAUCUUAACUCGGAUUACGGUAAUGGGUGGUCCGCGCGAGUAACGUUGUUUAACUGGGGGAAUAAUGCAGUGGAGGAUUGGUUUGGGGCAUUGGAUUUAGGCAAAGCUGGUUUAGGGUAUGAGAAUAUUUACUCCUUCAAUGGAUCAAGAGUUCCACCAAAGAACCAGACCAUUUUCUUCCAAGGACUUCCCGGUAUGAACUACUUGAUUGGUAUCACAAACGGAACGAAUCCUGCAAGAGACCCGCAGAUUCCCGGGAAAAUGCAGUCGGUUAUCUCGUUUAAAAAGAAGAAUUUGGGGAGUUUGAAUAUCAUAGGAGGAGAUGGAUUUCCUAAAAGAGUUUUCUUCAAUGGGGAAGAAUGUGAGCUUCCCAAUUAUUUCCCUAAAAAGAGUUCCGGGAAGAGAUUAUCCAGUACCCGAUUCUUGCCCUCGAUUCUUCUCGCGAUCACAACAGUUCUUGCGAUCACUGAUCGCUUUUUAACCGGUGUGUAGAUGCUUUAGUUAAUUAUGUAAAUUGAUUUUUGUUUAGCCAUGCCAUGAUCAAGAAACUUGAAGAGAACGUUUUGUAUAUGUAUCUCUCUAUUCACAGUUUUGGUUGACCAAGAAACUUGUAUAUAUAAUCGAGAGGAACUAAUGCAGAUUGAUUCUCCCUUAUUAGUUAUUAUUACACUCUUGGCCUUUACUACAAAAUUGUGCUUCGUUCUUGAGGAUACGAUUAUGCAAGUCAUUUGGGCGCCAAUUUCUUUACUUCAUAAACCGAUUUCCUCUGUUUUUUGUUCUGUUUCUGGUACAAUAAACACGAACCAGAUAUUAUUACCUGAAACACUUCUUACUCCUAGUUUCAAAUAUUUCGACUUUUAGAACAGAAAUAAUCAUUGUAAACUUAAGAACAGUCUCUUUCCUUAUUCUGUUUAUUUUUCCAGUUGGUAAAUACAAAAAAAAAAAACUUAUGUUUGUUUGUAUAUAAAGGGAUUCAAUGUCAACUUUUAUGAACAGCUUAAAAAGUAUAUUUUUCUUGUGUGUGUGUGUAUGUGUAUAUGUAUUAAGGGUGAUUCAAGGCUCCAAGAUUCAUCCAGCUUACUUUUCACCCAUAGAAUCGUUAGAAAAAAAAGAUAGAGAGCGUCGGUUCCUCCCCAGAUCUUUUCAUAUCAAAAUGUGGAAUAUAGCAAAUCACAAAGCUUCUCAUGAUUCAGCAGCAGAAUCAUGAAUGUUCACCAAUGCUAUUUCUUAGCCUGCAAUAAGAGAGAAGACAACAGAAGAGAGAACUUUCAGGCCAAACUUUGAGAGAGACACAAGCCCAGACAGAUCAAAGAAACAUAGAAAUAACCUUUCUUAGAUAUCUCUUGUGAAUUUUUAUGGCCCCAGAACAUGUUUUCUUGGCAUCCAAGUUCCCAGUCAUGUCGUUAAGUAUCUUAACAACAUCGUCAAGUCCACGAGCUUCAGUCAUUAGCUUAUAACUCUUGUCUUUCAAGACACUGGCCACUAGAAAUACCGAUAUAGGCAAAGGACCUUCCGCACUUUUCCCUCCAUUCCUCAUGUUUUGCCUCUCAUACUUUCCACAUUGCUUAAUUGACUUCGGUUUACCUUUUAACCCUUCGGUUUUCUCACUCCCGCAUUGAUGUGCCUCAUAUACGUAAAAAAGAUCGGGGUCAUACUCGAGGGCCCACAUCAUCUGGAGGAAUAGGGUUUGGCAUGAGAUCAAUCCAAGAAAGAAAAAGACUAUUAUACAUAUAAGAGACAGUGAGACACAAAAAUCAAUCAUUACCUCCCAAAGGUACAGAGAGUCGCAAAAUGAGAAUUCUCUUCGGAAUUGAACCAUUAGCAUCCGAAUAGCAAAGAGAUAGUCACCUCCCCCCAGUUUAUCUGCAUUUAUGACUCACAGCUCGAUUAACCGCUGGAUAUAUACAUAUAGGCAAAGAAAUUGCAGUAGUAGUAGUAGUAGUACCUAGAUGUUGGUGAAGUUUGGGGUCAACAAUCUGAGUAAUCGAAGACAAAUGAGUAAGUUGAGCUUCAACUCCAACAGAUCUCCCGGUGCUACGGAAAUUUCCUCGCUUUUCAAUUCGAAAAAAUAAAACACGUUUAAUACAUCCUGAUUGCAGAGAGAUAGAUGUAAACAGUCCAUAUCAAAAACACAAAUACAUUGAGAAUAUGCAUAAGGUAAGUACCAAUCGACGCAUAAGCCGUUCAAAACACCAAAAGGCAUCAGCUUCGUCUUCAAGAAGAAUAAUCAUUGGGGAACAAAGAUCACUCAUUCCUGAUCAGAGCACGAGUACAUAGAUAAGAAUUUCUCAAGUAAAACUGGUUUUCAAACAAAUUAUACAAUGAUAUACACAUUCGGUUUUACCUUGACAAUACCCGACAUCGUUGUCUAUCCAGGCGUAAAUAGACAGAAUAUCCCAGAGCUUCGAUAAGUUCUCCUUUUUCUCAUAAAAUACCAAGGCCCUGUCUGUACGGUUCACAUCAAGACCUGAAAAAUAUAAAUUAAGCAACUGAGUGAACCAGCAGAUAUUCAGUAUAGUCUAGCCGCUGAUAGAGGAAGCCAUGACCAGUCACUAACCUAUCUGGUGAAGUGUUAGUAGCCACUGGGUAACUUUCUUAUCGAGAGGUCCACGACUGGUGAGCUCUUUAAAAAAAUCUGAACCAUUUGAGUUUGUACCUGAGAAACCCACAUGAAUACUUCAAAUGCCUAUUACAAGUUUAUGUAGAGUUCAACAUUAAAAUUUCCGUUAUAGAAAGGCAAAAUUUUACCUAAAUUUAUUUCCUGAAGUACAAGAGGAUCAUAGUUGGGUUGGCCAUUUUCAGAAAUUACAGGUGCGGUCAUAAAUCUUCCACUUCCAAUGACAGGAAACAUUUGCUUACACUCCUCCUUCCAAGAAGCAUACUGCAGUCUGACAGAAGAGAAGUAGCGGUAGGAUUCACAAAACUGAAUUGAUGGUUUAUGAAUUAAAAGUAAUAACCAUGUAGUUAUGCCAAAUGUGAUACAUAUAUAGAGGAAAUGUGGACAAAAAUCUACCUUCUGCGUUGCCGAAUUUGCUCUCUUUCUUCGAAUGUGCUCAUCGGGUCAUAACAACCAAGUAGGAAUUCCCAUACUUCGCCUCUAAUUGAUGGAUGGAUUCCCUACAGAUUGAUUGUAAAGGAAUUAAAGUAACAAAUGAAACGAUAAAUGAGUUGUGACAAAGACUUAUUCAAACUAACAUACCCCUCUUCGGAUUCGUCUUAGAGUCUUGCCAAUAUCGAGAGACCCUUCUUGUACAAAUACAGCCCGCCAUUUUCUUACACUUAGAGUUUUGCCAGGCUGCACAAACAUCAUAAAAUUGACCCGUGUUGUCAGCAACAAAGCAAGAAAUUCAUGGCCCCAACAUGAUGCAAUUAUUCAUGAUACAUUAGUUAUGACCACAAGACAUGGAAUGAUACAGGCUUUUCUGGCCUGUAAUGUUAAGGUUCAACCAGAGAAAAUGAUUCAAUCUAGUACCAACAUAGUAGCAAUGAAGCACAUAACCUAUCUUCCUGUGUUAUAUGUAUCUUCCUGGAGUCGAGAAGUUAAAUCCCCUCAAGCUUCUUUCAGGAAAAAGUGACAAUCUCACUAAACAAUCAUGUGAUGCUACUGAGAAAAGAUCCAACGAGAUCAAGAAUAGAUUAGAGAGCCUUAAACAGCUCCUAAGAUCAAUAUGUCCUAAGUAGGAAACAGAUUUCUGAGCAUAACAAUGGCAAUAACUUUCGUUCAAGGAGAAAUCAAACGCUAAGCUGAUGAGGCGAUCGAUCUUACAGAAUCAAACAAAUUCACAAGAGGGACAAGUGCAAUCACCAACGAAGAAGCAAAAUGAGGAUGAAUGCAUCGGAAGAGGUGGUAACCUUGAUUCUGAAUCUGGUCUUGGGGACAUCGGUGCACUCGGGACGAACUUGGUAAUAAGAAUCUGCUGGCUCAGCUGCGCCUCCCCACAUUCUAUCAAACUUUUUUCCCGGGAAAAAAACAACCAAGGAAAAAAUCCAGAGGAAACCAGAUACAGUGGAUCGGGAUCCCCUCAAAACUCAAAAGAUCGAUCAACGAUUAAUGAAGAAAUUAAAAGAUAUUUAGGGAAAUUUUUUUUGAGAAUUUAAGGAGGACCCAGCUUGGAGCUUAGUGGAUCGGAGUCUAAAGACAGAAACUUUUUGUGUUUCUUUCUUUCUGUCUUCGUAUAUUUAUUUUUUUGUCGUGUCUAUCUAUCAACUAAGUUUCUUGUAUCAUUCUUUUUCUGGAGAUGAUGAUUGAUGAGCUGGUCUCAUUACACAAUAGUUGUUGCCCACAAAUAACGGAGUUCCUCCAUCACUUCUCUCUAUCUUCUCCCACAUAGAGAGAGAGACACAGAGAGUCUUUUUUUCAUUCAUUCGUUUCCCAAAAAUAUCCAACAUAAAACGACGCCGUGUUAUUGAUUUUCUAUAUUGGGCUUUUAGUCCUCAUGGGUAGCUAAUGUUUGUGGAUCUUAUCAUGUUGGGCCUUUUUGAUAUUUAUUUACUAAUAUCAAAAAUACCAAACCCUAAAAAUGAUGGUAUAUAUAUUGCAAAACCUAAGCGCUUUCUUCCUCUGCUGUCGCUCGUCUACAUUUACACUCGGAGCUUAGAGACCUUCCAAUCUACCGGCGGCGAAAAUGGUGAGAUAUACUUUCUGCCUGAGCUUAUAUCUUGGUUUGUUCGUCUGUGUUAUACGUUAUUAUCUCCUGCUUUAGCUCGUGUUCAUAGCACAUUUCUGAUUUCUGUCUUCUAGAUCUUUUUGGUGGGGAUUAGGCUUUAGAUGUUUUCAAUCAAGUCGCGUUUGUGUAUUAGACAGAGACCAAAGGGUUGAGAUUUAAUAUUUUGUGGUGGUUGUUCAGGUUUUCAAGAGGUACGUUGAGAUCGGGAGAGUAGCACUUGUGAACUACGGCGAAGAUCAUGGAAAGCUCGUCGUUAUCGUCGACGUUGUUGACCAGAACAGAGUAAGUUCAUUUCAUUUCAGCUAUUUUACUGCUAGAUUCCGCAAUCUUACUGUGUUUGAUUCGGUAAAUUGUUUUAUUAAGGAAAAUUUUGAUUUAGCUUGAGACUUUGGUUGCAUAUUUGGUUGAAUCAUUGAUUGGAGCCGAUUGCAUUUCCUUGGUGAUUGUUGGGGCUUAAUAUAUUGACUUGGUGCUAUUGAGUUCUGAUUAUGUUCUCGUCAUUUAGGCUUUGGUGGACGCCCCUGAUAUGGAGAGGAUCCAGAUGAACUUCAAGAGGUUGUCUCUUACCGAUAUCGUGAUUGCCAUCAACCGAGUGCCAAAGAAGAAGGCUUUGAUUGAGGCAAUGGACAAGGCUGGUGAGUACUGUGCAAUGUAGUGUUUGAAUUUGUCAAGUGUUCCAAUCUAAACCGGAAAGUCUUGCAGAUGUGAAGAACAAGUGGGAGAAGAGCUCAUGGGGUAGGAAGCUUAUCGUGCAGAAACGUAGGGCUAACCUCAAUGAUUUUGAUAGGUUCAAGAUCAUGUUGGCCAAGAUCAAGGUCAGUGUGUUAAAUUGUCAGAUGUGGGAAAAUCUGUGGUCGUGUUGGUUUAUGUUAGAACUGAAAUGCUAAUGGCUUUUUUGUUUGUUUGCAGAAAGCUGGUGUUGUCAGGCAAGAGCUUGCAAAACUCAAGAAGGAGAUCACUGCCUGAUCAAAUAUUAUCUACAAUUCUGUUGUCUUUCUUUUUUAAUUUUGGAUUCGGAAAUUAGUGUUUUUGGAACUAUCAUCAUCAGUAUGUGCUCUAUUAUCCGACGUUAUUCAAGUUUGAAACCUUGUUUGAAAAACUCAAAGUUUUUGUUCUUUUGAUCUUAGUCUUACUUUCUUUUCUAUGGUUCUAUGUUAAGUUUCGAUACCAAGCUUAAAAUUGAAUCAAGCUAAGCUAACUAAACUAACCAUUAGUUUGAAGAGAACUCAUAAUUGUUACAAGAACAAGAUUUUCUUUUACAAUUGGUACAUACUUAACGUAAGUUAGUAGAGGAUGGGGAAGGACCUUCACAAGUCUAGUUUCAAACGUUGAAAGUUGAAGUUAUUGGAACGAACUAACACACAAGAAGCUGUAUUUUGUUAUUGGAAUUUGGAAGUAAAUUCCCCUGAUUUAAGUGAUAACAAUUUGUUUUACUAAAACUCCCAAAGACUUCAGAGACAUCGCUAAUACUUAUAUAUGUUCAAAAGGACAACAGUUUGCGAAAAUAUAACUGAAUUAUUUUGGUGACGUCUGGUUGUGUAUAUAUGGCAAAACUUUCUGACUCGUUACAGAGGAAAACGAAAUAAAACCCUUAGGAGAGCUUCAGAAGUUUUUACCAAGUUCUAUCUUUUUCAUCAGUGUCAUGGAGUGGUGGAGAAUAGAAUCCAAGAUUCCGGCCACCUGAAAAGAGGCAAACACACAGAGUCAUAUGGGAAUACAUUAAUGAAUAGUAACAAGAAGAAGAGGCUUUCAAACUUCUUUACUAACCGUGAAGACACCACCGAUAAUGGCGCAUACGUUGGUGAUGAAAUGUGAGAAGGACUUGGAGUUUUCCGUUAUGAGAACCUGCAUAGAAACAAAGAGAAAGAUAAGCAGAGUGUAAUUUUGCCCCACCUUACCAUCCCACACAUAUGUGAGUAAGGCAGUAAAAGAAAAUGUUGAAGCCUACCUGCAUCGGUGAUAGCUCAAAGUGAAACUUGGCAACUGGUAAAUAGUAACUAUGAGCAACGCUGCUAUGUGCUGUGUACUCAUACGCCUCAACCAAUGCCUGUCCAUUGCUUUUCACUACCUCAGUCUUUACUAUUUGAAGAUAAUGCUCGAUCUGUCCAUGGAAAACAACACCUUAAAGCAUGCUAGAAAGCAUAAUUAGACGAUUUGAAUACUAUUUUCUGAGUUAUACAAACUUACGGUAACAUUUGGGCCGAGAUCGCGUUGGUUUAUGAAGGGCCGGCCGUCCAAACGGUCAUGGCUUAGGCCGAGAUAAGGUGACAAGCGCUUUAACUCAGAAAAUUUCUGAGGCAUAAUCCUCUGCCCAAAUGAUAGAUGGUUAACAACAUGGGACAUAUUCAUCUGAGAAGAAUCAAAGGAAUGAGAUCCCGAGCGAGCUGAAACCAUUAAGUUGCCUGGAACCUGCAAUGACCAUAUAGUAGUAACUAUUAAAGUGUUUGAGCGGUCAAAAAAGCCAGACAGACAAAGCAAUAGUAGUUUCUCCCAUUCAAAUGCUUACCUUCUUUACACGUAUGUAUCCUUCAAUUCGACAUCCUCCUGUAGAAGGUGCCUUUUUUAGAGUUCUCGAUGAAUUGUCUGAUUUGUCCUCCAAUGCUAGAUUAUGGGGCUCUAGAUGGAUUGGUUCAACCACACUAACCACCAUCUAUAGGAGAAGGAAAAUAUUCAGAAACAAGCUACCAAUGAGGCGCAAACAGUGACUCUAGUCUAACUUUUCUAAGGGGCACGGAAUAGAAGUUGAAAAGAAACUUAGACCAACAGCUACCUUCACUAAGCUUUCCGUAUCACGAUCUCCAUAGUAGGAUUCAUGGUCGUGGUGUGCAUUGUCAUCCCUAUUAAGCAAAGGAAAGAAAAGAGGAGAAAAUAAAUUUUAGGAGAAUCCAGUAAAUGAUGGUCAUGCAUUAGAUGAACAAUUAAACUUUCUCUUACUUAAGAUCACUGCCUUUGCGGAAAAUACGAAUGGAUGGAUACCCUUGUAUGUGAUUCCUGGAUAUUAUUCGCAGAGGACAUUUCUGAGCCUGGAGCUAAAUAAGAGGCUGACCCUUUGAAAUCAUAAUGGUAAACCGGGAAUAUGUUUUUUCAUUCAUGUUCUUACAUCUUUCCCUAUGUAUGGUAUGUCUUUUUUUUUUUGGUUUGACCAUAACUAUCUUUUGACGAGGUACAUGCUAAUAUAUUACAUAAAAAAAGGGUGUUUAUACGAAGCCAAUACAAACUUAUAAAGUAACUGACAAUCCCUCCCUCUAUUUACGAAUAGAAAAUGCAUCUUAGACUUAAGUUACAGACAAAUGAGUUAACGACACCUCAUAUCCACAUAGUCACCAAUACAUUACUGGCAUAUUAGCCCACACUCUUGAAGACCCUACAGUUUCAAUUCAAAUUUUUUUGCACAAAUUCAAAUGACAUAUUCGGUGGAAAGGACUCUAAUAGCUUCUCUUGGUUAUUACUUUUUGCAUUGUAGUGGAUAUUAGUUAAGUUUAGUAGCUUAAGAAGUCAGGAUGGAAAACCAGAUAAAAUGUGAUAGGAUAUACCUCCGACAGAGAUCACCUUCUUGGGUGCAGUCAACUUUUGCCAAAAUAACACGUCCGUCCAUUUCUGGAUCAUAUCUACCAAAAACAAAAAAGUUAUAAGGAGAAAUAGUAUCACAUAUUCUUUCUCUAGAGAGAGUGUAAUGGCAUACCUCUCUUUUAUUUGUUUCGCUGCUUUCUCCCAUGAUGGUUUCUGACAAUGGAGACUAAAGUUAGAGUCUUCGCGUAAAGAUCAGCAAAAUUAUCACUUUAUUGUGCAUAAAUAUCACCAGAUACUAGUCUACUUCAUAAGUUUGAUAUUCAAUAUCAAAUUGAUCCUUAGAUAAGUCUAGUCUUUCCAUGAGGAAAUUAUUAAGACUACAGGAAAGAUUGACUGAGUUACUGUAAAUUGCAAUAUUAGCGCGUCUAAGGCACCAAACAUGUAGAAUUUCCUCAAGUGAGAAGGCUAAUAUGAGUCAUAUAACCCUUGCCAACAGGCACCAAAAUAUGCUUCUGGACGGAAAAUAUGCUGUGACAUCUAGAAUUUGUAGGAGACGAAGACAGAAGAUAAGGGAGUUACCAGGAGAUUACACCAAUAGCACCACGGAGCAUAGAAAUUAACAACCAAGAUUGGAAAUCUGCAAAAUGUAUGCUUCAUAUGUUGUCACCAGAAGCAAACAAGUACUUACUAGAAAUACAUUCCUAGUAUUUUUGUAUGUACGUAUAAAAUGCACAAUACAGACUUAAACUCCUUACUGAUGUGUAAAUGUGUCAAAGUUGCGCCCAGUAAGUGGUACCGAAUCUUCAACUACUUCUUCACCAGUUUCAUCUCCAUGAUUAAUGAGCGAUAAAACUUCCCCGACGUGAAACUCAGAACCAGUGGGUCUCAUAUUCGAAUCAAUAGAAAACUUCCGAAUUGUCUUUGUUACAUUUAGCCUGUUCUGAAAACAAAAGUUAGCAAAAUCAGGAGAGGGAACAACCGAUAAUUUUGGGUGACCUAAUGGACAAAUGUUCAGAAAGAAUAACAUUAAUUUCAAAGCCCACAUAUACGAUAGACUAUCUUUCACAGUUUGACAUUUUCGGAUUUCCCUUAAAAGAAAAUAUUGUACAGUCCAAACUUGUUGGACGUACAUGACAGAAAUUUAAAUACUUUAAAAACAAAGAAUUUUCAAGAGCAAUAGGAAAAAGAUAGAGACUUAAAAUGAACAAAUUAUGAAACCAAACUUACAGUUCCUAAUACGUCACUGACAUCCACAGAUGCGAAUUCACAUGAAAGUGACGGGAAGCUGCCAAAAAAUAGAAUCUGUAUCUGGUUAGCAAUCAGAUAGAUGCUGAACUUUGCAUGACUUUGAUUGGGCCACACAUGACAUUCUGAAGAGAUAAGGUAUGCACUCAACAAACAAUGGUUGCACAAGAUAACAUAACGUUCUAUCAUACAGAAGAGUAACAUUAUACAUACACUCUUUAACCUGUUAGAAUAUUGAAACUAUAAGAUUUGUAUUGAGAAACAAAGUUGAGUAUAAUGUACCUUAUGUUAAAAUCUAAGCGCAAGAAGUCUCCGUCAGCGCUCCUAUCAACAAUGACCGAUGUGGAAGUGCUGACAGCCAAAUAAUUAUUCAAUUCCUGUAAUAUGAAACUUGCAAAAUCAAAAUAACAUUCAUUUUUGCUAAUAGUAACAAAUUGAGCAUUUAUCAAAAUUAACGAUAAAAUGAAACUUGAACAACGCCACAGAAUGGUCAAAACCAGCAAGUCCAAACUUACCAUUCCAAAUAAAAAUAUCAUAGAGAGGGCUGCUAUAAUGGACAAUCCAGCACCAGACAGAGACGCUUCUGUCAAAUCCCUCGGGAUUUUCCUGCAGGCACAGAAAUUCCAAAGAAUAUAUAUGAAAUUUCUAGCAUUAUCGUCCAGAAUCACAAAUCUCAGAUUCUAUGGAACUUCGAAACAAUUUCCCCAAAAAUCUAAACUUAGCAAAAAAAAAAACGAAAUCGAAGUGACUAAUGAUGAUCUUAAACCCCAGAUAAUAAAACACUUUUGACAGUCCAAUUUCACUAAGAUAAAAUGACAACUUGACAAUGCACAUAAAAAAACCUACAACUUCAGGAUCGCCUGUUCACAGCUAAACCCUAUCACUAAUGAGCAAGAAAAUCCAGAAAAUGAAGAUACUCCCCAAGUAAAAUUCAGAGUAAACUAUCACUACAAAUCCUGUCACUGCCUAGAUCGAGGAAAUUCGAAAUCUAUGUAACAGGAGAAGGAAGCUGGAGGAAUCUAGGAAACGAAUACACAAGCAAACAAAGAAAGAAACCUAUAGAAAUCAACGGAUUUGAUCUUGCUCGUGGACACCAUUAUCGUCGGAGAAGGAGUCAACUGAGAAACAAGAACUGCUUGGCUAGUUCUCAAAGCUCCGAGGACGAAGCACCUCCCUUGUGAUUUAUCUUCAGCGUUCAGAUUUGAAACUCCUCAACAAUUUACUAAAUUACAACACUAGCCCCCUCUGCUUUGACUCCAUUUCCCAUUUGACCCAAAUACUUUUAUUAAAGCGAAUUAGGACCUUCUCAGUUCUCGCAUGUUUCUAUCAAACCCAUUUAUUAUAUCUCUAUAUUCGGCGCAAGACUGCAAACGAAUGUGCAACAAACAAUACACAAGUUUGAAUUUACAAUGAUCACCAUUCGAGAGCAGAGUUGUUUUUUUUAUGCAUUGGUGAAAUUAAGAUAUGAAAGGGAAAACAAGCUAAUUAAGUCAAGAACAAAACAGUUCGAAUUGCUUAUAAGAACAUCAUACGUUCCAUAGAACAUUCUUAUUAUUUAUAGGAUACAUUCAUAACAUUUAUUCUCUUCUUUUAACCCUCUGAUCCAAACUUUUGGAUUCCCGACCAUAAGCAAGAACUAACAAACUACAUGUAGAAGAAAUAUCACUAUGUGAAAAUGAAAGUAAUCUACUCUUUAAACUUCGAGAUACUUGAUUGCAGUCUGAACAUCCUUGUCGCCUCUCCCACUGAAGUUUAAGACCACUCUGGUUCCAUCAGAUAACGUCGGACAAAGCUUCUCUAGAUGGGCCAACGCGUGCGAUGUCUCUAGUGCCGGGAUUAUUCCCUCCAACCGAGACACUCUCUUGAAAGCUACAAGAGGAGAUAAGGAAAACACGAAUGCAAGUUCUCAUGAGAUGUGAAAGAAACAUAUAAAGUAAGAAAAUGAUGUGCUAAGUAAGUACCUUCUAAGGCUUCUUCAUCGGUAACGCUAUAGUACUCAGCCCGUCCCAUGUCUUUAAGGAAACUAUGCUCAGGUCCGACUCCAGGGUAAUCCAAUCUGAUAACAUGAACUUUUACUCUUUAGAUACAGGUGACCAAGUAAAUGUGGUUUAAAACCAACUUUGAACAGAGAAGAAUCUCUUACCCGGCACUGAUGGAGUGUGGUUCAAUGAUUUGGCCAUCAUCAUCUUGCAGCAAGUAACUCAUAGCUCCAUGGAGUACACCGACAUCUCCUUUUGUCAAUGUGGCAGCGUGUUUGCCGCUGUCCAAUCCAAAUCCAGCGGCUUCCACACCAAUCAUCCGAACCUCUGCGUCAUCGACAAAUUCAUGGAAGAGUCCCAUGGCAUUUGAACCACCACCGACACAAGCAACCAGAACAUCAGGCUUCCCGCCCCAUUUCUCCAUAGCUUGUCUCCUUGUUUCUUUACCAAUCACGGCAUGAAAGUCCCUGACCAUCAUAGGGUAAGGAUGAGGACCCGCAACGGAUCCCAAUAUGUAAUGUGUAGUCUCCACAUUUGUCACCCAAUCCCUUAUAGCUUCAGAAGUUGCGUCCUUUAAAGUGGCUGUUCCAGAGUGGACUCCCCUUACCUCAGCACCGAGAAGACGCAUCCUGAACACAUUAAGAGCUUGUCUCUCCAUGUCUUGAGCACCCAUGUAGAUAAUGCACUGCAACCCGAAACGUGCACACACUGUAGCUGUGGCUACGCCAUGUUGACCAGCCCCUGUCUCAGCAAUAAUCCGUUUCUUUCCUAGACGCUUGGCGAGAAGAGCCUGAGCCACAGCGUUGUUGAUCUUGUGAGCACCGGUGUGGUUCAAGUCUUCCCUUUUGAGGUAUAUGAGCGGUCCUUCCCCGUUUUCUCGGCGGUAAUGCUCUGUGAGCCUCUCUGCAAAGUAAAGAGGACUUUCCCGACCCACAUAGUCUUUCAAGAUCUCUGCCAAUUCUCUCUACAGUUUCAUCAGAACAUUAAUUGGACAUUGUAUAACAAACGAACUAACCAAAAAAGACUUCUAGAUUACAUCACACAGAAGCAUGUAUUGAUGAAGAAACUAUGAAUAUGAAAUGAAUGUCGUUUCCAGAUUUCUGGGUAAAUUACAACUCUUUCCCAGAAUUACAUCCUACAUCCUACAUCGCAAACAAAUCGAUUUGGCCCAGAAGCCUUAACAUUGAUUAGUUUUUCGAAAAAAUCCGCUUUUUAAACAUUUUCAUCACUCAUGCCAAUGACAACGCUUGAAUCAGAUACUCACAAAGCCAAAUCAUUUCGAAUCAAUCAAAAUCGAUGAACAAGAUGGAAACAAAAUCAGCCGACAUACCUGGAAAUCUUCGUCGGUGGCGAGCGAAUAGAAAGCCGUUUCGAGUUCAGAGAGGGCGUGCAUUAGAGUUUCGGGGACAUACUUCCCGCCAAACUUCCCGAACCGACCGAAUGAAUCGGGUCGUUGCCACAUGGUCGGAUCAGAUCCAGCGGCCUCCGUAUCCGCCAUGAAAACAGUCGGGUCCUUAGCGAUGGUGCAAGAGACGGAAAAAGAAGAAGAGGACCGUGAGCGAGACGAUGGCAGAGGCGUAAAUUUGGGGCGUUUGGAGGGCGAUCUCAGACGGGUUGCUUUGGAAGAAGCUGAAACGGAGGGUCUGAAAGUAGCAGCGGUGCCUGCGGUGGCCAUUAGUGAAUCUUUAUCUAUCUCUCAAACUCAAAGACAAAUGUUUUGCUGACAAAAACCUUGAAACUGUGGUUUUGUUUUAUAGAUUCGUUAUGUGACACUUACCUUUUUUUGACCAGAAAUUCAAUAAAAAAAAAUAGAGGAGGAAAUCAGUACCACGUUAACUUAUUUGCGAACAACAAAAAAAGGUUGGUGAGAAUAUGGCGGUGUAACAUCUUUGGGGGUUGGAUGUGUUUAUCACAUGCCUAAUUUGGUGUUAUCUAAUUUUUUUUUUGGUAAAUGUCCUCUUUGGACCAAAAGACGUAUAUCAGUUUUUGCAAAAAUGAUCAAGGCUUUCAAUAGUGCAAAAACGACGUACUAUUACUCCAUUUCGAACUAAAAUCAUAUACUUAUGGCUAAAUUAAUACAAGUAAACUAACUAUAUAAUUUUAGUUUCAUUUUAUGAUUUUAAAAACUUUUUUCAAUUUUUUUUUAUAAAUUUCCUAUAUUUUCACUUUGUAUUUAAAAUGUGGUUGAUCUUUUAAUGACCAACAUGAAUAUUUAUGAAAGUAAAACACUAUGGAAUUGGAAAAUAGCCAAAAUGACAUCCAUCGAUGUAAAUAUUCGAACUAAAAAAUUCUCAAAACCGGUAAGGUUUUGUCUCUCAUCGAACUCACCGUCUCAAGACAAGUCAAGAACUUGACUUUUGAUUUUGCAUGACCCCUGUUGGUCCGAUGAACCAUCAGCCUCUCAUCCAUUUAUGAUUGACUCACGUGCAUUAAACAACAGACGACGACCUUCGAGUCGUUGAAGCUACAUGAAUCCUAUAAGCACGCGGACAUGAGUUUUCAAAGUUAACACUCACUGAGAAGUCUCUCACUCGGUUGGAUUGAGCUCAGAAAAGUCUAAUCUUUUCUAUCAAAAUGUCCAUUGCUCGACUCUUUUUUUUUUGUUCACAAGUCCAUUCCUCGACUCUAACUCCGGACUGUUGAUCUUAAAGACACCAACAGCUAAGAGCAAUUACAAUUCCUUAUAAGCAUUCAUUAAUCAUUAAAGUACUGUUGUAAAUGUUGUACCAUGUAAAAUUCCUUAAACCAUUCAGUAAACUACACGUAUAUUAUUAAUUAAGCCAUGUUUUUUUUUAUAUACAGUUACGUCAACACAAGAAACCAACUUGACAUUUUGAAUAACAAAUUCUUUACUUAUUUUGAGGUUUUAAUUAAAAUUUUGAAAUAACAAAUUCACAAUUCAUAUUGUAGAACGUGUUGUCUCUAAAUGUGAAAAUGUUCUAACUUAUUUGCAUGUAUGUUUAUAUAUUACACGAAAUCUCGUAGCAGAAGAUUAAAAAAUCAAGCAAUCACACAAGAAUCCUCAUAUUAUUACAUUUUUUCGCCGCGAUUAUUAGUUUAAACUAUUUUUUCAUACUUUUGUCUUUCACACCCGAUUUUCCGCGACCAAUGGGAAAAACCAGAUACUGAAAAUAUAUUAAUUAUUUUAUGUUAAGAAUUUGAAAAAACUUGAAAAAGUUAAUACUGAUAAAAUUGAGCGACACAUUUCUUUAUUAUUCCAGUCUUAACUGUUACACUUUCGAGUGACAGAUCUCGUCUAUCUUCUCCAAUUCGUCUAUCUUCUUCUCCGAUUAAUCUCAUCUCUCGUCGGAGAUUUCGGAAUGAGCACACCUACAACUUCCGGUUCGGCGGCGAAACCGACGAGACCAGCAAGGUCGUCGAGUUUAGCAACUAGGUCAUCUUCCAAUUCCGGUUCCCUCACUUCAUUCCAAGCAAUGGUGGAGCUGAAGCAAAAGAUCCUUACCUCAAUCUCUAAGCUCGCCGAUCGAGAUACAUACCAGAUCGCCGUCGAAGAUCUUGAGAAAACUAUUCAAUCUCUCACUCCCGAAACCCUACCGAUGUUUCUCAAUUGUCUCUACGAUUCGUGCUCCGAUCCGAAACCUGCAGUGAAGAAGGAGUGUCUCCAUCUUCUCUCUUGCGUUUGUAGUCUCCAUUGCGAUUCGACGGCUGCGCAUCUCACUAAAAUCAUCGCUCAGAUAGUUAAACGGUUGAAGGAUUCUGAUUCUGGAGUUAGGGAUGCUUGUAGAGAUACGAUUGGUGCUUUGUCUGGGAUUUAUCUCAAGGGAAAAGAAGAGGGGACUAAUACUGGUUCAGCCUCAUUAGCGGUGGGUUUGUUCGUUAAGCCGUUGUUUGAGGCAAUGGGAGAGCAGAACAAAGUGGUACAAUCUGGAGCUGCAAUGUGUAUGGCUAGGAUGGUUGAAUCAGCAGCUAGUCCUCCAAUUACUUCUUUUCAAAAGCUUUGCCCUAAAAUUUGCAAGCUAUUGAGCAAUUCUAGUUUCCUUGCUAAGGCUUCUCUUUUGCCAGUUGUUUCAAGUCUCUCUCAGGUUUGCGCAUAAUCAUUUUAAUCUCCUUUUCAGGUUAUAGACAGUGCGCACUAUGUUUGUUGUGUUGGAUGGAAGAAUAUGUUGCGUUUUGAUAUUAGUGUGAGUAAGUAGAACACAAAGUUUUAGUCUAUAACACCUGACCUCACUACUUGAGGUUUAGUCUUAAUCCGACACUUUUUCUUUUAGUUGUUGCUGAAGUUUAGUGUUUUGAUUUGAGCUUACAAGUUUCAGUGAUGGGUUUAGCAUCGCUCCCUCUUUACUUUUGGUAGUUCAAUGCUAGUAGGUUCAUUGGUUUAAGUUGUCUAUGAAAAAGAGAAGUAAAGAGUAAUAAAUUUGAUUCAGGUGGGAGCCAUUGCACCUCAGAGCCUGGAGUCAUUGCUAGAAAGUAUCCAUGAUUGCCUUGGAAGUACAGAUUGGGUAACACGAAAGGCUGCGGCUGAGACCCUGACUGCAUUGGCAUCACAUUCAAGCGGUUUAAUUAAGGAAAAAACCGAUUCCACUAUUACCGUGCUUGAGACCUGGCGGUUUGACAAGGUAGCUAUCUUCUCUUUCUCUAAUUAAUAAAAUUCUACUAUUACUGUGUUUGAGACACAUUUUAUUUUACAAGGUAGCAACAUUUUUCAAGUAAUCUAAAGUCGUCCUGUUGUGAAGUAAACUUAAACCUCAUAAGCUCUUCAAUUCCGUGUGAAUGUCAUCAGACAUAUUUGUUAGUGGUUAUAGUACUUUUGGGACUUUCUCCUCAUUUGCUAUGCAGAUGAAACGCACAAGCAAGUAGCUUGAAAUUCCCACGAAGCCUUCCCUUUUGAUUGUUUACUAUAGGAUUUACAUAUCUCAAGGAUUUUCAGUCAUCUAUAAUUUUCUUUCACUACUGAGCGUUGAAAUGGGUGGAUGUUUUGUGAAAUGGUGGAUAUUAUUAUAAACUAUGAUGGAUAGCUACACAUUCAUCAAAAUUCUAUUACUUAGGAUAUUUAAUGAUCUUCUCAAGACAGUUUAAUGAUGGAAUUUUCUUGGACAGAUUAAACCUGUCAGGGAAAGUGUGACAGAGGCGCUGCAGUUAUGGAAGAAGAUUUCUGGAAAAUAUGUCGAUGGUGCUACAGAUGAGUCAAAGCUUUCAUCUGGUGAGCAGCUUGGAUCAGAGAAGAACGCAGAGAAAAGGUCUAAUCUAGCUGAUCUAAUGAAAAAUGAGGCAUCCGAUGGUUCCACACUUUCACCAGACUCUGCUUUUAAAGGAAAAGGAUGUCUUCCUGAAAAAGCAGUAGGACUGUUGAAGAAGAAAGCUCCUGUCCUAAGUGACAAAGAUUUUAAUCCUGAAUUUUUCCAGAGACUAGAAAGAAGGCAAUCCGUGGAAGUAGUAGUCCCUCGUAGAUGUAAAAACAAUUAUGAGGAAGAAUCAGGACUCGAUGAUCUCAAUGCCAUGGGAUCUUCCAAUCACUUCAAGAACACCCAAGCAGAUGAUAAACAGGUAAAAGGUAGGUUUGAUGGGAACGGAUCACAGGCAGGGACAUCUGUUGAUGAUAAGGCUGGUGUUGUAAACGGAAAAGAGGCACCUGGAAAUCACGCUCCUGUCUCCAAUACUGAUAACCAAUCUGAAGGAUCCUUCACAAGUAAUAGAGGAAAUUGGUCAGCCAUCCAGAGGCAGUUGUUGCAGCUAGAGAGACAACAGACAAAUCUUAUGAACAUGCUCCAAGAGUUUAUUGGUGGCUCACAUGACAGUAUGGUGACCUUGGAGGGCAGGGUAAGAGGUUUAGAAAGGAUUGUUGAAGACAUGGCAAGAGAUCUUUCGAUAUCAUCUGGUCGUAGGGGUAAUCUCACAGCUGGAUUUGGCAAAUAUAAUAGCUUUGCUAACUAUCCAACUGGAAAGUAUAAUGGUAGAGCUCCAGGGGACAGAGGCUCACAACCAGAUGGAGCUAUGAGGGGAAGAAUGUGGAAUUCGGACAUGGCGGAUGACUGGUUCAUACCUCCACAUGCUGCUUCCAGAAACGGACAAGCCGGGCCAAGAAGAUCACCUCGGUCAGAACAAUAUGAGAAUGAGCACAUGGGUAAUGGCAGGAGAGGGUGGGAUAAUAAAGCAUCUGGAACUAUUAGAUUUGGUGAAGGCCCUUCAGCAAGAAGUGUGUGGCAAGCAUCAAAGGAUGAAGCUACACUUGAAGCUAUUAGAGUAGCCGGCGAGGAUGGUGCAGUCCCUCGUCCGACCCGAGUGGCUGUUGCCCCUGAAGCUGAAGCCAUGGGAGAUGAUGAAAACGAAGGGCAGGAACGUGACCCGAUAUGGGCUUCAUGGAGUAAUGCAAUGCACUCACUCCGGGUUGGUGACAUUGAUGCUGCUUACGCAGAAGUCCUCUGUGCCGGUGACCAGCACUUGAUCAUCAAGCUGAUGGACAGGACGGGACCUUCUCUUGACCAGAUGUCAAAUGAGAUUGCAAAUGAAGCUUUAAACUUCAUCGCUCAGUUUUUACUGGAUCAUAAUCUCUACGACAUUUGCUUAUCUUGGAGUCAACAGGUACAUCUCUUAAGUACAUUGGUUGGGUUCCAAAGCAUCAUACCUAUGUUUCGUCUUUAACCUCUCUUUCUCUCUCUUUUUUUUUUUUUUUGCCAUUUGCAGCUGUUGGAACUGGUUUUACAAGACGGUGCAGACACGUUUGGAGUUCCAGUGGAACUGAAGACAGAGAUCUUGUACAACUUACAAGACGCGUGUUCGACGAUGGAUCCACCUGAAGACUGGGAAGGUCCUGCGCCGGAACAGCUCGUGGUGCAGUUGGCAUCAGUUUGGGAAAUCGAUCUCCAACAGUUUGACAAGUAAACAUGAGCUUGUGAUCAGAGCUUUAACUUGAGUACUGUUGUUGUUUAUAAUUUUAGUACAGACAUGAUUCGACAUCUAGAGUUUGAUUUUUCUUAUUAAAAUCCCCUAAAAGAUGACUGGAAUUGAUCAAAUAUUGCUUUGUAUUUGAGUUUAACAAUAUUUUGUUAUUCUUCCUUUUCCUUAAUUGAAAAAACCAGAACUUUGAAGAACAAAUAAUUAAAUAAGAUGAGGGAAAGUGGGAAAUAAGAACAAACAAGUUUCCACCGUAUGUUUCUUAGUAAUUUUAGUUUAUUUAUAUAUGAAUUACUUUAAAAAAUAUCAUUAACAAAUCCCUAAUGUUUAUAAAGAUUUAUUAAAUAAAGUUUUGGCCAGAUAAAAUUAAUUAAUUUAAAAUAGCUCUGUGGAAGCUUGGUGGGCCCAUAACCACAUAUUUUCUUUUUUCUUUUUCUUCUUCUCUCUCGCACCAAUUUUGUGAAAUCGAAUUAGAAUUGUUUUCGAGUUGGGGAAAAGAUCGAGCAAAGAUCACUCUGAAUCAAUCGAUUAGCUAUUAUGGGAGUUGAUAAAGGAAAAGGUUUAUCGGAAAACGUCUCAAGUUCCGGUGAUUUCUUCUUUCGUGCUGGUCCGUCCUUGACCCGUGAUAGUGCCAUGACUCCAAGUAGCUCGCAUGGUUAGUUCGCUAAUCUUUUUUGAAAUCGAUUGAUUUUGUAAUAGACGGAUGAUUCCAACUAGUUCGUGUGGUUGGUUCUUGUAUUGCUAGGGUUUCCGGGUUCUUGUAGAUUGGUGUUUUGAGUAUAUGUUUUUCUAGUAUUGGCUUAGACUGUUGCUUGCUUGCUUUGUGAUCCUUCUUUUGGUACAAACUCUCUCUGUCAUUCUUUAAUAGAAUUGUCAAGUACAUGCUAACAAGUUUACUUUCUUCUUCUUCUUUUUCUUCUUGUUUUAUCACAGUUCCCUUUCUCAGCACACGAUAUCCAUUGCGCAUGCCGCUGCGUUACGGAUGUGCAUUGUUCGGAUGCUCAUUGCCGGUGCCCACUUCAGAAAAAAGAUACUGUUGCGAGAGUCAUGAGAUCAUGGCUACUCAAAUGGAUGCCAUGUCCGGUGCGUGCAUUUUCUUCGAUGGUUUGAAGACUGUGGACGUGAGCCUAUGUACUGCAUUGCUGCACAGAACAAGGGGUGGAACAGGUGUAGGAGUUCCAACAUCUCCUGAAGUAUCUUCGCUGUUCUCCCAUGGGAGCUCGGCCCUGAAUUCCACCUGCAGCCUCUCCCUGGCGAAGCAUGUAGGAGCUGGGCGUUCUUCUGUAAAGACCCUCCCAAAAAGAUAUACCCUACAAUGGGUGAGACUUCAUUUUCCUGGAAAAUGAAGGAAUACUUUGAUAUAAUGGUUGAUACAGCUGAAGUGUCUGUUGUCAGACACUCCCUCACUGCCACUGCAUCUUCAAAAGCUCGAGUGAAACAGGGCGACUGGGGACUUCUCCGAUACUCCCACAUGGGUGUCUACCUGUUUUGCCUGACUCUAAAUGCAUCCAGAUCAACUCUUACGCGAACUGCAGCAGCAAAGGAGGGCAGUGGAUUACAGGUUAUGUUUGAUAGUUUUGUUUCUUCUUUACUGAACAUUGGUAAAAGGAAACGUAAAGAGCGAAUUGCCUUGAUGUCUGGCAAGCGAUGGGGCUCUUUGAAGAUCACUGAGGGGUCCAAAAACUCUGCAGAGUCUAAGUCUGGAGUCGAGAUGUUUAAGGAAAUAAGGGACUAUAUUGUGAAACUAGGGUCGGAGGCGCUCACUGAAGAUUUGGAAAUAGAAGUGAGGUACAAAAUUCAAGCACUCUCAGCAGAUGCAGUUGCGUGGUUUGAUCAGAAUGAGGCUGCAGACUUAGAUGAUUGGAGGGCAAAAGCCAAUGAGUUCGAGACAGCUUUGCAUGAACUCAAGAGGGCAUGAAUCAAUGUCGGUGUAAGUGAAUAUAAACUGUAGGUGUAGGCAGAACCAUAAAUAGUAGGAGUAGUAAAACCAAUCAGGGUGUUUCACGUUGGUUACUGCAAUUUUUUUUGUUUAGAGACCAGAUUGUGGUUAUUUUUUUUUUAGGCCAGCCCAUUAUUCAUUUCAUUUGGAACGCUUUGAACAUAAUGAUGUUUUGACGCUUUAAUCAACUUGGGAAUUGGGAUCUUGAUCAAAUGGUUUCAGUUUUCCAAAUUUUUUCCAUCUCACUCUGUUUUGUUGUGUAGACAAAUAUGCAUAUAUGGCUUUGGCAAACAAAAUUUCUAAACUCCAACCCGUUUGUAAAAUAAAUAAGAAAAAUGAUGAAAUUAGAGAGGCUGUGAGAAGGGAUAAUAAACAGCGGUUUAGUCUCAUAAAUGAGAAUGGAGAGCUCUUCAUUGACGCUUACCGGCUGAGUCAGAAAAGUUACUUAAACCAAUACUGUCACCAGAAGAAGCUCCACUGUGUGUACAUGGAACUUAAAGGAAGAAUUUGGAAUCCAUCUUAGCAUCGGGCUUAAAGCGCAUGAGUAGAAUGCAUGUUCACUUCUCUUGUGGCUUACGAACAGAUGGUGAAGUGAUUAGUGGCAUGAGAAGGAAUGUAAAUUUUAUAAUCUUCCUCGACAUCAAGAAAGAUCUUGAAGAUGGGAUUGCGUUCUAAAUUUCAGACAACAAAGUGAUUUUGACUGAAGGCAUUGAUGGUGUAGUAUCCGUCGAUUACUUCCAGAAGAUCGAGAGUCUUGGCCUGAUCGGCAAUCCAUACCUUUGUGAUUCAUAUAAUUCAACAUCACCAUUUUAAAUGUAGAAAAAGGAAUUCUCUUCUCACAAACGCAGGGAUUCUCUUCUCCGACAGGUAACAACACAAUGCUCUGUUAUUAACUCACCAAUUCCUGCAACUCUUUUUCUUACGGCUUUUCCCGAAACUUUUUUGCAAAAUUCUUUUUAAAGAUGGUUCCUUUUGGGGCUACCGGUGGAUUUUUCAAAUUCAAAUAAAGUUUUAGAGAUGAGGUUAAGUUUAGUUACAAAGAGUUUUAAUUUCAUUCUUUGUAUUCUCUAUUGGUAAAGUUGUUAUUUCUUCAAGACAGAAAUUGUAGUUUUUGUACUAUGGACAAACGUAUAAUCUCUACAGACAAAAUCAAUCAUCGUGCCUCUGAUGAACGGGUGCGAUUAGAAGAUCGUGAAGGUGUGACUGAAGAUAAUUGUCUUGGAGCUAUUAGGAAGCUAGAGGUAUAUGAGUUGUGUAUUUCUCAGCUAAUGUAUAGUUAUUAUUAGAAUUUGAAUACAUUAGCUAAUGUAUAGUUAUAACUAGACUUUCUGUUAUCUGCAUCUCUUCUUUAUACCUUUCAUCCCCGUCUAUUUCCUUACGUUUUAAGAUAAGCAUGAUCUAGAUGCGAUGAAGUUAUGCAUAGGUGGUGUUUGUGUGUGAAACAAUGUUUAUAGUUAAAGUUAGCCCUGAUGUCCAAACAAGUGAUUAGCAGUCACUAGUUAACCAUGGUGCAAAGAACUCUACCAAAACAAAUCCAUUAGAAUUAAGAAACUGCAACAAGGAACAAAUUAAGAACACUAAUACAGUUUCACUGAUUUCCGACCGUCCGAUUGAUGUUGAGAUUGGUAGUGCAGAUGACAUUGAAGAGAGAAUCUCCGGAAUCUGUGAGGCAUUGCAGGGGACGAAGAAAGCUCUGAGAGAAUCAGAGAGCUGAAACUUGUCGAGGAAGAAGAAGAGAACCUGCGGUUCUUUUGCUACAAAAUGAAGUCAUUCCCACAAUGACACACGAACCCUUUUCCGGGCGAAUCCAAAUACUUGAAAUUUGGGCAUUGUUGGGCCUUAGGAAGCCCAAACUUGUUUAUAAAGCUUCUGUUAUUUACAUUCUGCAACGUCGUUUCUUAGACUCCUACUACCAAAAAAAAAUCGUCUCUGGUUCUCUUUCUUUGUUAACAAACCCAUCGAAAGAAUUGAUCAAUGGAAUGAAACUUUAUUCCUCUUCUUCCUCUAAACUCUUUGGUCAAUUCCUUCUUCUUUCAAUUCGAUUGUGUGCUAAGAUCCAUCUUGGGGUAUAAUCAGAAUCUUGUUGCCCCGGAUCUGGACUGGCAUCAUCAUCGACAUCCUUCUCUUUCUUCAAUUCGGUAAGAGUUCUUCGAGCAGACUCUAGAUUCGGUUUAAACCAAUUGUUUUUUUGUUGUCGUGUUCUUGCUCUCAAUUUCUGGGUAACCAAGUUUGAGCUUAUUCCUUUUGAUUCUGCUCGGAUCUCUGAUUCUUUUAGGUGAGAUUCCUAUACAUGUCAAUUACAGCUUUUUUUUUUAACAUUUCUCAAUUUUCUUGAGUUGGUAACGUUUUCGAGAUUUUGUUGAUUAGUGCAAGACGACAAGUGAUGAAAAGACAGAGACAAAGGCUUCAAGUUUGUUGAUAACCCUGUCUAAAGAGUUACCUUGAGAGAUUCUGACAUAACAGGAAAAAAAGUUAAAAUACUCAACACUUGCUUGGAAUUUAAAACCCUUAAAAUAGUUUUUUAGUGAUUUGGUUUUGAAAAUUUUCUAUUUCUUUUGCAGGUCAUAAGAAGAAAAGACUUUAUUAGUCUGUCUCUAUGGAUACAGAUCUGAUCAGCAGUCUACCCGAUGAUGUUCUUGGCAAAAUCCUGUCUUUAGUUCCGACAAAGCUUGCUGCUGCAACGUCGGUUCUGUCCAAGAGGUGGAGGAAUCUGCUUCCUCUUGUAGAUAGCCUCGAUUUUGAUGAAUCCAUGCUUUUUUAUCCCGACAACAAAGACGGAGAAGACGAAGCAUCUAGUGACGAGAGUGGUCUACGUCGACGUCAUCGCUUCUCUCAUUUCGUGGACAAAACGCUUGCUCUGUUAAACAAUGCUCCGCUUAUCAAGAAAUUCUCUCUGAAAUGCUUUUAUGAAAAUGAUGAAGCUCGUAUCAACAGUUGGAUUCGCACCGCUCUAGAACGUGGCUGCUUGGAGCUAAAAUUAGAGGCAGCCAAUUAUCUAUGUAUAGAUUCUCAGUAUUUCACUAGCAACACACUGGUUAAACUCACCAUUUCCGAUGGAUUUUAUCCUGAAGGCCAUCUUCCUUUUGGGGGUGUGUUUUUCCCUGCGCUCAAAACACUUACUCUCGUUGAAGUUUCGUUUGCAAGUCGUGACAUGCUUGAAUUCUUCAUCCAUGGAUGCCCUGCGCUUGAGGAAUUAUUCCUAUGCGUUUGGAUGCAAUACUUGUCAAGUCCAAAUGUCAAGCGAGUUACCAUCACUAGUGAUUUUGAUGAUAAUGUUUACCAACUUCCUAGCAUUAGGAUUAAGACACCGAGUCUUAUGUACCUUGACUACUCGAGUUAUGUCGCGGGAGAUUAUUAUGUUGUUUUGGAUUCGCUAGUCGAAGCUAGACUGGAUCUUCGAUUAUAUGAGUCAAUCAUCUAUGAUGAUGAUGGUUCAUUGUGGAAUGAAGAAGUUUUUGGCAAUGUUACGAAUCUGAUUGAGGGGAUCAGAACCAUUAAGAGCCUUCACUUGUCUCCUAAUUCUCUAGAGGUCAGUUUUGCUACUUCUUCUCUUGAGCCCUCACAUGCAGGAGAGAGCCAGUCUAGUGCUAGCUAGCAAGGUCUAUAACUUAUUAGUAAUAUGGCUUAUAUAUAUAUAUAUAUAUAUCAGGUGUUUUACUUUUGUUGUGAUUCGGAUUUCAUGCCGGUGUUGGAAGAUCUCGUUAAUUUAGCUAUCGAAAGUGACAAGGAAAAAGGCUGGGAAGUAAUGCCAAGCCUGCUCAACAAGUCCCCAAAUCUACAAACUUUAGUCAUCAAGGUAUUAUCAUCUUUUGAAGAAAACACACAUAAUUCUUUUCUUUGCUGUCAUUGUACAUGUCAAAUGGUGGUGUGGUUUCAGGGUCUUGUGCACAGAGUUACAGAUUGUUGUGGAGACGCGUGCGCUUGCAUCCGUAUGAAGGACAGGGAGAUAGUAUCCUGUUUGUCGAGGUGUCGAGUGAAGGUGCUUGAGAUUCUUGGGUACGGAGGAAGUUUUAGAGAGCUGAAACAGAUGAGGCAUUUCUUGGGGAAGUUGAGAUGUCUUGAAACUGUGAAAGUUGGCGUUAAAGAGGACAGCAAAAAGAGUAACUACUUGGUAGCUAAUGUAAUGGCUCUCCCCAGAGUUUCAUCAAAAUGCAAAAUUCAGUUCAUCUGAUUUUUCCCUCUUUCUCUUUCUCUCUCGUGGUUAUGCAUUUGUUUUAUAGUUUAAAGUUUAGAAAUUUGUUUUUGCAAAAGCAUAUAUGCAUUCUUUUCAAAAUUUCGUUUAAAAAAGAUGAUCUAGAGAAACAGUAAUUAUGAUAGUUCAAGCUGCGUUUAACAGUGAGAAUAAAAUAGAAGGACAAUGAUGAAGAAAUGUCAAAAAAAAAAAAAAGAAAAUAAAAGAUUCGGAUAUAUCAGAACCAGGUUUCGAUCCUGGGACCUGUGGGUUAUGGGCCCACCACGCUUCCGCUGCGCCACUCUGAUGUUUUGAUUACCUUGAAAGUAAAAACUAUAAAUAUAUUUCGUAUUCUCAAAUUCCAAUUCUUUUCUCGAACAUUAUGUUCCCCCAACCGGAAGAGAAAUUCAAAGAUCUGAAAACAGUGAAAGAUGCGACGACGACCAGGAAUCGGAGGAUUGCAAAAGGCCGCAGCUGCUAGGGUUUCACUCCUAAACCCAAUUUCAUAUUUUUCUCUCGAUUCUAAGUUGAUUUUUGCGCUUUUUAACUCCUUAUCUAUCUAUCAAAAACAGGAUCAGUACAGGUUACUAGGAGAAAAUGUAGCCAAGUUACGCACUGAUAUGAUGAAAGAACAGCUCGCCACGUUCCGUUCCCAGCUUGAAGAGUUUGCUCGUAAACACAAGGUCGUUAUUUGCUCUUGUUAUGUCAUCGUCUUGAUUUCGUAUUAAGAACUUGUAGUUCAUGUUGGAAUUGAUAAAAUUUGUGGUAAUUUUGUCUUUGGUUGCAGAAUGACAUUCGUAAGAAUCCAGCCUUCAGGGCUCAAUUCCAUGAAAUGUGUUCUAACAUUGGUGUGGAUCCUCUUGCUUCCAACAAGGGUUUCUGGGCUGAGCUCCUUGGAAUUGGUGACUUCUACUAUGAACUUGGUAUGUUUCCUCUCCUUUCUAGCGCCACUGAAGAAGAUGCUUCUUCUUUUUGGUUAGCUAUGAUUCAUAAGUCCAUGUCUGGAUAAGGGAAAUAGAAAUCUCGUGUAUGGAAAAUGGCAUAUGUGUGUAGUUAUCUUUUUUUUGGUUAGCUAUGAUUCAUAAGUUCUUAAAUUAAUCAAACAGGAGUUCAGAUUAUUGAGGUUUGCAUGCUUACAAGGUCACACAAUGGAGGUUUGAUCAGCUUGCAAGAGCUCUGCAACCAUCUUCGUCAAAGAAGGAAGAAGGAUCGUGAAGCUGUGACUGAAGAUGAUUGUCUUCGAGCUAUUAGCAAGCUAAAGGUAUCUAUCUAUCUGAGUUGUGUUUUUCUUUUUCUUUUAGAUUUUUGAUAAACUGGAAAUAUUUGAACUGUUCUUGCUGGUAUCUUGGGAUUUUCUCCUCAGGUACUGGGUAGUGGAUUUGAGGUUAUCACAAUUGGGAAGAAAAAGCUUGUCCGUUCAGUACCCACGGAGUUGAACAAAGACCAUAACCAGAUCUUGGAGUUGGCUCAGGUUAUAAUCAUAAUGAUACAUAUUUCCCCAAACGAAAACAACUUUUACAUGUUUUACAUUAUAUCUUAGAAGUUCUACCUGAAGUGACUCAAGGAUUUCUGUUGCUUUCCACACAGGGCCAAGGCUUUGUGAUUGUGGAAGAGGUACAAAGACGCCUCUCAUGGACAUCUGGUCGGGUUAUAGAUGCUCUCGAAACUUUGUUAGAAGUAUGCAUUUGCAUUUCAUUUCCCCAAUUGGAUUAUGUGCUUUGAUACUUAUAUUAUACUGAUAGAUGCAAUGCAAUCUAUGAGAGUCCUGAAACCUUGCAAUAUUAUAAUUCAUUUUCAGGAGGGCCUUGCGAUGAUCGACAACGGCCAUAAAGACGGAAAGUGUCGGUACUGGUUUCCCUGUGUUUCUUCUGUUUACUCAUCCAUCGGAUCUGAUACUUAACCUGGUACAUGCUCUGUUUUUUUUUACUUGUUUUAUAUUAAAUACAGUCACACUUUAUUACAUACUGUAUAAAUUAUGAAGAAAUCUCUUCAUUAUAUUACUUAAAUUUUCUUGUACAUUUAUCAAGAAUUGUUUAUUUCAUAGACCACCUUGUAAAAAAAUUAUUUAUGCUUGGUCGUUGGAGAUCUCGGUUUCUUCUGUCCAGUCAGAGUUUGGUUCACUCCAUGACCUAGGUCUCACCCCAAGCUGGAAAUAAAACACCAUCUCCAAUGCCUCAAAGACCUUACUCUCAUCCAAAACACUGUUCCAUGCCCCACUCACGAUGCAGUAAUUGUUGUUAUACGGUGCUCGAUGAUGUUCUGCGUGCUGUCUCCGUGAAACAAGCAACCCCAUGUCCUGCAACGCCACCACGAGAGGUGGAAGCUUGCUCUUGGUUCCAUGUGCCCAAGCAUGGAAUUGCUGGCUAAACAUUAUGCAAAAUGCAAAUGUGCACACAAAGCCGUGAAAGACAGGGUCGUUAAAUGCAAGGUCUAGUGGGAGAACUGUAAAGGUUAUGACUUGAGCCAGAGCGUGUAGAUUGUUGGCAAAUUGCCGUCUGGUGAUUGUCCAAGGCCACUUGUGGUGACCCUGAAAUGCUUCGAUUUGGCUUCCUACUACUGGUGUUGACUCAUCACCGUAGUUAUCAAUGGCCCAGUGGUAGACACCAGAACCUAGAUCAGCUAAGAUGUACCCUGCACAACCGGCUAAAGCUGGUUCGAGCCAGAGAUGAGAAUCAAACCCUCCAAUGACAGAUUUAGCUAAAGAGACAAACAAAGUGGUGCAGCCUGCUGCAACCCAUAACCGGUGGGUCCAUGUUGAUUUCAAAGUUGGGUCGUUGGACAGAGGAGGACUCGCAAGACGUUGCUCAACCACAAGCUUCUCACGGUUAGGCUGAGGCUUGGACGAUUGCAGAGUGUGGUUGUUGGACAGAGGAGGUUUCACAAUGUGUUGCUCUACCACAAGCUUCUCACGAUUUGGCUGAGGCUUGAUGGUAGUAACAGAGCAGGUGACACGUACACGGAGAAGCGACGGACGGUAGCUUGUUGGGAUGUUGGUGAUGGGUCUUAGAGGGUACUUGGUUUGAAGUGAUACAGCCAUUGAGAGAGAUUGCAGGUGAAAGAAUUCAAAUUUUCUAGUUUUCUCGAAGCUAUAACCACAGGAUAUGAUAGAGGACGAGAUUACGCAUAAGUUAUGUUGUGGUGUACGUUAGUGUUGCGUGGGGCUAUUCUGAUCGCUAGCACAUUACCAAGUUGGUUAUACCAACUGUCAAACUUAUUUGAAAUUUGGAUUCUUAGUUUCUAAAAGUUACAAACUAAAACCCAACAUUUCAAAAAUGUUCUGUUAGCCCCCCAACCCAAAAAAUAAUUUUAGUUCGGUUUCUCAAAAUCAGUUAUUCUGGUUUAGUUUCGAAUUCGAUUCAGAUUGGUAUAUUCGGAUUGUGUUUGUCUUAUUCAAAAUUUUAUAUGCGAAACUGGAAUAUGUUAGAACGUUUGACCAACAAAAAUGGUAUGAUGUGGAGAUUUAAAAUAACUUGACUUCACAUCGUUACAUGAAUCUGGAAAGUAGACAAAAUAAAUAAAUAAAAUACGUUAAGAAAAGAAACUCAUGGACGAUCGCAAAAUCGAGACUUGCGAAUUCGACACGGAAACGAGACAGUAACCGACUCAAGGGCGUUAACAAUGGCUGCUUCAUCGUCUCCGUGCGUCUUCUUCACCACUACCUUACUGCUGCUUCUCUCUAUUUCAUCCGUGAAAUUACCAUUUCACCCUCGGGACCUGCUUCCGCUUUUGCCCAGGCAAGUCUCGUGGCCGGUUCUUAAUUCUCUCAACACAGCCGUCGAUCUCCUCCCUACUUUCAUCGGCUCCGCUUCUGUUAAAAACGACGCCGUGGAGUGGAAAGGUGCUUGCUUUUAUGAGAACAAAGCUUGGUUAGAGCUCAAUAACAAGUCCGGUUCCGAAUUCGGCGGCGGCACACUUCACAUUAAGGUUACGAAAUGAUGAAUUGGAGCUCUAAAAUCUUUGCUUUUCAUGUUCUGGGUUUGAUUUUGAGCGAAUACGUUUGAGGUUUUUGUUCAUGGGUUUGUUUAUGUUCUCACGCUGUUAGAUUUUAGAUAUUAGACUUCUGAGCUCCUGAAAAAUUUCGGAGAACAUUUGAAAAUUAUAGGCUUAAGAGUUACAUUUACUCUUUACCUUGGAUGUUUCUAUGGAAGCUCACAGAUUUUAGAUUAUUCCAUUGUUAGUUACUACCUUUUCUAUAUGAUCCUGGGAAGCUGUUUUUCGAAUGAUGAAUCCUAAAUUGAUCCAGUUAUUACGUGUUUUGUGCAGGUCGAUAAGGCACAUAGUUGGACUUGCAUGGAUAUUUAUGUCUUUGUCACUCCAUAUCGUGUGACAUGGGAUUGGUACUUUGUUUCGAGGGAGCACACUAUGGAAUUCAAGGAGUGGGAGGGUAAAGCCGAGUAUGAAUAUGUAAGCUGCUCUUCUUCCGUUGUUAUCUUUUUUUUUUUCAUUUUUCUGUUAAUAUAGCUAAUGGAUUUUUUUUUUUUUGCCUUUCUGGCUCACGUUUGAUCAGGUUAAGCAGAAAGGAGUUUCAAUAUUCCUCAUGGAAGCAGGGAUGUUGGGAACUCUUCGAGCGCUGUGGGAUGUCUUCCCUCUAUUUACCAAUACCGGUUGGGGGGAGAACUCUAAUAUCGCGUUUCUUAAGAAUCAUAUGGGUGCUAAUUUCUAUGCUCGUCCUAAACCUUGGGUUACAAAUAUUACUACCGAUGAAAUUCACUCUGGAGACUUACUAGCUAUCUCCAAAAUCCGUGGGCGGUGGGGUGGUUUUGAGACCCUUGAGAAGUGGGUAAGUGGAGCCUAUGCUGGUCACACUGCUGUCUGUUUGAGGGAUUCUGAAGGGAAACUCUGGGUUGGUGAAUCCGGGAAUGAAAAUGAAAAGGUAAAACUUAAAUUUCUGGAUGAAUUAGUUUUAAAUUAUACGUGGGUUCUAUUAAUGAUGGUAUAGCCAUUGAGUACUAGUUCUUGUUCUGGGUAUCAUUAGAUGAUUAUCUCUGCUAAGAACAAACUAAACUGAUUUUGUUGAACAUCAUCGAAAUGCUUGAUUAGUAACAUUUUAUAUAGUUUCUCGGAACUUGAUAUGACAUGUUCAUAUAAAACCAGUGACUUCUUUCCAAGCCAGUCUUGUGGAAACUGAUUCUUUUAAUGAAACUGCAUUUUCCUUCCUAUUUUUUAUGCAUCUCAUGGUUUUUUUUGCUGUCUUCUCCUUUGAACCUUUGGGUCAUAGGGAGAAGAUGUAAUAGCGAUAUUGCCAUGGGAAGAGUGGUGGGAGUUUGAACAAACCAAGGAUGACUCAAAUCCCCACAUUGCAUUGCUACCGUUGCAUCCUGAUUAUCGAGCCAAGUUUAAUGUUACAGCUGCAUGGGAAUAUGCUCGUAGCAUGGAUGGCAAACCAUAUGGCUAUCACAACUUGAUCUUUAGCUGGAUCGAUACCAUCAGCGGAAAUUACCCACCUCCUCUGGAUGCUCACCUUGUAGGUUUUCAUUUCUCAGAAUUUUGGCAUUGAUGAAUCUCUUUCUUCUUCUUUCUUUAAACAGCUUCUAUCAGUUAGGUUAUGGGUGACGUUGUGAUUGUUUUUUUCCAGGUUGCUUCUGUUAUGACAGUUUGGAGCAAAAUCCAGCCUGAUUAUGCUGCUAACAUGUGGAAUGAAGCCCUUAACAAGCGACUCGGAACAGAGGUAUUAGCAUUUUGUUCAUUCAUUUCACUUUUUCAUAAUGCUUGAUCAAACAUUUUACUCUUAUCUUUCGAGUUCUAUGGAUUAAAAUAAGUAGAAGCUUUUAGAGUAGCAUUGGCUCUUGGCACACGGUACCAUAUGCUUUCUAUUGUUUUUUUUCUCUCUUUUCCGUCAGUAAAUUGGUCAUUGAUUUCUUCUCUUUAGUUCUUUUGCUGAGAUUUGCCAAAAUGGCAGGGUCUUGAUCUUCCUGAUGUACUGGUGGAAGUCGAAAAGCGUGGAUCCUCUUUUGAUGAGUUGCUGGCAGUUCCGGAACAAGAUGAUUGGAUAUAUAGUGAUGGGAAAUCAACUUCUUGUAUCGCUUUUAUCCUCGAAAUGUACAAAGAAGCUGGGCUUUUCGAUCCAAUCUCUAGUUCCAUUCAAGUCACGGAAUUCACGGUGAGAACCAACCUGUACACACCCAAGAAGAUAUACACCCAUACAAAACACAUACACACACUGACCAGUAAAAUUACUUUUUACAGAUCAAAGAUGCUUACAUGCUCAAGUUUUUCGAGAAUAAUGCAAGCCGUUUUCCCAAAUGGUGCAAUGACAAUGAUGAUGUGAAGCUUCCGUACUGUCAAAUACUUGGGAAAUACAGGAUGGAACUUCCCGGUUACAACACAAUGGAGCCAUACCCGCAUAUGAACGAGCACUGCCCGUCUCUGCCUCCAAAAUACCACAGACCAAAGAACUGCUAGAACCGAAAAAUCAAUUGUAUUGUCUGUUUGUUAGGAAUGACUUAGUGUUAUAUGCACGAAUUAAAUUAAAAAGGUCAGUGUCUUUAAAUAGACAAAAAAAAACCUUUGGUAAGAUUCUGUAUAUUUUUGUAUAUAUAAAUCACAGACAUAUCUUCCAUGGUCUGUCUCUUUUGCGGAGAAAUUUCCCGAAAGUAAUCUAGGUCGGAAAUUUGGCUGCGGCGAGAUACCCUGAUUUAUGUGGACUCUGACUCAUAUAACAUUUCUCAUUGAUACAACAAAAAUCAACUUUGUUUCACGUGAAUGAAUCAAUAACUCAUGUCAUUGAUAUAACAAAAUUGUUUGAUCUGGAUGAUACAAUCCUGCAAUACAAUGACUAGUGUCUAGGUCUCAACUAAACUUCUUUCCCAUUCGAAUACAUGUGACAUGUCAAAACUUUUACGAGGCAACAUCUGUUGAGAUUCCCAUGGCGUUUCUCCAAGCAUAUCAGAGAAUAUCAGCAAAAGGUGUUGGCACGCAUGGAGUUCAUUGAUCUUAUCCAGAUCUGUGGCUUGUUCUGAUGAAAGAUCCCUCCACGCUUGAUAAUAUGACCUGUGGAGAAGGAUUCAGGUCAAGCUUUGGAGUGAUAAACAAUGCAAAGCUUUGGAAUGAUGAACAAUAGCGGAAUCGUUUACCAUCUCCAGCCCGGAAUAGCCUCAGGAGGACUACUAAUUUUAGAACACAAAGAUUUUAUGAGCUUGUAAUCGCCAUCGGACUCUAAAAAGAAGAAAGAAAAUUUUUAGCUUCAGACUCUAGAUGUGAUGGCAGAACAAGAUGCAGCUUAAAACACCUAAGAACAAGCCUGAAUAAUUCUAUAGUUUCAACAGAUCAUUUUUUUUAUCUCUAACCAGAUGAAAAUUCACGCAGAAAGCUUGAUUCCAAUAUCAAAACCCAAAGCUAAUCUAGUCAAGAGCUCAAUUCUCAAUCAAAGCCACGUAAUCCGGAGAACAAGAGUUUUGUAUGUCAGUGAAAAGCAGCAUACCUCCAGUCCCGAGGUCAUUGUGAAGAAGCAUGAGAGAAAGUGCAAAUACAACAGAGGGAAGAAGAACCCUGUAGUUUGUACACAGGAGCUGUUGGAGGUGUACAAUUACUUCCCCUAUUAUGUGCUCUGAAUUUUUCAUGCUGUCUUCGAGAUUUCUUUUCUUAAAGUAUCCUAACAAUGUCAGCAAAGUUUCUGGUUUUGUUUUACUUAAGACUGUCUGGUCAAAAUCACUAGCUUUAGAAUAAAGCUUCCCAAGAAUAACUGAAGCCGACAGCCAGCGUAGAAACUUUGCUACCAAAGUCUCCUCUUGUGGAUCUUCGGUGAGUAUUUUAGUAUCUUGAUGAGACUCAAUAGGUUUAGAUCCCUUUUUAAGGUCACUCUUUAGUGCUGUGGAGGUUCCCCACAAAAGAAACCUUCUCAGCUUGUCCACGUCCUGAAAAGAUAUCAUAUGAUACAAACACUUUAAGCUCUUCAAAACAAAAUUGGAGGGAUGCUCAAUAGUCAGAGAAAGGGAGAGAGAUACCAUGCAUAUUAUGUCAACUGGCGGGGUGCUCAUUAAUAUAGUAAUAAGCCCACUCUCUGCACUAGCUUCGACUUGAGGAGAACCAAAAUUAGCAACACCCUCAAAGAGUUGGAAUAUUCCCUCGAUUGUGAUGGUGAAAUGUGGCUGGUACAUUUUUCGUUUCUGUGAAAUCUUUAGAGUAGCAGAUAGUAUCUGCAAAAUUAAAUCAACUGAAGUACCAUUUGCUUGUACUGAUACCAAGCCACCACCUAAAAGUUUGUAUAAACGCGAUGAGAUUUCCAUUAGCCCUUCGAGGCCAAAUCGUUGCAACCACUCUGUAAUGUUUCUGGAGGCGAGAACAUCAGUUAUGAUCUGAUACAACAAUAUCACAAAGUAAGUCAAUUAACGAAUACACUAUUCUACAUAAGGACUCUUGAUGCAAAACAGACAACAAUCCUGGUUAACCAUUGAGAAAUUUGAUUCAAUUUUGCAUUCAUCAUCAUAUUUAUAAAACAGAAUCUAUAUUCUUAAACAGAGUGCACACUUGUCCAUGACUAAAUUAAUAGCAUUAAUGGAUAUACUGUACAUACCUCCAAGACAACUACCAAGUGCAGAUCUUUGUCUCCAAUCGGCUUUGUAGUAAAAUUUGAGAUAAACGAUGAACACCAUGAAAACAGACCACAGUUUUCAACUAGAUGUCGGGCCAUCUUAUGGAAUUUGACUGACUUUCUCACAACCUGAAAAGUGAAAGAAAGACAGUUUAUGUCGCGUUGAAUUAAGAGCUUGAAGGUUUACAGAAGAUACCCCAUAGUUUACAGACCAAAUAAAUACAUUCUCAGCAUUAACCUUAUAUUGAUAUUGAAUAAGGAACUGCAUAUAAGUGCAAAAUAAACACUAAAUGACAUAAAGGAAAGAAAGUAUCACCUGAAGGAUUAGUCUUUUAGUUUCAUCAUCAGCAAGAGGAGAUGAGGAAAAACUAAUCACUGUCUCAAGGAUGGAGUUUUUAAUGUAAAUUUGAACAUCAUCAUCUGAUUUCAAGCCCAGACACACUAGGCGUAGUUCCCAAAACCUCUGCGAUCUAAAGUUAACAGCGCUGCUCCAGAAAAAAUCAUGAAACAAAGGUAUUCCCUAACAAAGAGAAAAAUCAAAAGUCGUUUGAAUGCUGGCAUAGUGUAAAGGAUAAAGACAAAAGUUUACAGUUUUCAGAGAAUAAGUACCCUCAGUUUCAGUGUAGAUGAACUCUGCAAAAGUUUAUUUAUGGGAACAUAAUGUUCGUGAGAAGGAUCCAACAAUAUCAGAGAUGUCUCAGCAGCAAAAAUAGCAGAAACAGUUGGGAUUCUUUGCCAUGGUUCCUCAACUCCAUUUUGUACAUACAUUAGCAGAAGCCUAAGCCCUGUUACAUGCUUGUUCUUCCUACAAUUCUACAUCAAAAUGUUCUAGUUAAACAAAGAAAUUUUCACUGGUGUGUUCAGAACCAAUUUAACUUUGGAAUAAUCGAGAACAAAUCUGACCAUUAAACCUCUGCAAAACCAAUUACUUAACGAAAAGAAAAGCAUUGGUAGGAUUAGGACCCAAAACUCCCAACAAAAUUAAUACUUCUGCUAUGUAGCAGUUGAAAAUUAAUAUCUUUUCCCAUCUUUUUGUAGAAUUUAAGUUACUGAAAGUACCAUUCACAAAAUAACUAUUACCUCAAGGGCAUCCAGAAAUAUUUGAAGAGUUUCAUAACCCAAUUUUCUCAUCCCAAGAUCUGCUGAAGACAUGCUCACAAAUGCAACUGCAAGCAAGCCUAAGCUGGCGAAUUCCACAGGUUCAAUGUAACCCACGGACAAUGAGUCUAUCGAGAAGUGCAGGAUGAAAGCCGGAUCAUAUCGUUCAAUGUCCUCAAUAACAGGUGAGCAUUUCUACACAGGGAGGAGGGAUUAAUUUGAUAGAUGUUUAAAAAUGCAAGUAUACGAACUUUUAACUGAAAAUUAAAACUAAAGACGGGUACCUCGUUUAUUGGAUCAUCAUAUAGGUAAAAAUUGUCCGAUUUCUCUGUAGUCCGUUGAUAAGGAAAAAACAAAACAGUUGAAGCACAGAUUUUGGGAUCAACACAAAGAUUCUCUUUAAAAAGACUCUGCUGGACAUCUUCCACUAACUCAGCUUGACCAACAUUAGAUGCAUCCUGUUUGAAACGCAGUCCCUCUCUUAAUUUCAAGGCAGCUUUACCCCACAAAUCUGUUUCAGAAACAUUUAGUGUCUGUUCGGCAUCAAUCAACUUGAUAUCAUGCAUCAGCUUGUAGAUCUCCAAGUCGAUUUCGCUCAGAGUUGCACCAUAAGAACACAAAAGAAAAAAAUGCAGUUCUUUGAGAUUGAUGCCUGGAUCUUUUCCACAUUUGAAGAGCAGCACUCUGAGAAUUUUGACAAUUUCUAACUGCUUCGCAUAGUUAGGUGCUUCGAGACAACACCUUUUAACACCGACAGAAUUCGGACUUGAGAUGAUAAGAUGAUUUAGGAUGCUGGAGACAGGCCUGAAUAAUUCACCAGUAUGUGAGGAUGAUAUGGAGAGAGAACUGAUAGUUGGUGUAAACUGAGAGUGAGAUAUUAAGAGUUGGAUAUAUGGUGCAUAUGAGUACUUCCCUCUACACAAUAAAGAGAAAAUUUCUCUCAGUAUCUUCAGUGUCUUCGAGUCCUCAAAUCUAUACAGAAGCACUGAUUUCAUCAAUCUCUCCAGGAAGGGAAGGGAAUCCAACUGAACGAGCUCCUCACACAUGUUUUCCAAAAACUGUAGAAUACUUCUCAAAAUGAAGUUUUCAAGGCUUUUGCACAAGGACCAACAUUUGUCCUGUUUUCCUUCAGAAUUCCCUUUGAAAGAUCCAUCAGAUUUCUUGACAACACAUUGCCAACUAUUAACUAAAGCAUCUAGCAACGGGUUUGAUAAAAUCGCUCUAUUGGAUCCAAUUUUUGAAGAACUUUUCUUCACACAAGUACCUGCUGCACGUUUAACUUGACACAAACUGCUAUCCUCAGGAAACAAGCAAAUCCUUGAAAGUGUUACUUUUGCAACCACACGGAUAGCAACAUUUAACAUUUGGUCUACUGACUGAACGUCCACUUCCUUUAUCUCGUAAUCCAACAUCUCCUUGCCAGUACUAGUGUGAGGAAACAUGGAAUCAAAUACCUUAAAGAGAUCAUCUUCUUUAGUUGGACUUUCAGUCAAGGAAAAGUGGUACUGAAACAUACGUACUGCCUUCCCAAUAAGACUCGCAUUAAACAUAGUGUCCAUAUCCUCAGUCGUUGACAGAAGAAUCUCUUCAUACUUCUCUUCAAAGAUGCACCUAGACAAAAACCUCGGCCACUGAAGAAAACCAUUUAUUAGUAUAUUUGAAUAAACUGAAGUUAUAUCCAAACAUCUAUUAAACGGCUUCUCGAGUUUUGCAAAAACUGAUGUCAGAUACGAUAGCACAGCAGGCAGGAGCAUGAUAAACUGAUCAUCUGUAAGCGCAGAGACAUCCUGUUUCUUACUUAGCAUGCUAAAGAAAAAGUUUCCAAAGACUAACAGAUGCAAGGGACUGGACUCCACAAGGUAGAACAAUAUCUUGGCUCUGGUUAUGCUUGCCCGGUUAAUGCAAUGGAUAAUCAAGUCUUCAGGGGUUCUUCCAACAAUCAGUGAAAUUUUCAAAACCAACGGGUGAACACUAUAAUUUUGAUUAUGUUUCCCCCUGAAAAUACCACCACAAACUUUAAGCAAACAAAUAUCUGCCGAAUCCAAAUCAAGAGAGGUAGAAAACUUGCAUGCCAUGCUAUAUACUUUCUCAAUGAUGUUACUGGCAUAAUUCUUUUCUUCUAAUUCCCACAGCAAAUCAUAUACCCCUCUCUUAGCAGUCGGCUGGUGUGAAUAUAAUACAAGCAUUUCAAAAGCUCCACCUGCAAUACCCAAUCCCAAACUGAGAAGAAUACUUGAAUUUGGGCUUGCCAACCCUCCCUCAUCAAUUUUACUCAGCAUGGAAUGAGCAAUAAUAAAAAGUUUAAAAGGUGAUAUAAAUCUUAACAAAGCAUGAAUCAAUUGUGAUGGUUGGAGAAGAGAAGCGUAACUUUGAGAACAACCACAAAGCUCAAACUUGACCCUAAAUUCCAAGAGAAGCCUUUCAACCAAGUCCUUAAACGCUAUAAUUGACUUAUUUUCCCUGAGGUCCUCUUUCCACAGAUUGUGUUUCUCAUCAAGCAAAAAGUGCUCACAAGUAGAAACCAAAAGAUCAAGGAUGUGUUGAUCUAUUUCACUAUAUACUAGCCUGCCCGUUGUCAGCGAUGUUUCUGAAAAAAUCUCAACAUUCUGCACUGGAGGUAAUGUGCCACAAUCCAAGGGACUCUCUAACAGUGCCAUCACAACUGGGUGGCAAAGAACUGUCAGGGCCACUUGAUGCUUCCACUUUGCAAAAGAAGCAAACAACUUAUUUGAAGAGGAUCCAGAAACAAGCUCCGGUUCUGAUAUUUGAGAGAACAAGUUCUUCAUGAGAUGUAAGCAGAUCUCAGAGAGUUGAUGGAGUACUGGAGCUGGUUGAACCUUGUAAGAUGAUCGUAUUUGGAAGAGCCAGAACAUUAUUAAUUGGAUAUUUGAGUCAAUACUACCACUUUUAGGCUGCGAAACUUUUAGCAGGAGUAGCUCUGAUAUUCUUGGAAACUCUGGUAAGCAAGAUAUAUCCAUGCUCAUAAUUGCGUUAAGUAAUACAGGAAAAGGAGCCUGCUCUAAGAACAUAGAGAAGGCAGAAGAUUCAAUAUCACAAUUGUUCAUCUUACUUCUGAUUUCUUCAGUUACGGACGAGUGGCCAGAAAAAUCAAUCUCACUAUCUACUGUUGCUUCACACAGAUUCCUUGACCCAGUAAAUUCUGAACCUGGAGCAAACAAGUCAGGCGAUAGUUUUGAAAGGUUUCCAAGGAAAUUUUCCUCUAGAAAGGUGAUGGACUGUAAAAAUGAGAAUGGUGUUCCAUAAAAGGCCCAAGAAACAUCCAUCACAGGAGCAAAAUUUUGCAAGAUCGAUUCAGGUGUUGCACAUAUCAAUGCAGAAGAAAACGCUUUAACUAUUCCUGCAAUUUCAUCCGGAGAAAUGCUUCUAACUAGUCUUUUGAUCUCAUCAAGAGUCUCUGUAAAAGUACUAUCAGUAGGAAGACCCGUUGUCCUUCUGGAAUGCAAGAUGAUAGGUUUUUCGUUUGACAAGGAUUGUGAGAAACGAAGCAACCUUCUCAAUGGCCUCCAUUCACAUAAAGAAUCCUUAGAUCCAUCAACCACAUCAGAUAAAACUGACUGGAUCAAACAUGAGAGUAAUUUGGAAUCUACCUACAAUAUUGAAUUUAUAGGAAAGAUAUUGGUAUCUUAAGCGGUGUAAACUAGAAUAUAAACCAUAUUGCAUGGUAAAGGUUAAAUACAUACACCUGCGUUUGCAAAGAUAUUUUACCUGAGUUUGCAAAAGAUAUUUCAGUGUGCUGCAGACGUACAGAGAUAUUGCUGACUUCUCCGGUAAAGACGUUUUAGAUUCAGAAUUUAGUAGCCUCACACACUUCUGUAGUAGACAAAUAAUUAGGGGGCUAAAACCAAUUGAUACACCUGCAACCAACGCAGAGAAGAUACACACAAGUCAAAAAAUACUUCUAGGUCUAUAACAAGUAACUAGGAUAAAACUUGCAUGAGAUUAAUUGAAUCGUGUUUGAUAAUCAACAAGUUUUCAUCAAUUCUAUACCAAACCAUUGAUCUCGGGGGCAAAAAUACAUAUACCUUUUAAAUGGGACAAGCUACUUCUGACAAUGUCCCAGUGCUUGAAUAAAUUAUUUCCAACAGUCGAAACUGCAUCACAUAAAAAGGAGAUGACAACUGAUGACAUGCUCUGUACAGCCUCCUGAACCUCAUGAGGUAGUUUAAUCUUUUCAAAACAUGGUAGAAACAAGAACCAUGCACCAAUUUCACUUGGAUUGUUUUCAAAUGCACCGGUACUGUUCAUAGCUGCCACUGCUAAAUUGUACGCUAGAUCCUUCACCCCGUUGUGUGGUGAAGAAAGUAACAAAUUCAUGAACACACGCAAAUGCUUGUGCAUAAGUGGUGGAAUUCUUGUAGGACCUCUGUCACUUUGAGACUUUGGCGUCCAACUGAUGUACUCAUUUAGCAAAGACAAGAGAGCUCUCUGCAAUUCAACUGGCAAACCUGAAGAAUUGCUCAGAAAUUUCAUGAAGACAUCAAACGAUCCUUCAAGCUCAUUAGGUACAGCACGCUGCAAAGAUGAAACAUGUAGCUUAAAACCAGAACUCAUCAAGUACAGAUGAGGAACGUUUAAGCCACCAAUAAUGCAUAGAUAUCUUUACAUUAAUAAAUAAACUAUAACAAAGUGACACAAGAAAGAGACAUUUGACCAGAACUGGAUAAGCAACGUAUGAAUAUUUCCAGUUCUCUAGCUGUCAACUGGACAAACCACUACAACUCAAAAAUCAAACUUCAAUUGGUAUACAUUACAAAGACUUCAAAACUAAUAUUUGACAAGGAGAAUUUUAAAGGACAGUGCAAAACAAUAGACAUCCUGUCACUGGCUAUAUAUCAUUAUAGCUAGAGGAUUUUAAACUAAUAACUUUUCUGUAAAGGUUCGGCUUUUUCAUUUUUCAACAACACAAACAAAAAUAAUGAUAAGAAAAAUCAACGUACCACAUAAAUCUUGAGGGCAUCCAGAAGCUUUAUGUGAAAACACAUCUCUGCUUCUUCGACCGAAUCAAUAGGCUUAGAACAAAGCUCUGAAACCCAAAUUUCUGAAACAAUCCCAAGAUAUUCUUUUUCAGCAUCUUCCUGAUCUGUCAUAUGAGCAUCCAUAUUAUCCUCUGCCAAAAAGAUAUCUUUAUCAGAACCUACCCCACCAAUGACAAUAUCACCAGCCUCUUCUUCCAAAACAUCCUUCUCAGAUCGCUUAAAGCGUUUUUUUCUGCCUACUAAUCCACUAUCCAACUCUGCUUCUCUCUUCAAUGACAGCUUUUGAGUUCCACUAGAACCGUCCAAAGACUUCAGUACAAUCAAUAAGACCUGGGAAUCUGGAAAAAAGCUGCUCACUUCACCCAUGACGUUCCGCUCAACAGAGCAUCUAUGAGAUGAACAAAGGUUCCAAGCAGUAACAAAAGAAUCCAACAGCCUCAGCGUCUCCAAGAGAAAUCUCAAGGUCCCAUGUUUCACAAGAAAAUCAGAAUGGAGCAUUCCUUUAGUGAUCAGUGACCGGCUAAAUGGUCGGGGGCAUAUGCAUUUCAUGAUAGUCUGAACAUCCGAACCACCAGAAGGAAGUGUAGCACGUUGAUCUGGAUUGAGAAAGUCAAAAGAACAUGAAGUUCUUACUGACGAUACCAAAUUUGCUGCCACGGAAAUAGAAGAAAACCUGCAAUGACUUCAGUUACUAUGCAAAAAGAAUGACAAAACAGCAAAAAUUGCGUAGUAAAAUAAAAGAUAUAUACACUUUCGUGCUCUGAAGAAGACUAACCAGGAUGGUGAUGCAAAAUCUUCCACAUUGUAUGGAAACUCGUCCAAGAAAGCUGAAGCUAAAGACGGUCUACCCCUAACAAUGGCUAGAAGCAAAUCCCUGUGAUAACCAAUUUCUGCUGCUCUCAACCUCUUCAUGAGCAUUAGUAGUCUGUCUGAAUUGCCUCUCAAAUUUCUCUUUGCAUCUGGCAUCAAUCCAUUACAGGGGUCUGUGCAAACUUUAACAAGAACAUCAUGGGCCAACUCAUUCACAAUCCCACCAUCCUCUCUUGCUGAAAUGCUGGCUAGCUGCUCUAGCGUCGCACUUCCAAAAAGAACACUCCUUAGACCAGGAGAAAUCAAUGAUUCUUCAACAAGGAUCUUAUCCUUUAACGUAGACAAGACAGAAGCCACAGUGUCUUCAUCGUCUUUCCCAAGGCCCCGCAGGACUUUCGAAUACAUUUCUUUCUGCUGCAAAACUGAUCUUAGCAAUCCAGGCUUCCCAACUUCAAGGAAUGAUAUUGCAAACCCAACAAAGGCCUUCCUUGUUGAAUGUUUCUUAACCUUUUCAGUCCCUCGCGUUUUAUACUCUGCUAGUUUUGCAAAACUCUUAAAAUCAAACUUCUUAGCUAUUUCUGAUGCCAUGCCUGGACCACGUCUAACAAUCGAAGCUAACAAUGAAAGUGCAGCAGACUGUUGUUUUCCCUCUUUUCUGUUCAAUUCUUUGUAAAUGUCAUCCAGUUUAUCUUCAAUAAGUAACCUACCAAACUGGUCUAUAGCUCUUCCUAUAUCAGUUGAUCUAUCUUUUCCAUCUGGAUGACUCAAAAUCGUCUGGAUAAGCGAGAAUAUGUAGGACAGUCCUUGUUUUUCAUGUCGAAGCUUCCAUGCCUCCAGAAGCUCAGCAAAGUUGGGUGAGCUCUGGAAAUAAAGACGCAACAAAUCGCCACCAGUUUCUCCCUUGAGUAACUUAACAAAUUCUUUUGCAGCAUCAGAACAUAGCUUAAUCUCAUGUAAGCAAAUCUUAUGCAACAAUUCUCUAAGUUUAGCUUCGUGGGAUGGUCUGAAAGCCAUCACUGGGAUAUUUUCCACCUCAACAUCUCUAUUCCCUCCGUCCACCAUCAUUCCUGAUAUAUCAAACAAAUUAUUCAAUCAGAGAGUAAAAACUACUUCUCCACCAGCCCACACUGUUCAAGAGAAUUAAAGCUACUCAAAGACAAAAACUUUACAGGGAAAUACAAACAAGAGAUACAAGUCUUCAAUAUAAUUGACUCAAAGAUCCCAACAAGUAACAGUUUUUACUACUUUUCCGCAAUUUCCAAUGGUUAGUUUUUUUUUUUUUGGUUGGAAAAAAUCAAACAGAUAUUGCUAAACGAGUCUGCACAUGUCAAGCUCUUAUCGUACCUUGAUCUUCCAAGUCUGAUAUUGAUUCCGCCAUUAAAAGAACACUACAGAGAGUUCUUCUCUCUUCCCGGGGUUUUAGGGUUUAACAGGACAAAACAUUUCGGCGACGCUGAGAUGUUUUGAAAUUAGGCAUCUCAAUCCCAAACCGAUCCCGAUCGGUCCGAAUCGAUUAGACUUUACUUAACCGGGUUGUUCCAGUGCUCUUAUAAUGGGCCGAGCCCAAGCCUUUUUUAUUGGGCCAUGAGAGGUUCAUAUCACAAGCAACUUUUGACUAUAAAAAGGAAACAGAGACAGGAAAUCUUUCUCUCCCUCUUUUGCCCUUUCGUCCUCGAGCUCAUCCCUUAAAUUGCAUCGGCGACAUUCGUCCCUUCUGCUAGGUUAUCGUCGUCAUGAUGCAGCAGCCACCUCCAGCUUCUAACGGUUCUGCCGCUGGGUCAGGUCAGAUUCCUUCUGACCAACAAGCUUAUCACCAGCAGCAGCAGUCGUGGAUGAUGCAGCACCAGCAGCAACAGCAAGGUCAGCCGCCUGCAGGAUGGAAUCAGCAGUCUGCACCGUCUCCUGGUCAACCUCAGCAGCAGCAAUAUGGUGGUGGUGGUGGAUCUCAGAAUCCAGGAUCAGCUGGUGAGAUCCGGUCGCUGUGGAUCGGUGACUUGCAGCCAUGGAUGGAGGAGAACUAUCUCAUGAACAUCUUUUCUCUUACUGGCGAUGUAAUUUUUAAAAUCCUGUUAAUUCGUUGCUCCGAGUUUUUGUUUUAAUCUCUUGUUUUUCUGUUAAAUGUAUUGAAAGUUUCAUCCUUUAUGGUUGCAGGCUACAUCAGCUAAAGUUAUCCGCAAUAAACAGAGCGGAUAUUCAGAAGGUUAUGGGUUUAUUGAGUUUGUGAACCAUGCUACAGCUGAGAGGAUUUUACAGGCUUACAAUGGUACUACAAUGCCCAGCAGUGACCAGGCCUUCAGGUUGAACUGGGCUCAGCUUGGAGCUGGAGAGAGACGCCAGGCUGAAGGGCCUGAGCACACGGUUUUUGUUGGAGACUUGGCGCCUGAUGUUACCGACCACAUGCUUACUGAAACGUUUAAGGCUGUGUAUUCCUCUGUCAAGGGAGCUAAAGUUGUGACAGAUAGGACUACUGGACGGUCCAAAGGAUAUGGAUUUGUCAGGUUUGGGGAUGAAAGUGAGCAGAUUCGUGCCAUGACUGAAAUGAAUGGUCAAUACUGCUCAUCAAGGCCUAUGCGUACUGGUCCAGCUGCCAACAAGAAGCCUCUUACAAUGCAACCAGGUAUGUUUUGAUAUUAAGGAGCCUGAUAUCUGAUCACUUAUGAAUAUGUUUAGUGGUGAUAUGACUCACAUUGUCCUUAACUUUCUAUGCUAGUUGAUUGUCUUUUCUUUGGGUUAUUCUUUACCACUAUCUUUCUGGUUAGUGAAGCUUUUUCUGUUAGUUGGUGCUCUAAGAUUAAGAGAAUGUGUCUACCCUUUUCUUCCGCUUCUUGCCUUUCAGCUCUUCAAAGAAUUUAAUAUCGCAAAACAUCCUAAAACUUAUAAGAAAAAACUCAUGUUGUCUUAAAGCAGGAGAACAAGGGGCUCUCUUUGGGGGGGGCCUGGAACUGACUUCAGCUGAAAAUGAUUCCACCUUAUUGCGUGGCCUCAUUUAGGUCAGUUGGUUAUGUUUUCAGAAGAAGUUAAUUACAAAGCUUUUACUCCAUUCGCAAAUUAUUUUCCAGUUCCUUACUUAUCAAGCAUAAGUCUUUCCUUUUAAUUUUAAGCCCUACCUUUAAGUUAAUUCUUUUCAUGUUACAGAGUUCAUUACUCCAUUUGCUUUUUAUUCCAGUUUGAAUCCUUAAAGAGUGUUUUGUUAUCUUUUUCAUACCUCUCAAUUCAUCUUUUUCCAGUAAAUAGUGCUGCAAUUUUUUUCCUUCUUUCAGUUACAUUGCGCCUCUAAAUUUAUACUUGCAACCCUUUUUAGUGUUACUUUUCUUCUUUCCUGAAAAGUUGAUUACAAUGGUAAGGCAGUCAGACUUUCGCAGGAAUUUAGGUUACUUGAUACCCUAGAGAAUUUUAGUCCCAUUCUCUAAUUUCUCAAAGUUGGAUCGUGCAGGCACUUUCCCCUAAUACAUCUUUAAUGAUUUUUGUAUCAAUUAUCAACUAAUUUCAGAAUCACUCUUCUAGUUGUAUCAUAUAUAUGUCAUUUGCUUAUAUGCUGAUAUUUUUGGGUCUUGAUUUGGAUAAGUUCUGCAACUGCUAUUGUUGUGUUACUUGUGUAUGUGUGUUUGCUUUAGUGUCUGUUUCCUUGCACUGUCAGCUGGAUUAUAAGUAAAUAGAUGUUUGAGUUUUUUUUCCUUACUGUCUCUUGACUGCUUUCUUGCAGCUUCAUAUCAGAACACUCAAGGAAACCAAGGAGAAAGUGAUCCAACUAACACAACAGUGAGUACUUUGUUUUGGUUUCCCUAAGCCUUUUUUUUUUGACAUCGCCUAAGGCUUUUCUAUGUGGGGUAUAUUGUUGAAUUUAAGCAUUAUGUUUCCUAUUCCAGAUUUUUGUUGGAGCUUUGGAUCAAAGUGUAAUAGAAGAUGAUUUGAAGUCAGUUUUUGGUCAAUUUGGUGAACUAGUUCAUGUGAAAAUACCAGCAGGAAAACGUUGCGGAUUUGUUCAAUACGCCAAUAGGUAGUGUGAAUUUGGAGACGAACUUCAUCAUAUUUUGAGAAUGGUUUUUCACAUAUUUUAUAUGUCUGUGUGCUUCAGGGCAUGUGCAGAGCAAGCCCUCUCCUUGUUGAACGGAACACAACUGGGUGGACAAAGCAUUCGUCUUUCAUGGGGUCGCAGUCCUUCCAACAAGCAGGUUUGUAUCUGUUAGACAAGGCACCAAGCUUACUAUGCUCUCAGAUACGUUAUGUGAUCUGAUGACUUGAUCCAUGGAUUUCACAGACUCAACCUGAUCAAGCCCAGUAUGGUGGUGGUGGUGGUGGAGGAUACUAUGGGUAUCCUCCUCAGGGAUAUGAAGCAUACGGAUAUGCACCUCCUCCUCAGGACCCUAACGCCUACUACGGUGGUUAUGCUGGGGGCGGCUAUGGAAACUACCAGCAGCCUGGUGGCUACCAGCAGCAACAGCAGGUAAUUCUUUGGUUUUUAUCUGAAAAUCUUCAAAUGAAAAGUAUCCAUGACAUGCUAAAUGUUAUUUGCGAGCUUACUGAUUCUUGUUUAUCCGAAUUUGCAGUGAAGCAUGAUGUGUAAGUCGUGAUCGACCUGAAGUUAUAGAAAGCUGUCACCGUUUGAAAAUGGUGAAUGAAUGAAUUAUUGAAGUGGAUGUGUAUUAGCUCUUCUCGUCUCAGAUUCUCUCUUGAACUCUUUUUUCUUUUGGAUUAUUUUUUCGUUCGCGUGGCUAUUGUUGAGUGUCCUUGCAAGUCAUAACAAGAGGCUUAACCAAAGUGCUUUUUGUCAUUUGACUUGACCAUUAUGUUUUCUUCCUACUCUUGCUGUAACAUUUCUUAUUGUAUCACCACCCUUUGACUACUUUUAACACUCAAAUUAUUCAGUACUACUAGCUACUACCCUCAUAAAUUUUCAAUAAUACUCAUUUGGUGAUUCUAUUUAUAAUUUUACAAUGAUAAUUGAUUUUAGUAAUUGUGUGUGUUUGCUUUAAGCUUUAAACUGUAAAUAUAAUAUUUUUAGUGCUAAACGUAACAGUUUGUAUUGAGAGCAAUGGAGUUUUUAGUCUCAAGUCUAUUGUCAAAGACUGGAAAAAUCGACGUGGGCCGUGUUAUACCAAAUAAGGGCCCAUCAAGCCUCUGGAGAAGAAAAAAAAGAGAGGAGAGAUUUGCUGUUACCGGUUCCCUCGUAUUUCUAGAUCUGUUCUUUCAUUUUCUUCACCUUUUAAUUUUUUUUUUUCUAAGUAGGAUGAUAUAAAUUUAGCUCCGAAUAGACCGUGAUUUGAUAGAAACUUCUAGAGAUUUGAAUUCUUUUCAGAGAAAAUCGAACAUUGAAAGGUCGUCAAAAAAAGGAUGGGAAACGCAAGGAAAGUGGAAGACGACGACAACAACAACUCUUCAUCAUCAUCAUCAUCGCUGUUAAUAGCAGCAACCAUGUGCAUAAUCGGAUUGCAAGUUCAUGUUCACGUCAAGGAUGGUUCCGUCUUUUCUGGGAUUUUCUUCACCGCUUCCGUCGACAACGGCUUUGGUAAAUCUUUCAUUCAGUUUCUGUUUCGUCGAUCAUUAUGUUUCGAAUUGAUUUCAUAUGUUUUGCGUGAUUAUGUUUUCCUAUCGGAAUGUGUUACCUGUUAGAGAUCUGAAUGGAAUCUUUUACUAUUGAAUCCUCCUAGGUUUUGUUAAUUUCAAUUCAAAUAGACAGUUUAAAACAGAUCAAGGACAUGUACAUUUUUUGUAUAGUUUCUUAAUAUGUCUGUGUAUUUAUCGGUGUUAUUUCAUAUUAUUAUGUGAUACAGGCAUUGUUUUGAAGAAUGCAAGAAUUACUAAGAAGGGGACAAGUAAAUCCAAUGUAGCAAGCGGGACUGUGGUCGAUACACUUGUUAUUCUGUCUUCCAAUAUUGUUCAAAUUGUUGCGGAAGUGCGUUCUUUUGUCCGUAAUUUACUUACUUCUCUCUUAGAGGUUCAUUUGUAACAAUCUGUGUGACAUGCUUCUGGAUUUGUUUUCAUAGGGAGUCUCGCUUCCAUCGAAUGUUAGAACAUGCAAUAAUGAGGUCGGAUCAGCCACAGAAACAUUACCUUCUGAGCCUCGUUUAUGUGCUGCAAAUGUUUCCACUCAAGGAAGGGGAUAUAAUCAUAAGAGGUAAAUUACUUUUAGAAAUUUCUGAAACAGAAACUAAACUACUGGUGAAGGGGUUAUGGGUUUGAAAGCACCAGAUGAUAAUUGGGAUAAUCUCUUAAACUUCCGAAAACAGGAUUACUUACAAUUUAUCUGAAAAAAUGAAGUAAAUAUGUUAACAGAAUCCUGAUUUCCAUAUUGAUAUUUUCAUUCUGUUACCAAUUUUCUAUUUCCAUGUCAAUCUUAGAAAUCUAGUUUAGCAUCUGCAUCAAACAUAUCAAUACUGGCACAAAGCACUUACUAUCUUGGGCAUACCAAUUAAACUUUGCCUAGAUAAAUUUAUUCAUUUUCUCUGAUUCUUGUAUGCUUUUGUUGACAGGCAGGCUGGAGCCAAGAUUUUGAAGCCUAGUGUACAAAUUCCAGACAUUCAUCAAGAGGAUAAUGUUAGUCUUGUAGAAAGAUAGUUCAUUUGUUUAUUUCGGUUAUUGCUUAGCAGCUGCUUACUUGUUAGUUUCCUAUUGCAGAUUGAUAUCCAAAGCUCAAGUUCUAGCUGUGAGUUCAUUGUCCCUGGAAUUGUUUGUUUUUUUAUCUUUGUUAUAACUAUGGUAUACUUGUUUCUUCUUCAUUUUGAUGGUGAAUUGUUUUCUAACAUGCUUAUCCUCAACUUUCAUUCAUGUGAAAUAACAAACAUCCAGUGGAUAGCAUAUCCGAACGAGUUAAACCCAUAGAAGAAGAUAACUUGAUGCCGGAACCUUUUAGUAAUGGUUUUCACGAUGCUUCUGAAAGGCCCUCUUCAACUGACAAUUCAUCAUCACAAAGUACAACUUUUGAUGACACCUCGGAAUUGUGUCGGGGUAGAAUGGCAUCUUCAACUGCAUCAGUACCUAUCCAGGCCGUCAAAAAGGCUAAGGUAAUUCCUAAGUACAGUUUAGAUUGAUUGUAGGGUCCUAAAUAUUUGUUAUCCAUUCUUUCUCUUAUAUUCAAACUAGGCGUGUUCAUUGGAAUCGUUGUUAUGUUGUCAAUCAGUCUGAGUGUUUACAUUACUUUAUCUGUUACUCAAUUACCAAGUUUCUAUUUCUAAAACUUCUACCACAUACAGGAGUUCAAGCUGAAUCCAGAGGCAAAGAUUUUUUCUCCGUCUUAUACAAAAAGGCUUUCACCGUCUCCAGUUGCUGUGCCUGAUGUUGGAAAUAUUGCUUAUAUACCAAGCAACACUCCCAUGCUACCAGUUCCUGAAGCUAUUUACCCAGGAGUUGGAAACAAUGCUUAUGUGCCGCAAGCACCUCCACCUUCUAAGUUUGUACCAUAUGGUAAUUUGACUGCUGGACAUGCUGUCAGCGGAUUUCAAUUUCCUCAACACGUAAGUAUUAUCUUUUCAAUAUCGUCCCUGCCUAUCUUACACUCUUCAGGCAUGUUAUGUCAAAGGGCUUUUAUCACCUAGUAAUUGAGGAUACUGUUUCUCUCACCAGUAAGCGCUUGCAUGGUUAACAACCAUAAAUGUUAGUAUUGAAGACCAGAUUGAUCAUUUUGAAUUGAUAUGACUUAGUUUGUAGUGUUAAAAUGCUUCCAUUUACUUUCUACCACCAACUUUUGUUUCUUUUGCCAUCGAUGAAUCAUACUUCCAUUUGCAACCCAUUUUCUUGCAGAUGAUUGGACCUACCGUUAACAGGGCACAGCCUCAGAGAUUCACCUCUCAGUACCAUUCUGUUCAAACUGCACCGAUGCUUGUAAAUCCAAGUCCUCAGGUUAUAUUUCAUGGAGGUUCCCAAAACUUACUUUUGUUAAAAGCGCAGUUGUAAGAAAAUUUGCUCUGUAUUGAGCUAUAUUGGUGUAAUUGUUUCUAAAGACUCUUUUUACUGUCCUACAGGUGAUGGUUGCAAGAUCGGGGCAGCUUGUAUAUGUCCAAUCAGUUUCUCAGGUUAGAACUUGAUGUAUAUAGUUUCUUGAUUAUUUGUUUCUAUUUUAAAAUAUAUGCAAUUUGGUGAACCUUUAAUGAUGUUAUAUUAAUCGAAUGUAUGUCCUGUAUUGCUGAGUGAAAGAAGAAAUAUUAUUACGCAGUCAAUUGGUUUAAGUUUGGUCGAAAAUCUCCUCUUAUUCAUAUCUUUAUAGUCAUUUUUAGUAAUCGUCUUUCUUAUUUUUCCAGGAUCUGGUUCAAGGAACACCGCCUCUCUCACCUAUGCUCUCUCGUCCUCUACCUACUGCACAACAUGUCCAAUACCUGAAGCAUCACGGUAAAUACUUGAGUCUACCUUGAUUUGCCUUUUUGGGCCAAACCAAAAGGGUGGGUCGUAACUAGAAUGAAUUAUUCUGUGAUGCAGGUGUAGUAGCAGCUGGCCAGCUGCUACCGCUAUGUGUCUCCCAACCGUUCACGACUGGUGGACCGCAACCUUAUGGCAUUCCCACCCAAUUCCCGGUUAUGGAGCAGCCUCCUUUUCCCACAAAUCAGCCAAUGACAUUUGCAGUUGCUAAUGGUUUCUACACAAAGUUUCCAUAAACAAAGUCUCAUUGUUUUUGGUUUAAAUACCUUUAUUCUUUACCUCUCCAACCUAAUAAGGGUUAAGAAGGUCCUAGUUUUUUCCUAUUUUUGGGUUUUGUAUUAUUUUGUUUUGGGUGUUUUGCUCUGUUUUGGCUUAUUAUAUUGGGGGGGUUUUCAUUGGUCUAUCGAUUUGAAUUGGGUAAAAACAGUUGUGGAAUGUGAAAACAAUAUGAUUCUUUGGAAAAGUAUAGCAGAUCACAUAUUGGUGAUCUCAAUAAAUUGCACUGGAAGAGAAAUUACGUCUAAAACAGAGCAAGACUAAUCAUGUAACAGUUACACGAGAGAGAGAGAGACAAAUGAAACAUUAGAGAGGGUACAUAACCGUAAAAAUUUGAUUUAGCCCAUAAAGCAACGUUAAGUCGGUUUAUUAUUUUAAUUUUGUUUUUGUUUCGGUUUCAGCUGACCAAAAAGUUCUCCGUCCGCAAAAUAUUCACCGAUUCGAAUCUCCGGCGAUCAGAAAUCUCGCGGUGAAAUUUGAUGGAAGAACAGCUGCCAAAAUCGCUCAAGAAUCUCGACUUGAAUAGGAAUCGUGGACCAAAGAAGAAGAUUCUUGUUUCAGCUUAUCUAUCCUCCUCACGUAAGCCUCUCUUUCGACGUUCUUUUCUCGAGCUGGGUUAAAAUUGAGAAUGGAUUUGCGGGUACUGAAUUUGGGGAUAAGCAUGGCUGGUGAUGUUUAGGAGUUGGAAUUUGACAAUGUUUUUACUGGUUUGCUUCAAUCGCAGGAAUAAUGUCUCCACUGAAAUCAAAACCUCCAUCUCUUGUGAGCUUAUGUCUUGGUGUUAUUGGGAAGCAUUUGGAGGAAAUGAUUCCUUGUUUAGCUGAUAUCUCUGUUAUAUUUCCUGCCGACAUCAAGGUUAAUUUGGUUUCAGUGUUUUCUUCUUUCAAGCUGUUUAGUACUAUCUUUUUUGCUAAUCGAAGGCAUAGUCAUGUGCAACAGAUGUCGAUUGCAGCAAUUGCUAGAAGAAAAAAGCUACUGGAUGAUGAUGUGAUUACCUCUUUGGCUGACAGUUCCUGGGAAAUUCUAGACGUUAGCGGUUCAGAUGUUACGAAUUCUGGCUUAGCUAAAGUGGCGGAAAUGUGCAAAUCUCUCCGAGCUGUGGACAUUAGGUAUUAUAGUUGCUUACUGAGAAUUCAGUUGACGUAUGAGUUGGGCUCUUGAUCUUUUGUGCUCGUAUCUCAUGGUAUGCAUGACUUUUAAUUGGUAGUACUGACUUAGCUGAGUAGCAUGAUGCUUUCUCUAUGUUUAUUCUUAAGUACCGUUGAUCGAAUUUCUGUAUAAUCUGUUUCCCUUGAGAUGGGAAGAAGAUAAGCUACCAACACAUGGGUUUCGUUCGAUUUUUGCAGGCUGGAAUGGUUAUUUUAUUUGUAGUUAUGGUCUUCCUGGUUCUUUAGUUAGGAGCUUCUCUAUGUUGUUUAAGUGGUGCUCGUUAGACCGUAAGUAUCAUAUAGUUUCCUUGUUUUGUUAUGCAGCCGGUGCAACAAAAUCUCAUCCAUGGGCGUCUUAGAGCUUGUACAACACUGCCGUUCAUUGGAGACUCUUAGAUGCGGGUAAAUUUUUCUUCUCCAGCUAACUGCAGUAAACUGGCCUUUUAUGUGUUGUUGUUGGGGUGGCUUGUCUGUUUAUUUAUGACUUAAUAAGUGAUCAUCUGGGUAAAAUAAGAUAUUGAACCCAUAGUGUGUGGGUUUGACUAGGGCUAACAAAGUUUUAAAAACAUGCAAUGAGAGAAAAUUUAAUUUUGCAGAGGAUGCCCAAGCAGUGAGUCCACCGCACGCAGAUCUUUGAGUUUUUUUAAGCCAAACUUGAGUAAUGGUGAAGGAGAAACAUGGGAAGAAAUAGACACUUCAGAGAUUGGCCAUGGUGGUCAAUCAUUGCGUUGGCUUGUUUGGGUAUGUAUCGUCCCUCUGACAGUCUGACUAAUAAGCUACCAGUAAACAAAAAGAAUCUACUUUCUCCACCUGUGUCUUUCGCCACUCAGUGUACUCAUUUAAUUUGCUUUUUCUGCAGCCACGAAUUGAUAAGGAUUCAUUGGAGAUGUUAUCCUUGGAGUGUCCAAGAAUAGUGGUAAAUCCCAAACCAUCACUUGUCGCGUACAGAGCAGACGAGGUUCCUCGAGAAGCACUACCAGAUGUUGCAGUGGACGAACCAUUUGUCAAAGAUAUUGAUCCUAAGACGUGGGUUGUAACUGGAGUUGUGCAGAAGCCCACAUCUUUCCUGUUAUGCAAUGAACUGCCAAUAGCAGAGAAGUUCAGACUAGCAUUUGCAGAGAGAGAUGCAAGAUUGGCCCCUAAACGUGCAAAGAAUGCAAGGCAACGUCAGCGUCGUGCUGAGAGGGAUUGGAUGAUGUCAAGCGACGAAGCCAAAGCAAUGGUUUUGGCAUCAAAGGCCACCAGAUCUUUGCACAAGAGUUAGCAAUAUGAAUUCUCUUCAUCAAAUAUAUGUCAAAGAAAAUAUAGGAGGAAGAUGAGUGGAUUUUCUUAUGAGGCAUGCCUCUUCUCUACUGUGGUCGAGUUGAAUUAGUUCACAGCAGUUUUUGGGAGGAAAAGUGAAUAGAAAAGAAAAGUGGCUGGUUACAGAAAAGUGUUUGUAACAGUUUAAUCUUGUUUCCAGAUCUUUCAAUUGGUGCUACAGUCAAAGAUACGUUAAACUGUUUAUAGAAUGAAGUGUGUAAUUUUGCAUUUUCUUAUAGCAACUCUUGCCGAUAAAGGUUUAGUGUAACCUGAAAGAAAAAAGAUGCUCACAAAACUUGCUUUAUUUGGAUCUUAACAUAAGAAGAAAACAGAAGGCGAGAAACACUCUGAGAUCACUUGGCGCUCAAACUCCGGAUGACGUAUGGUAGAAUACCGCCGUGAUCAUAGUAUGCCAAUUCGACCUGUGCAACGUUCCCAAGAAAACAAGUCUCAGAUCAAUUGAAAGUUUUGAUUUUACAGAUUUUGUUUGCUAUAUAACCAGUUUACCUCUGUAUCAAAACGCAGGGUGCAGACAAAGGAUUUGCCAGUGUCAGUGGUUACAGUGACGUCUUGACCGGGUCUAAUGUCACUGACUUUUGUAGGAAGGUGGACUGUGUAGCGUUCAUGACCGGUCAGUCCAAGGGUUUCCGCGUCCUCCCCGGACUUGAAACACAGAGGAAUGAUCCCCAUACCAGCCAGGUUGCUGCGGUGGAUUCUCUCAAAGCUCUUGGCAAUUACAGCUUUUACUCCCUAAUUUGUGCUUAACUGUUACGAUCACAAGACAUAACCAAAAUCUGACAACUGUUGUAAACAAUGUAAAACUUACCAAAAGCAAGGGGCCCUUUGCAGCCCAAUCGCGAGAGCUACCACUUCCAUACUCAGCACCAGCCAGGAUGAUCGUAUCCUGUUCAGCGGUCUUGUAUUUCUGAAAGCAUAUGUGAAUUGAGUUAGCGACUUAAAAAAGGAUCUAUAUAUAUAUAUAUAUAUAUAUAUGUUGAAGCUGUCUGACGAUUCUACUUACACUUGCUGCAUCAAAAACGCUAAGCUUCUCUCCAGUCGGAAUGUGAACAGUCUUGGGGCCAACUUCUCCUUUCAAGAGCUUGUUAACAAUACGGAUAUUGGCAAAUGUACCACGAGCCAUAACCUCGUCGUUUCCCCUUCGACUUCCAUAUGAGUUGAAGUCUUCUGGAAUCACACCACGGUCCAUUAGAAACUUUGCAGCAGGACUAGUUUUUUGAAUGUUUCCUGCUGGAGAGAUGUGGUCUGUUGUUACGCUGUCCCCAAAGUUCAACAAGCAGUAGGCAUCCUUCACUUGACGAGGACCAGGUGGAUUUGCGGUCAUAUUCUUGAAAUACGGAGGUUCAUGAAUGUACGUGGAGUUUGGAUCCCAAGAAUAUAACGUGGAACUCGGUGCAGAGAGUUCAUUCCACAAGGGGUUUCCCUCUGUUAUUGUUUCGUACGAGCUUUUGAACAUGCUUGGUAGCACGCUAUAUUGAACAACCUAUGGAAGAGUAUGAGGAAUUUUAGCAAGGAACAUUUAAAGGUGAAUAACUUAUCCUCUAAGCAUGUCACCAAUGUACCUGAGCAACUUCCUCAUUGCUUGGCCAUACGUCCCUCAGGUACACACUUUUGCCAUCUCUUCCGGUUCCUAUAGGCUCUUUCUCAAAAUCAAUGUCAACCUGUAUUCAUAGGAGAUCAAUAUAUAGAAACAAACUCGAGAUUGAUGAGACUACUUAGCGAAUAAAUACUCAAUCUUGUUGAUGAUGAACUAUGAUGCCAGACCAAUUAAGGAUAUCCAAAGGAGACAAACACAAACAUUUCAAAUUUGAACUGAAAGUUGAAAAGUACAAACCGUUCCAGCAAGGGCAUAAGCAACAACUAAUGGUGGUGACGCAAGAUAGUUAGCUCUUGUCUGUGGAUGAACACGACCUUCAAAGUUUCGGUUUCCAGACAGCACAGCAGCCGGGAUGAUAUCUGUGACACAGAGAAAGCACAAUGGAUCAGCCAAAAAGUGACCUUCAAUUUGACGAUGUAAGGCACUGAUUUAUCGGUGGAGAAACACAAUUGAUGAGGAUUCCAGGUGAAAUGGAAAUGAAAAUGGCAGAAGGAGAUGCUUAGAGAAACAAAAAAAAAACACGUUUUGACAAUUUUAUAGUAUGUUCGUAUUGAUGAGGAUGUUGUUACCAGUUCCUUCUAUAGCAGAUGCAACUUCUGGGUCAAGGUUUCCAGAAUUCCCAAUGCAUGUUGUGCAGCCGUAGCCGACAAUUUCGAAUCCUUGCUUGGUCAAGUACUCUCGGAGCCCACUGCAGAGAAGGUAAACGUUCAGUAUGGAUGUUCCAUGAUCAGAUAAGUUAUCCAGAUGGAAAUAGCGUUGACUCCAACACACCUUCGAUCCAAAUAUUUCUCGACAACUCUAGACCCUGGAGCAAGACUUGUCUUAACCCAUGGUUUUACCUGAAUUGAAAAGUCAACUACAGUCAAAACAGGAUUCAUAACCCAGUGAUCUCAGGGCAAAGAGAAAAGGUGGAAAACUCACCUCCAGGCCAAGAUCCGAAGCUUUUUUUGCAACGAGUGCUGCCCCGAUCAUGACACUAGGGUUUGACGUGUUUGUACAACUGGUAAUUGCCGCAAUAACAACACUACCAUGCUUGAUCUCAGCAGGUUGUCCGUUGUACGAGAACUUCACAACUUCUUCUUGUUUUUCUUUUGGCACUGCAAAACCCUUGAACAAAAAGCAAAGUCUUACCAAUUAUCCAAAAAAAAAAAGAAAUCAACGUCAUUGGUUGUUUUAUGAUUUUUGUUGUAACCACAUCUUGCAUCUCACCUUGAAUCCAACAGGAUUGUCAAGGCAUGCAUGCCAGUCAGCCUUCAUGUCUUUCAGAGGCACUCGGUCAUGAGGCCUAUUGAACAGAAAAUAUAGUAAUUAAUGAAACCUUAGGGAGGUACGGGCGAUGGAUCAGAACGUUCAAAAAAUAUCAAAACGAAGUGAAAGUAUACCUUUUAGGCCCAGAAAUACAUGGUUCAACAUGUCCCAAAUCCAACUGCAAAUAAGAUGUGUAUGCUCUUUCUUGCUGGGGCUGCAAUAAAGUCCCGAUAUUUGGAGUUAAGAAUCUUGUCGACAUAAUAAAAUACAGUAAACUGAUCAAGGAUGUCCAUACCUCGUUGUAGUCAACAAACAUAUUGUUUGCGCGUAAAUAUGAUUCUAUCAUUGACACCUAAAAUAAACCAAGUUGGCGAUCAUGUGAGUCACAGAAACCAGAGGAAACAGGAUAGAUGUUUAGGCAUAGGAUACAGAAAAAGUAAGCCACGUGAUAAUGCACACUGAAGAACAUAACAACCUAAGUCUACAGAUAGCUUGCUAAAAUGUUUUGAAACAGAUUAUGCAGCAAUAGUCAGCCGCAGCACACGUAAACCACAAGAACCAGAACUUGAAACUAAAAGCACAUUUUAUGCAUGAUGAUUCUACUUUACCAAAAAAGAAAGAAUGAAAAAGUAGAGAAAGUGGAGAGAGAGAAUUCACAGUUUCGUCGCUUCUUCCUGUCAACUUCAGGUAUUCCAGUGUAACAUGAUCCACUGGGAAGAAACCCAUAGUUGCUCCAUACUCGGGAGACAUAUUUGCAAUUGUGGCUCUAUCAGCCAGUGAAAGUUCACUCAUCCCCUCACCUUCAUAUCAAAAUAAAUAAGUUAAAACAUGGAUACUGACCAAAUAAUAGUCCAUCAGAAAUUCAAAGUUACGCAGCCAUGGUUCUCACCAUAAAAUUCAACAAACUUGCCGACAACACCAUGCUUCCUUAAUAUUUGGGUCACAGUGAGAACUAAAUCAGUAGCAGUAACCCCUUCCUUCAACUUUCCAUCCAACUUAAAUCCGACCACGCCAGGUAACACCAUGCUCAUGGGCUGACAUUGAAGUACCAUAUGACUAUAUGAGUGGCAAAACAAAUUUGACACUUACAAAUAAACAGUGAAGGUGUACAGACGAAAUGAGCUCACCUGACCAAGCAUUGCUGCCUCUGCCUCAAUUCCUCCAACACCCCACCCAGCGACUCCUAAUCCAUCAAUCAUGGUUGUGUGGGAGUCGGUUCCAACAACGCUAUCAGGGUAGAGAAAUCCAUUCGAGUUGAAAACAACACGUCCAAGGUAUUCCAAGUUGACCUGCAGUAUCAAAUAAUAACAAGCUAUCAUAACAGAACCCUUAGACAGCAUUAUGAGAUUCAUGCACCCUUGAAAAUCUAGUAGUCUACCAAACAGAUUAAACAGGCUAAUACUCUAAUCACACUUAUGUUUUAGAAAACCUGUUCAAAAUUUUCAACAAGGCAACCAGAAUUUACUGUCAUCACAUGUUAUACCCUAAUUAUACAUCUCUAGAUUAGAAUGAAAGUGUCAUCUUGUACCUGAUGGACAAUCCCAGACCCAGGAGGAACGACCAGCAUGUUUUGGAAGGCCGUUGAACCCCACUUAAGGAACGUAAAUCUUUCUUUGUUCCUUUUGAAUUCAAGCUCCAAAUUUUUCUGUGCGGCAUCUUCUGACCUUGCAAAGUCAACUUGGAUCGAGUGAUCAACGACAAGAUCCACAGGAACCUAGAUAUAUACAGGAAAAUAUGAGAACUGCAGGAUUAAACAUAUUACAGCCGCAAAGCAAUGAGAAACUUCACUAACCAAGGGGUUGAUCUUGCUAGGAUCACUACCAAGAUUCUUCACUGCAUCCCUCAUAGAAGCAAGAUCAACUAGAACUGGUACUCCAGUGAAGUCCUGGGCAAAAAUUACAAGUUAGGAUAGAGCUGAAUCAAUCGGUACCGGUCUUAGAGGCCUGGAGAGGGGUUUUUGGUGUAGAACGGUAGAAGUAAAGAAAAAAUAUGCUACAAACCUGUAAUAUAACACGGGCUGGCUUGAAGGCAAUUUCAACCUGCUUAGUAGAUGUAUUCUCCCAGUCGAGGAUUUUCUCAACGUCAUCCUUUGUGACUUGAUAGUUGUCACAGUUACGAAUCGCUGAUUCCAAUAGUAUCCUUACAGAAAAUGGCAACUUAUCUGCAUUAUCACGAAAAGGUGUUAACUUCACCAAAAAUCCAUUACAAUACAAACAGAGAGAGGCUCGGGGAAACAUACCAACUCUUGGAUCGUUUAAAGCUGGUAACGAGUAGUAGUUUCCAUACUCUCCACCACCAGGUUUAGGAAGACUUGUCAAUAUAUCCUUGUAGGCAUGCUCAGAAGCUGCGUUUUUCACAUCAAACGUUAUAAUCAAAAUUCAAUUGACACAUACCACAUGAAUUUGCUUGUUCAUCUAGUAGACUAAAUCUACAAAUAUAUCAUAAACAAAAUGCAAGAGCAAAUCAAAUGUUCAUCUAGCUAGUUUAACAUGGAUCAGAACAUAUCAGAAUUCAGUAGAUCCUCAUUCUAAAGCGAAAUCGAUCAAAGCAGAUAUGCGGUAAUCACGGAUUCUUGUAAUACAAGUUAAGAGCAAUCAUUCUUAGAACGUCAGAGAAAGCAAACAGACAUACCCAUGGUUGCGUAUGUCCGUUCAAAUUUCUCCAUAACCGGAGCGGAGUUCCUAGAUUGAGCACGAAGGCUAGCAGGCGAUCCCCAGCUCACACCAUGGCUCCACCGCGUGGAAGCAGAGCAAACUCGAAACGAGCGGAGAGCCGAAGAAAAGCUCUUAGAUCGGUUCAUCUGAUUGAGAAGCAAUGGCGCUGAGGGAGCCGAAACCGAAGCUGUCUCGGUAGAGGCGAUCUUCGUGAGGGAAGAAGAAAGCCUCGUGGAGGCAGAACGCACGCCGGAAGUGGCGCGUCGAUACAUGGCGGCAAAUCAAAACAGUUGAAGAGAUUGGAGAAAUCUCCAGAAGAAGGAAGAAGGAUCAAAAUGAAAGCCCAGAAAAUAGGAUAUUUGAGAUUGGAAGAAGAUCGUGGAAGGGACGAGGAAGAGAGAGAUUUCGUCAAGCUUCUGAAAGAGGCGAAUCAGAGAUUUUACAGAACCUUCCAAGGACACACUCACUAAUAAUAUACAAUGCCCAAGGUCACGUCAGGAGUGUCGCGUUUAACCGUUGGAUGACCUCGAGACGAACAAAUGGACGGCUUAUGAUUCACUUUGGACCGUUGACCAUUUUAUAAUUGCAUUUUUUUAUUAAUUUGAAAUACUUAAAAAGAAAAUUUGUUCUUGCAAAUUAUGUAACAUCUUAUCUUAUUAUAUACCGUAUAAAGGUUACAGCUAAAGACCAACGUGAGAACAUUCGAAUAAUUGGCUUUUCGUCGAAAGAUGGGAAUAUUUUCUUUUUCCAGAAAGUAAUUUUUAUAUUCACAAACUAAAAAUGAGUAAUUUAGAACUAUAACAUAAACCAGAAUAAAAUUCAGAACUACACUUAUUUUGGUAAUUCUACGUUUGAUUGGGUUGUUUGUGUCUGGCAAAAGCCAAGUAGGAUUUCUCCUCUGAACAUAAAACAAUUAUUCUAUAUAUAUUUUUUUCUUAAAUCCACUUCCAUGACAUGAAAAUGAAUACUAUACUAUUUUCCAAUCAAAAUGUAUGAUAAAGUCAACGAAGAAAAACGAAGGGUAGCUGCUAGGCUCUUCUUCAGCUAUGAAGGACAAGGCAAGCUAAAAGUCUCAAGCAUUAUGCCAAGAGACAAACACCCUAAACAAAACAAAGCAUAAGAAGAUGGCUUCUCAUUUUGACUCUUCUAAGUCCUCAUUGACAGCGUGAAAGGCCACAAAUUUAGGGUCUUGAAAAGCUCUCUGGUCUUAUGGUUCAUCGGUAAGGCUCAAACCAAUCGGUAUGUGUGGAGUACAACAAACAAAAUAACUGGACGGAAAAUUCUGUUGAUUGUUUUUUCUGCGUGAAGAAUGAUGUGUUUAGGAUGGUGGCUGCCAUGUCCCAGGCCUAAAUGAUGAUCCAGAUCCUGAUGGCUCUGUUGUCCUGCAUCAUCAUCAACACCACCAUUAGUUUGCAUUUAAAGCAUACCAAACACCAUACAUACAAUAUGUUCAUAGAUAACAGAUUGAGCAUCGUAGCAGUCAGUCUCUAACAAUCGGAAACAAGUGUCAUGUUUCAUAUCUGUGAGCCAGAAUGCGAAACUUUAGGAUUAAAAAUAUGUAAGUCAGCUAGACUUACUUUGGUUCGGGUGGUUCUGCAGAAACUAUCUCGGGUUCAUGUUCCUUGGCCCUGUAAAGCAAUGUGAGAGCAUUUGAUUAUGGAGGUCUUGUGAAAGAUGAUGUGUUUUGCAUCCAGAAAAAAAAAAUAGAAUGUAAGAAGAUUUAACACAGAUAUGAUUGGUGCGGAAAUAUUAUGAAUCAUGAUGACUCACCUUGAUUUAUCUGCUUCUUCACUAGCUUCCUCUGGUUCACCACCUUAAAGCAUUAACAAAAAUAAGGAAAUAAACUAAAACUGUCAGUCUUACUUCCACGAGUUUAUGGUAGAACAAUAAUCUCUUUUACGGUUAUAAUCUGAAAUCUAGCAACUGUAGUAACCUCAGUCCUUGAAUUAACAAAUGACAUAAAGGAUAUAUAAUGGUGAAUGUGAUCAAUUUUGUUGCCCUUCUAAGCUAACGCAAUCAUUAUGGUUGGGAACAUUUUACAAUCAGAACUUACAAACUUCACAAGGCAAAUUCAAAAGAUGUUUCUGAUUCACUUUCACAAAACUAUUCUAAUGAUCAGUCAAUAGUUACAUCCGGAAAAGUUAAACAAGAAUCAACAAAUUCCCUCAAAACAAUUCUUAUGACACAAAUUGUGUCAUUCCAAAGACACUUUAUCAAGUAGAUUUAGCUCCCGAGCGAGAAGUUUCAGUGGACACCAUUUGAUGAGUCAAACACCACAACAAUAUAAAUGCCUAUCCAUAAUAAUUUCUAUCAAAUUUACACAAGGGGAUUUCAGAAAAAGGGAGUAUACAAUUCCUAAGAAGUUAGUCAUCCGCAUCUAUGGUGACUCCCUUAAUCUAUUGGCUGAGAAAAUGUAAUACCUUUUGAAUCCGGUGGAAAUUGGCGAACAAAGCUUGUCAAAUCUGGACCGUCAACUUUACCUUUACACAAGGAGACCGCACAUUAAGCUACCAAUUCAGAAAUGAAAGCAAAUUUUGUGGGCUAUACUGUUAAUUACCAAUGGUGAUUUUGCGUCCCGUGCCUUCUCUGGCUUUCUUCUCCUCCUCUUCUUUCUUGAGAACUUAACAAGGAAUUGAAGGCAAAAGAAAAACGAUAAAUGUUUUGCAUUGAACUUGAAGCGACAUAUUAAAUGGAAAAAUGCAUACGAAUUUCUUGACUUGCUAACACAGAAGCGCAAAAAUAACUUGUUGACUUUGUUCAUUCAGAACUUGGAAGUUUGAAAAAUCAAGUCCUCAAAGUGGUAAACUGUUUGCAGUAAGGAUCAAUGACACCAGGAAAUAAUAAUGUUGAGACGUUUUUAAAAAUAAAUAAGUUCUGGAAAAUGUAUUAAUAAUCUGGAACACCUACGAGCAACAUUAAGCUUCACACGCUCACGCCUUGCUUCAAGUUCAACCAUUUCCUGGACCAACAAACAAACACCAAUAUCAAUUUAGUUGCCCUUCUAUGCUGACGACAAAUAAUUCUGGUUAAAGAGAAGUUCAUCUUACCUCAGGAGUAGGAGCCCUUUUCCGCUGCCCAUUCAGCCAACAUAUCCAUUCAACUACAACAUUGAUCAAACAAAAAUGUAACUAGAUUCAUGCAUGCAUGCCACAUAUCUUAUAGAUGUGCUUAUGUUUCAAAUCUAACAUCAGACAAGUAAAUGAAUAUAUGAUCAUAUAUAAGAACCCAUUUUAUAUGUUUUUAAGAAGAGUUACCAGGAAUAGAGGUUGGGUCCUCCUCUCGUCUAAAGACAACCCAUCUUUUCUCCUUCACUGGAUAGUAGAAAGAAGCACAUCAGAACAUAUUACUCUACAAAAAUGGAGUCUACAAGAGUCUUAUUAAUCGUUCUGAGCAUCUAAAUAAGCUCUGUUAGUUUUCAUUUGGGUAUCAAUUACAUAAUUCCCCGUACUCAUGACACGACCACACUUAGCUGAAUCAUUUCAUGUAUGAAAAGAAAACAAUGUUAAAUUUCUAAAUUUAUUUGCUUCACUGCAAUACGCGAUAGGCAAAGACAGCUGAUUCAUCUAAUCGAACGGAAAAAAACCAAAGAAAUUCAGCAACUUGACAAAAAGAAGGAAUUAAGGAAAGAAGAGGUUGGAAGAACAAUACUCGCCCAAUCCGUCAAUCUCCUCCAUUCUGGAAAAGUACUUGUUACCAGUCUUGUCUACUCCAAUGAAACUCUUGCUACUGAACAAUCCGGCAACUCUCGCCCAUAGUCUCGACAUAGCUUCUCCCGCCGAUUACUUCUCCGUAUGAUCCACAAACUCAACACCCAGAAUUGUUCCCCGAUCGAGUCUGCUCCGUCUGGAUCAAAAAUCCGACCCGGUAAACGGAUAUUUAAAUAGUGUAGAAGAAGAUCCGACCCGACUAAUCAGAGGGUCUUGGUUUAGAGUAUGAUUAAAUGAACCAGGGAUUGGAAUACGCCGGUUUAAGUGUCAGGAACAAUGACAAACGUACGCAUCGUAUAUUUUCAAAACAAAACCCUAAUUUUAAUUUUCCCACCUCUCGAAUCCCCAAUUCCAGUUUUCCCGCCUCUCCAUCACACCCGCUCCUUCCUCUACAAAAUCCCUCCUUUCAUCACAAUACUCUUCUUCUUCACCAUGAAAGGAAUCUCCAGAUCGCCGGUGAGAAGAAACGACGGUUUCCACCGUUACUUGAAACCAGGGGCUCUGGCUCAGAUCCGUAAUUCUAGAAUCAACGCUAGAUCCAACUCGCCCCUGACUCGUUCUCUCACGGAUCCAGUCCACCCGCUUUCAUCUUCUACCGAGAGUCCUGUUGCUGCGCCUCCGCAGACCAUAACUAUGGACCAGAUGCCCCAUCUCUUGAGCAAGAUCUAUGGUCCGUAUCGAAUCGGUAGGAAGAAAUUUGGCCCUGCGAGAUCUGCGAUGAUGAAUUUGAACCCUUCCCAAACUCUAUACUUGAAUCUACGAAUGGUAAUAGCAACGUCUUGAGUAAUAAUGAUGUUUUAGUUGCUCAUUGAAUUAAGCUUAAGUUCAUUUCCCUUCUUUAUGUAGAUUACUUUGUAACUGUUACACUUUGGGGAAAUAUCUUCAAUACUCAUCAGACUUAUAUAAUUACAGUUCAAAAAUCUCAAUAAAUAGUGUUUCUUUCUCAAUCUAUCAGAAGAAUGAUUUCACUUUAUUAAUUGAAUUCAUUUUCCCAUUUGGGCUUAGUUCAUAAGGGGACACAAGCUUUAUCUCAAAUAUCAUGUCUAUCAUUCCUCUGCUUGCAAAUCUUUAUAUGGAUCUCAUUUGAGUUUCAUAGGGUGAAAACAUAUAUAUGUCCUGCUUUUUAUAGCCUGAGCCUCAACAUCUCACUGUUGCAUCUCCUUUAUGAGGAUGAUGUUUUGUAUCUAUGAAUGUGGACAAAUUUAUUGGUUAGUCAGUAAUGGUGAUAUAUGCUACUCAAUUUCGUGUGAGAUGUUGGAUUUUUCUUGACAAUGUAGUGUGGAAUACCGAGUAACAGCCAGAGUGGCCAUCUAAACAAUUCAAUAUAUGAACGGAUGAAUGAUUAGCCUCAGACUAAAAUGUGGUUAUGGUAUAGACUAUACCGUAUAGUAAUGAUAUAAUCACAGCAUUAUGCUAUACCUUAUCAAGAUUGAGCAUCCAAAUUGUCUUUCACUUAAGGGAUGUGACUUCUAGAAAGGUAACAUGGAUAAUAAUUGGGAUAUAAUUCGCUUUCACUUGAUAUAACCACUUACGAAUUGGUACAAAUAAAUUAGCUUUAUAUAAGAAAAACAGAUUUGCUAGUCAUAAGACUCAUAACUAAUAAAGAUGUAAUCACUAUCCUUUUUUUAGUUCAACUAUAAUCACUACUCAAACAUAAUAAAUGGCCUUCAAACAAAUCAAAAAGUUUGGUGGUACAAAUAUUUUGCUUGUUGACAUGUAUCUGUUUUUGUACUUUGGUUGUUCUAACUCAUCUUCUUUUUCAUCGGUAGCAAUUCUUAGACAAAUCACAUGAGAGAGCUUCUUGAUUUUGAAUUUGGACCACAAAAUGUAUUGUUGAUGAAGGCCCAGAAUAUACAAAACCUUUACUUUUCACAAAUCGUGGCUCAAAUUGAUUAGGUCAGCAAAGAUAAGUUGAAAUCUUGAAGUGAGUGAUAUUGUUUUUUAUACUCCUAUAAGAGAACAAGAAAGUUCGAUGAAUGACGGCUACGCAAAGGGCCCAAAGCGCUCGUUAACCAUCGAAGAAUCUUCCUUUCAAGCUAAACGUUUUGUUUGUUCUUAAAACACAAAUCAAAUUACUAGUUUACUACUUUCCUUCUUUUUUUAACUUUCUCAACUCUUUCAUGCCUAGAUUAGCCGCCAUGGAUAAUAUAUAUUUCCCCUAGUUCUCUUAUGAAUAUUUACGAUUUAUAUAUGGAGAUCUCAUAGGAUGAUCUUUUUAGAUGUGCAGUUUUGUAGGAAUUCUACUGCAAUCAAAUAUACGUCUAUUAAUUAAUAGGAAAAGAAAAACAAUAGCACACAAGUAAGACAACCACUUAUUCUGUUUAAAAAAAUAGUUUCUCAAAUUGUUAUAAACAAAAAUUAAUGUUUUUGGGUUGCUUUUUGAGUAGGAUAUACGAAAUCCAGAUUAAUUUUGAGAUCUAGAAAUGUAUGCUUCAUUAAAAUAAGCUAUGAGCAUGACCAACUAUGUAAGUAUGUAACAUGCAUGGAUGGUCGCCUUUCCGUGUCAAUAAAAACGCUGAUGACUUGUAGCUUUGUCUUGUCAGGGAAAAUAACACUAUUACCAAGUCAGCCGUCUGAAUUGGACCUUUGUCAAGCCACAGGCUCCAAAUUUUCUAUCGUUCAAGGGGAUGAAUCUGUGAAACUUUUUGACUAAUUUAAGUAACAAAAAGUGGGAUAUCGACACUAAUAACUUAUUAGUAAUAACAUGUGGUACCCAUUUUAUAAUAAAAAAAAAAAAACAAAACUUCGAGAGUAAAUUCAAUUCAUGAAUUACUUUCCGUGAUGAAAGAAACUAAAAGUAAAAUUGGCUACAUAUGCUUUAGUGAAGUAAGGUAGUGUACUUUGUUGACCGUAAAAACUCAUCUUCUCAUUAUGACACAACGCACCAAAUGUUGAUGAUCAUAAUAAAUGUCCGGACGUAUAAUGAAUAUAGAUUCCCGCGUCUUUGGAUGAUAUCUAUAAAGACAAAAUAAGAACCAAUCUACGUAUUCGUUCUUCAAUCCCACACCUCUUGUGUCACUUUCUACCUUUCUCUUCUCAAAUUUUCAAGCUAUUUUGCUUCUCUUGACACAGAUUCCACUCUAUAAAUCUCAUUAUAUUAUUAUAUUCUCUAAGCUUCAUUUUAAUCAAACGUCAAAAGGUAGGUUCGUAGAUUUUCUUACAUUCUUGUCUCUUUUGCGAGUUUGUGACUACUAGCUUUAGAGUUUUUGUAUAAUCGAAGAUCUUUCAAUGGAUUCUUCGUGGUCGUCUGUUAUGUUUUGUAGAAGCAGCUGAGUAUCAAUGGAGCAGAACUACAUGAGGCAUGAGCUAUGGAGAGAUGGAGAUUUUCAAGAAGAUGAUGUGUGGGAUGUUCUUGAUGCAUAUCAAUCACCGUUUAUGAAUAGUAUUAGUAACCAUACCACUAAAACUUCUUUCUCAACCCAAACUUUACUUCCAAGCGAACCUAGAAUGAUUCCUGAGAGGCAGAGGAUAGAAGGAAUGACACCUAUGAGACAACAGUCGGCUCCUGUCAAUGUCCCUGAUUGGUCAAUGGUUCAAAGAAAAAAGACAGAGAAAGUUGAUGAUGAUGAGAAUGUGUCACCUGAGGAAUAUUUCCUGCGGCGCAGUCGAUCAUCGUCCUCUUCAGUUAUGGAAGGAGUUGGAAGGAAACUGAAAGGAAGAGAUUUAAGCAAAGUAAGGAAUGCAAUAUUGAAGCAAACUGGAUUUCUUGAGUAGACCAAGAUUGUAUAAAUGUUUAUUAGGUGAUUUCAUUUUUUAAAAACUCUAGUUUGCUAAGAUGUAUACAUAUAUAUGUAUAUAGGUGGGUUUUUUUCUUCUUUUGGUUUUGAUAUAUGUAUAGGUGAUUUGAUUCGGCAUAGUAAUAUAAUAAAGAAGAAUCUCGAGCGGCUCUGCAUCUGCAACCACUAUCACAAAUUCGGGGAUCAAAUAAUUUACAAGAAGAUUAGGAUUUUAGAGGGAACGAGUUUCUCGACUUGAAGAUUCUCAAAGAACUCUUAAGGCUAAGCAAUGUUUCUUCUAUGUAUGUGUGUAUAAUGGGCCUGCGCAAUAGAUUUCGGCCCAAUUUCAUUUAACGAGAGGGUUUGUGUAUGAUUCAGUUCUUAUGUGAGCAAGCUUUGUUUGUACCACCAGUUAUUUUGUCACCUAUUUUGUCAACGAGUUAUUAUUUUUAUUUUAUUUUUGGUAAACUUGUCAACGAGUUAUUAUAAAUCGAAACCAUGGGAGACCUAACAGAUCUGAGUGAUUCUUCUUAUGAUUUAUUUCAUUUUGUUGAGACCAUGGAAAAUUCCUUUGCAUGAAUGUUGAUGAAUUUAGUGUUUUUUAUUCUUUCUUUUUCCUUGGCAGUGAGAAAUUAAGCAAUAAAGUCUUAUAGAAAAUUAUUUAUAUAGGAAAGCAUAUAAAGUUUAAGAAUUUUGAACUCUUUUUUCUCUUCUAAUAUGUUAAGUAAUAAAGCAUUAAAAUUUUAGCAGGAUCACUUAAUUAUAAAACUUAAAACCAUAAAUAAUAUAUUUUUUUGUUGCAAAAUUUUUUGGUAUUAAUACACAACGGACCAUGCAUAAUAUUCUAUAAAAAUAAAUAAAACAGUCAAAAAUUUGUAUUUGCGUUUGCGUUUACAUAAAGAGAACAAACUUCAGUGACAUGCAUUGAAAUCAUAUAGAUAAUUACAUAAUUUUCUCUCAUCUUAAAAUGUCCACGUCAACAACACUAUUUUUUGCAUUAAAGUAUAUUUAAAAUAUUCGUUAAUGAGAUGAGACAAAUUAAGUCACUAAAAAUAACAUAAAGACGAUGUUAAAAGACAAUUUAAGUACACUAAAAAACCAUAGUAUAUAAGUAGAGUUUUCUCUCAUCUUAAAGUCUCCACCUAAGCAACACUACUUUGUGUACACAAAUUGUCCUAUAACAUCCACAACAUCGUCUUUUUGUUAUUUUUAGUAAUUUUAGAGUUUUCGUCUUCUCAACAAGUUUUCAUACCAAAUUGUCCAAUUGAAUUGAACCGGUUAAGCGAACGAUAUGGUUAUCAUCAACAAAAAGAAAAUAAAAAAACGUCGCAUAAGCUUUUACCAGAAAUUUCUAAUGGCCAUUAAGUUUGUUAGGUGGAGAGCAUCGUCCUCACGGAGUUGGGUCCGAUCACAUCCAUCUUCGGGAGGACGGAUAUGACCGCGCGUGAAGAAAGUAUAAACAGCUACUUUUAGUCCUUUGUACUUCAAUUUCAAGUUUUAGCUGUCGUCCUCUCGUCAAAAUAUUAACAGACAUAAUAGGUUUUGGGUUUAAUUUGACUUCUUUUAAAAAAAAAAAUUCGGCUGGAUAUGUAUAAAUUGAAUGUCUAUUGUUAUUAGAGAAAAAACUCUUUGAGAAAAAAAAACAAAUUAUUAGAUGAUUUCAUUCAUUAAAAAAACUAUUUUGCUACGAUGUUUACAUAUAUAUAGGUGAAUUUUUUCUCUUUUGGUUUUAAUAAAUAGGUGAUUUGAUUUGGCAUAAAUAAAACAAAUGUCUGAACUAUUGUUGAAAAUGGAUGAUAUAAGGUUAAAUUUUUUACCUAAAGUUAGGUUGUGAAAAAGACUUGCAAGUAAAGAUGGUAUGAGCUUUAAAAUUCAUUGAAUUACACGAUUCGAACCGUCGAUGACAAAGACUAUUGAUCUUAAUAAAAAGAAAAUUUCGAAAAAAAGUAGAGGUGAGUUGUUGUUAGUUGGAAAUCGUUGAUUGAGGAUCAUGUGCAGCACACGUGGUCAAUGUUGAUUCCCUUUGUCGCCAUUCUUCGACAGCUUGGGAACAUGCAUGUGAUUGCUAAUUGAGUUUAACUUUCGUACCCAAACAUAUUCAUUCAUCAUCGUUCAUGUUGAGAUUUUUUUGUUAAUAUGACUUCUUUAUACACAAAUAUCCUAGUUACGUAUCUGGUUACUCAAUUUUUGUUUAUAAAUCAGAAAGAAAAAGAAGAAUUCACCUAAUAUUUUGUCAGAAAAAAAAAACUAAUUAAAUCUAGUUGUAUAAUUAAUUUGAUUUGUGGAGUUUUGACUAGGUUCGCUGGUCAACUUUUGCGUAGAGUGGUCCUGUCGGUAGCUUCAAUUUUAAUUAGUUUUUUUGCUUAAUCCAAUCUACUUGGUAUUAUUACUGUAAAGUGAAAAUUAACUAAUAAAGCAAAAAAUAAUAAUUUUAAUUAUCCCAACACAAAAUAAAGAUUCCAUUCAUCUUCUUCCAGCUUCGAAUUCCGCGCACCAAAGGCAAGAACAAAGCCACGGCUUUUCUCUCUUGUCGUUUUCUUCAUACAUUCGUCUUUUCAUAGGAUCAAUCUACACUUUCUCUGUUAACAUUUUCGUUUCCGAGGAGAAAAGUCUCGAUCUUUUGGAUCUGGGAGGUUUGGUUUGGGGUUGACUCGGUUUUGACUCGGGACGAGUCGUCUCUUGAGAUGGAUGUCUCGUGUUUAGUAGCUCUUUGAGAGUCUGCCUUUCUGGGUUCAAUAGAUUAUAGUUUCGCUUAGAAACACACACAAAGAUGUCGUUGAAGCAUCAUCACAGAGGAUUAGAGCUCUCUGCUUCGAAAAGUUUUGUCUCAAAGAAAUGGACUUUAUUUCUAUGUAUCGGUUUCUUCUGCGCAGGAAUUCUCUUCUCCGACAGGUAACUAAACAAUGCUCUGUAAUUACCACUCACUAAUUCCUGUCUUUAUUUCUUCUGUAAAUAUCUCUUUUUGGACUGUCGGUGGGUAUAAUUUUCUCACUCUCACAACACCCAGAUUUGUAAAUCUAACGAUUUUUUUCGUGCUGUGAAAGUUUUGCAUAUGUCGAGGAAGACAAAGAUAAUGGAAAUUUUUUCUUUUUCUUUCCGGGAAAAUGUCGUUAAGUUUUCCUGUUUCGAUGAAAAAAUUACAAUGAUUUUAGUUUCAUUCGCUGUUGGCAAAGUUGUAAUUCUUCUUCAUUUAAGUAAUGAAAAGUACAUCCUGAGAUUCAUUUGUAGACAAAAGGUAUAUUCUUUAUGGACAAAAUGCUUGAGAUGUUUUUGUAGUCCAUGGAAGAACCAAAAUCAAUCACAAGCCGUUGAUAGUCUAAUUGUACCCUAAUCAGACUGUGUUUGUUAGUAGAAUGUGGCCAGAGCCUGAAGCCAAUGUUGUAUCAAGGGACACAGUAGCGUCAGAUGAGCGGCUGCGGUUAGAGUCUGAGGACUGUGAUUCAUCAAAAGUAAGUUUUCUAAUUUAGGUGCAUUGAUAGUCAUGAGCCCUAGAGGAAUUCUUGAUUCCUGAGUUGUUCAUACCAUUCUUAAUUGUUUAUCAGAAGGGUUUGAAGCGUGAAUCGAAAGACAUCCUUGGAGAAGUUUACAAGAGUCCAGAUGCCAUUCAGUAAGUGGGAAAUAUAUGAUAUGGAACUUCACUUCUUCUUUUUAAUUUUUGGUUGCGGUUUUUCGUUAAACUUUAUGGUUUUUCUUGAAUGGUGCUAUGCAGAACGCUUGAUAAAACGAUUUCAAAUCUGGAAAACGAAUUGGCGGCUGCAAGAGCUGCGCAAGAAUCCAUCAUGAAUGGUUCACCAGUUUCUGAUGACUUUAAGCUUCCUGAAACUGUCACUAAAAGAAAGUAUCUGAUGGUUGUUGGGGUAAAUACUGCGUUUAGCAGCAGAAAGCGUAGGGAUUCAGUCCGUGCUACUUGGAUGCCUCCCGGUAUGUUGAUCUAAGCAGCGGUUUCAGCCUAAAGUAUCUUUUUUCGGGACUAAACAUAGGUCUUCUUUAGGUGAGGAGAGAAAGAAGCUUGAGGAAGAGAAAGGGAUUGUGAUGCGGUUUGUGAUAGGCCAUAGGUAAAACUUGUACCUUAAGAGUGGCACGUUAUUUGCUAGGUUGAUUUAGUUAUAUAUUUCCUGAUUGAGUGUUUUCUGUGGGCAGUGCUACUCCUGGUGGAAUUCUUGAUAGAGCGAUUCAGGCUGAAGAAAGUAAACAUGGAGACUUCUUGAGGCUGGUAAGACUUUUACGGGUCAUGUUUCUCAUCGAAUUAUACUUUUUGUGGACACUGGACAGGUUCACGGCAGUCACAUUUUACCGAUAUCCAGGCUUUCUGUUUUUUAAUUGUUAUGUUUGUUUGAGCAGGAUCAUGUUGAAGGUUAUCUCGAGCUGUCAGCAAAGACUAAAACUUACUUUACCACGGCUUUUGCAAUGUGGGAUGCAGACUUCUACGUGAAAGUAGAUGAUGAUGUGCAUGUAAAUAUAGGUGAAUAUAAACCCUCUUAAAGUAUCUGAAUUGUUUUGUUUCUUGCCAUCUCAAGUUUGCGCCUUUGCUCACUUCUGUUACGGAUAUUUCUGCAGCCACGCUCGGAGCAGAAUUAGCAAGAUACCGGAUGAAGCCUCGAGUCUACAUUGGUUGCAUGAAAUCUGGACCCGUUCUUGCUCAGAAGUAAGUUGUUCACCUUCAAGAGACCACUUCUCAUUGUAAAUGUUUGUCUCACUUCCAUUUCUCUCUGAAAUUUCCAUUUUUAGAGGAGUGCGAUAUCAUGAACCCGAAUACUGGAAAUUUGGAGAAGAGGGUAACAAGUACUUCCGCCAUGCCACUGGUCAGCUCUAUGCAAUUUCCAGGGAAUUGGCGUCUUACAUAUCGAUAAACCAGUGAGUUCUUUCCCACUGCCUUGGCAAAUCCGAAAAGUAAUCUGCUUUAUGCUUAAACGCUCAUACGCUGAUUGUGUAUUAACCAAAGACAAAUUGUGUAUACAGAAACGUACUUCACAAAUAUGUGAAUGAGGAUGUCUCUUUAGGAUCAUGGUUUCUUGGAUUAGAUGUGGAACAUGUAGAUGACCGUAGGCUAUGUUGUGGUACAACAGGUAAAAAAUUUCAAGUUCCCUUAUCUAUUUCCAAGUAUGGAAUUUUUCUCGAUUCCAAUUUUAAUCAAUGAGAAACUGCAGAUUGUGAGUGGAAAGCGCAGGCGGGCAACAUCUGUGUUGCCUCGUUCGAUUGGAGCUGCAGUGGGAUUUGUAGAUCAGCGGAUCGGAUGAAGGAUGUUCAUCGGAGGUGUGGAGAAGGUGAAAAAGCUCUCCUGGCUGCAUCUUUCUGAACACAAUAACUAAAGAAACACACUGAGGAAGAAGAGUACAGAGACAAAUCCGCUCGACACAGUAGUAUAGACACACAUUCAAACUGCUCAACACUCUCUCUAUAUCUGUAUGUAUGUAUGUAUCUUGUGAACUGAGAUGAGAAGGGUGCUUUUUGCCCUCCUUUCUUGUUUCUUUAUGCCUUUUUCAAUUCUCUGAAGGUCUGGAGUUCUUUGCACCCAGAAAAUGCAGAUUUUAGCUGCAGAAGGCAGACUCUAUGAGUGCACCUUCAGAGCACUGCAUUGAGGCGAUUUCUCCGCCCUUUGAGCUUUUCUUCUUCAUUUCUUUUUGGAUUUUGCCUCUUUUGUUCCAUUUUUCUUUUGCCAUGAUUGUGGUGAAACAAGGACUGUACUUAUGCGUGUACUAAGAACACAAAACUAUCCAAUAAAGAGUAGACCAUGUGAGAAGAAAAUUAUAAGCAUAGAAGAAACUUUUCUUGGUUAAUAGGAAUGUGCACACAAUGAUUUCUGGCAGGUAUAUUCCACUUUCAGGAGAUGCAAAGAGGCUGGUAGAUCAUUUGGGAUGUCCGUUGGCAUGUAACCGAUGAACAAUGCCAAGAUCUCUAUACUUGUUAUAUCUCAAGCAUGAGGAUCAUAAAACUUUAAUAAUUACAACAUAUUUGACAGAUAUCAUAAUUCAGGAUUUUAAUUGUACAAUCAAGAACAUGUUUCCAUUUAGUUGUCCAUUGAUCUUUCGCCUUUCUCUAGCAGAUCCCUGGCAAGUUGUUGGUGUCAUCGUCAACUGGAAACAGCAAAGCGAACUGGUGAUCGUCAAGGACAAGGCUGUCCUCUGUUGUUAUCGCAGAGGAAUGCCCGUUUGAGAUCUCUUCGCUUUCACUUCCCCAGUCAAGAAGCUUUGUUAUGUCCUCAUCUUGCAUCGUAUUCAUCUGGAGACACUCGUCUUCCUUUGGUGUUAAACCUGUGUGUCAAUCAAAACAAAACAUUCAAAAACACUUGUUUUUGCAGAUUGAAGCAUUUUGAGCUGUCUGAUUAUUACCUUGCAAGGGAAAUAGAUUGUUGGAAGAACCACAAUGUCCAAAACUACCCGAGAAGAAGUUGUUGUUGUUGUCCUGGAGAGCAGCCAUGAGUUGUCUCCGCUUAGGAGCACGAAAGCUAUCAGCUAAAGCCUCGGCCUCCUCCAUAAGAUCCUCUAACAGCUGGCAGGUAUUUGUAUGCAAACUGGUGUUAAGGUUUUGGUUACAAUCACCAUUGUCUAAGAACUUGCUCACUUGAUAGACUCCUAAAGAGGUGGAGAAUGGAAUGUGGUUUGAAGAGAGCUCAUGUUUCAUGGAGUAAACCGGAUUGGUAGACUGAUAGGAGGAAAGUGGGAAAUGGGUGUUAAGAAAGGUCGGAGAAGAAGUAUAAGAGGCCUUGGGAGAGAAGGCAGUGUUGUAACAACGUUUGGGACACAGAGAAGGCGGUUGGAGAAGAGGAAAGGUAAAAGAAGAAGCGGGUGUUGGAGACGGGAGAGGUGAGGAGGGUGUGUUGGGCUGUUGAGGAUACAUUUGUUGUUGAUGAUUGCUUGGGGAAAUAUCUGGAGGGUAGAGAGGGAGGCCUUGGCGUUGGAAGCGUUUCAACCUCGUGUUCCAGUAGUUCUUGAUCUCGUUAUCUGUUCUUCCUGGUAACUAAUAAAAAGAAACAGUAGAAGAAGACAAUGGUUAAGUUUUUUGAGAGUUGGAAGAAGAAGUCGAAGCCUAGAAAACAGAGAGAAGCAAUGCAGUUUUAUGAGAUUUAUAAGUGAAGGAUUGAUAACCUGAGCAGCCAUGCGAGCCCAUUUGUUGCCGAGCUGAGAAUGGAGUUGUAUGAUGAGACGUUCUUCCUCAGGGGUGAAGGAGCCUUUCCUGAGAUUAGGUCGGAGGUGGUUAGCCCAGCGGAGGCGGCAGCUCUUACCGCACCGAGCCAGCCACGUCUUCUUCUGAACAGCAUUCCAGUUCCCUUCACCGUAUUCCCGUACAUAAGCAGCCAAAGUCUCGUCCUCCGCCACCGUCCAUGGCCCUUUCUUCAGAACCACCCGUCCACCUCCACCGUCCUCGGAUGCUCCCCCACCGUAUACGAUCAUUGCCCCCUCUGCGUCCCCGGUGAAAGGUUGAACGUCAGGGGGUUCUUAAAAAAAGAUUUGGAACCUACAAAAUGAUAUUCACCCCCUGAGUUCUUCCAUACUCGAUCUUUGUUACCUCCUCCUCUCUAACAAAUGACAAGAGCAAGAACGUUAAAGGAACAAAGAUUUAACUUUGGUAAUUUACGCGGAACCUAAAAAUAAAAAACAGAGGAUAUACGAUAUUAGAUAAAGACAGUAAGAGAGAGAGAUAUAUCUGCCAGAGUUUGUUUCUCUGGAGAGAACACAAAAAAGUCCUCUUGAGUAUAUUUGGCUUACUUUCGUAUAAAGCCAACUCAUCAUCAAAUAAUAAUCUCAAGAUCUUUUAUUUUAUUUUUAUCUACGUAAAACUAUGUUUACCAUCUAUUUUAAGCACAUUUUUACGGUCUUGUAGUGUAAAUGCAUGUGAAUUGUCUUCUUUGGAUUCAUCAAAAAGGUAUCGUUUCCUUUGGAUAAAAUAUAAUUAUUUAUUGUAAUUAACUUUGUCAUCAACACCCACGGACCACGUUGAUGUUUUGCCAUAAUUAAGCAAUAGAAAAAUGAAAAGACUCGACGUCGACGGUACAAUAGAUAAUGCCAAUAUAUAUUAAAAUUAAGGUAGAAUAAGUUUGCAUGUGAAUACAUACAAGUUGAUAUAAUAUGACUUAUAAGUUUCAAACUUUUCCAAACAACACAACUAAAAUGCCAAGUUCAUGAAAGCUCUAAAAUGGGGUUACCAAUUUGCUGCUAAGACAUUCUCGAAAUUUGUAAAAGUAUCAGAUAAAGUCUUCUCCACAUUACUCAUCAUUGUAUUCGCUACAAUCGCUUCAGUUACAAUCGCCUGAAAUCCAACCGACACAACACAUCCAGCUUCUUCAUCGCCUGAGUUUUGGCCGGGCAUUAUGGUGAAUCCACACGGAUAGGUAAUGGAGAACGAACUAUCACCGUUUAUAAUUUUCCGAAGAGAUGACUCGUCAAGAAUCGAGUGGAUCACCAUCGACGAUGAUGCCUCAUUGUAUGCUUCUUGAAGCAAAAACACCUCCGUAGAAUUAUUCAGCUGCAUGCAUUAACGUGUUAAUAAUGUUUAUGUUAGUCAACAAUAUAUAUAACUCGUUUUUGGUUUUUCAUAAGAAAUAAAAUUAUCUACGUACCCGGAAACUGAAUAGGGAGACGUCAUUCCUCGGAGUAGUGUCGUCUCUUGUGAUCCGAAGCACUUGUUUUAAACCAUUUCCAGAUAAUCGUAAGUGGUUGAAUAUCUCUCGUUUCUUCACACCGUAGAUGAAAGGAAAUAGCAUUUCCGGUUUAGCAUGUAUUUUAGCCAAACCGCUAGCGCUAAUAAUACCACAAGGGUGCCUUAUCAUGUCUGGACUCUCUCGAGUGAAAACUCUGACGUCAAACGUUCGACCCGCACCGAGCCGCCUCCAUUGGUACCCGAUUACCCCACACGUACCGGAGCAAAAUAAGUGAACCAUAUGCCUUGAUACUUCGAGCAAGUUGUCACGACCGGUCGAAUUGACUACUGCGUGAGUACCAUGCAUGGUAGUUGUGUCAGUAAGAAAACGGUUAAUCUGAACUAAUCAAAAACAAAACAGAAAAGCUUUUACUACUUGAGACAAGUUGGUUCGUGAUAUCCAUUAAUGGAACAUAAGUAGUUUUGGAGCAGUAUCGUUGUAGAGCGACGAGCCAUUUCUUUGCACCAAAUCCUAUACCAUAAGAGAGGUAAGGCCUCAACCGGUUUAGAAUUGCAUCCUCCUUGUAAACCCAGUGUUCCAAAAUUGUUACCUACGUAUGUUUAACCGAUUAAAUUAAGUCUUCUCGCCAACAUCAAAUUAGAUAAUAAUAAUAAUAAUAAUAAAAAGUACUGUACCUUUGAAUAUCCAUUUGGAAGAUGUUGAAUAAUAAAUCCAGAAGGAAAUCUGAGAAACUCAGGUCGUAAAUCGUCUGAAUAGGAGCUUAAAUACAUGGAGAUAUCUGCUAUAAUCCAUGUAUCAUUUCCUAUACGGUGACAAUAUCGGAGAACUUUUAUUUUUCGGGUCGGAAUUACCGGGGUGAUUAAUGUUAGAAACUCCAUAUCAAUCUACAUGUCCACAAACGAAAGCUAUUAUUAAAGAUAAAAUGAAUAUAAUUGAAAAUAAUAGGAUAAAUACAUUAAUCGAAAAACAUUUUAUACCAUCUUAACAUCGUCGUUGCUUGAUUCGAUUGACACAUUUCCAACGAGUGAUGGGAAAAUACUCACCCAACGCACCUAAAAAAAGUAUAGAUAGAAAAGAAAAAUAAAAUAAAUCCUAAUUCUAAUAUACAUGUAAUAAGAAAUUAACAUGAUUCAUUCUAGUUAGUUGUUCUUGAAGUUAUACACUUACAGGAUUUUCAAGUUUUCUCACAAGCCAUGAAGCAUCAACGCGGAUUACUGCAGAAGCUCUUGACGCCUCAUGGAAAAACCUUGGGACAUUUUUUGCAUACCAAGGAAAGAAUUGAGAGUAGUACUCGUUCAGAUUCAGCAUCUCUAUGUUUUCACAUUGUGAUCUACUCCACAAAGGAGACUCGGGCGUUGCCAAAGCAAUAAUUUCGUUGACUAUACAUGCCAAGACCCCCAUUAAGUUAAGCGAGUACGAGGAAAAGUUGGGUAAUUGUUGUCCCAAAAAAUCCGAUAACAUUGUGAAGGAAGUGAGUGUCUCUCUGUCAGACCGCGAAAGAGCAUUCUCGAACUGCCAUGGUUCGGUUUGGUUGAUGCUUUCAUCUUCAGAUAUCAAAUUUUCUUGAGAUGCCAUGGUCUACCUUAAGACUUAAGGGUAAUUCGUGUGACAAACAUAUAGUAAGGAAUUAAAUUUUUUGAAUAACAUAGAUAUAGCUACAUGGCCUGUCCUUGGAUUUAAAGUUACUCGAACUCUAAUUUACAUAACACACAACCACUAGACUAAGCAAGUGUUUUAAUAAUGUGGCCUUAAAAACUGGCUUAAAACAUAUGUUUUGGCUGCUUUAUGGGUGGACUGAGCCUGUAUAACUACUUUUUUUUAUUCUACUUAAGAACAUGUGUGAAUAUGACAAAGUAGAUCUUAUCCUAAUAAUUUCAAAUACGCUAAUUACAAAUGUAUGUAUAAUUUUCUUUCCUUUUGUAUAGAUGUAAGAUUCAAAUAUAAUUACAAAAACAAAAAAAAAACAAAAAAAUUGCAAAGGUUGGAGAUUACUAAUCAAAGCCUUUGAAAAAAGUUCAUUUUAAAAUUAGAUAUAGUAAUAAAUAUUGGAUCUAUAUAUUUAUUACAGAUGCUUCUAAUUUUUAAAUUAAAAAAUACAAAUUAUCAAAGAUCAAGGAGAUGAAUGAAAAGUUGUCUAUAUUUUACUAACCUGUAUCAAAUAUUUGCGAUGCAAGAACUGGUGUCUUUGGUGAAGCGAACUACAAAGGGUCUGAUUGGCGAGGAUGCAAGAAGGAAUAAUUUUUUUUCUAAAUCUACUGCAAAAAGGAGAAGUUUCUUUGUUAUCCUUUUUUUUUUUUUGUCAAACAGUUUCUUUGUUAUCCAAGAUUUAUUUUUCAAUUAAAAAAUUUUCAUUACAUAAUAAAGAAAAAACUUGUAUACUCUACAUCGACAGAGCCAAAAAUUAGUUGGUAUUUAUAGAAAAUAUAAACCGCGUGAAAAUUCUCAUAUCAAAAUUGCAUAUUUGUUUCUAUGGUAGUACUCUUAUGAUCAUUUAAUUUGUACAUUAUUUUAGUAAAUAAAUUGUAUCUAAGAAAAUAGUUAGAACUUAGUUAACUUCAUAAAUAAUAAAAUAAGUGCGACCAGAAGACAAGAAUGAAUCAAGUAAUUGAAUAAAAAUUGUAAAAUGGUUUUGACAUUUUUUUUUAGUCAUGUUCAACGCAUUAAAUAUACAAUAAAGAAAGUUAUGAACUUAAUUCAUUUUAGAUCUUCUUUUUAGGUAUUUAAAAGCUUCAAAGUAAAUUAUUACUCAAGUAAUUAUUUAUCAAGUAAAACUUUAGAGCAUCUUUAUCCAUAGUUUUUCAACAUGAGUCUCUCACAAUUGGAAAUUUAAAGAAAGUAAUACUUUGGAGAAAAAAAAAAGUAAUACUUUAUGGAGUGGGUAUUUCAAAUAGUAGAGAAAUUCACUCAAAAAGUUAAUCAACUCUUUCUCAAUUAUGAGAGACUCAAGUGAAAGACCAUCAAUAAAUAUGCUUUUAGUUCUUCAUUGUUUUAAUCUUUAAGUAAUCAUGGUGAUGAAUAAAAAGUAGAUACAUUAGAAAAGCAAACACAUAACGGAACAAAUUGAAAAUAACAUGAUUUAAAAGUUGCAUAUGUCGUUGAUAUUUCCAUUGUUGAUUAACAUUGCUUAUCUUAUGGCACUAACUAGAACAUCAUAGUGAUUUUUAAUUGCUUUAGAUCUCUAAAACGAUUUAAAUAGUGGUAAACUGAUCUUCAUUUCGAUUUCAUGAUAACACCAAAUGUUAGGCUGUAUUGUAUAUCCUCUACUCUAUAUAUCGACAAUUCGACAUGCAUUAUGAAUUGACAUAAUAUCAUUCUACGGUCUACAACGACCCUAACUAAUCUUUUGACGUAAUGAUUAGUGAUAAGAUUUUUAUCUCGUAAAAUUUUGUUUUAUUUAUUUUUUAACUACCGUAUCACAUUAUAAUUUAUAAUCUUGCCAAUGACCAAACACCGUUCCAUAGAAUAUAGAUGUAAAUCUAAUUGAUGCAUUAGUCAUAGACUCAUAGAAAUAGUAAAAAAAAACGACAUGGUCGUAGACCAAUACUCUCACAGGUUAACAGUAACCGGAACCACAAUAUGGAAUUGAAAAUCAUUCAACUCAAAUUGCAGAUCUUUUUUAGUUUGUCAAAAUUGUACAACUUUCUGUUCAUACAUUCAUCAAAAAAGUAAAAUAAAAAUUCGACGAAUUAUAGUUGGACACGUGUAAAUAUUCCGGUGACUUGCUCAAAAGUCUCUCGUAUGCGUUUGCCGAUCUUCUCGAUUCUCCAAUUCCAAACCCUAUCAUUUUGAUUCGUCCUUCCGGGUUUCCACAACGCUGCGGUUAGAUUUUGUCAAUUUCGCUCUUUCUUGAUUCAUUUUUGUUUUCGGUAGCGAGAAAUAUCUGUAUCGGAAAAAAUAUGAAUCUGAGUUUGGUUUUUGGUUUGAAAGUUCUUCAAUUUAGCUGAUUAACUAUAGAUGAGGAUGAAAAAAUCCUUCCUUUUUGUAUUUUUUCCAUUUUGCUGAUGAAUUUUUUCGACCUGUGUUCUUAAAAAAAAAAACAGAGAUUCGGUACAAAUGAUGUUGCGUGCUGUUAUCAGGAGAGCUACCACUAAAGGCUCUUCUCCUUCGGUUAGUGAUCAAUUGUGAUCUCAUCUGGUACUUACUUGAUCGAAAUGUGACAACUUUAUCUCUAUAUAUUUUAUCAGCUAUUCGGAAAAUCACUGCAAUCUUCUCGUGUUGCUGCAUCUUCCCCAAGCUUGCUAACAGGUUCAGAAACAGGGGUACGUUUUGUUUUUGUUCUCAAUCGAGAUGGUAUUAUAUGGUUAUGAAUCUUAUCAUCCAAUUUCUAUGUAUCUGUCUUUUUUCGAUGAACAAUCUAAUUAAGUUUCAUUUGAGAAUCUGAACAGGCAUUUCUGCAUUGUGGAAAUCAUGCUCGUAGCUUUCAUAACCUUGCUUUGCCAGGUUACUUUUUUAUAUGUGACUUUUGGGUUAUUUUUAGUUUCUUAAGAUUUUUGUGCUCUUAUAUGUUUGUAUCCCUCUAGCAGGGAACUCGGGCAUCUCGAGAUCAGCGAGUUUAGUUUCCUCUACCCUGCAAAGAUGGGUCAGGCCUUUUUCAUCUGAAAGUGGUAUGUAUCUUCUACCUGAGCUCUUUCUCUCUCUUUUAGUUGAGGUAUUAGGUUUGCCAUAUCUGGGAACCUAUGAUUGUUUAGAAGUAGAAAUUCAGGAGCUCACAAUUUUGACUCCAUUCUGAUGCAGAUUCUUGUGAAACUUUAGUUUUGCAAUCUGCUAUUACUGUAGCUUUGAUUGAAUUUGUAGGGAUUUCUCACUCGCUUUCUUUUUAAUGUUACUGAAGGAGAUACUGUGGAAGCUGUUGUGCCUCAUAUGGGGGAAUCAAUCACUGAUGGCACCUUAGCCACCUUUCUGAAGAGUAUGUCUCUUUUGCAUUAUCUUUUUCGGUUCUUUCUGAUGCGUAAAUAUAUAUCUAAAAGUUCUUUUGUUGGUGCAUCUGAUGAUUACCUUUCAGAACCUGGUGAGAGAGUCCAGGCUGAUGAGGCUAUUGCACAAAUUGAAACUGAUAAGGUAUCAAUAUUUAUUUUUUCUUGCUCUUUUAUCUAAAGACAUUUUGGAAAAUUUUGAGUUAAAAAUUUCAAAUACUAUCAUUUGAUAUAUCUUCUGCAAUAGGUGACAAUAGAUAUUGCUAGCCCAGCAAGUGGUGUAAUCCAAGAGGUAAAUAUGUUUGCUAGUUGUGUUGUUUUAUUUUCACUCGCUAUUAUUAUUCUCUUGUUGGUGUCUCUAUAGUUAGUCUUCACUGAGUAGACCUGUUUGGAUUGGUCUUCUAAUGCAGUUUCUAGUCAAGGAAGGAGAUACUGUAGAACCAGGAACCAAGGUCGCUAUUAUAUCAAAGUCUGAGGAUGCUGCAUCUCAGGCUACCCCCUCCCAGAAGAUACCAGAGACAACUGAUUCCAAACCUUCUCCUCCUGCUGAAGAUAAGCAGAAGCCUAAAGUGGAAAGUGCUCCUGUAGCAGAGAAACCCAAGGCACCAUCCUCACCACCUCCACCCAAACAGUCUGCUAAAGAACCGCAGCUUCCUCCUAAAGAAAGAGAAAGACGGGUAUGCAAAAUCUAUCAUUUUUCCUUGCUUCCGUCUGUAAAUUUUAAAAUGACUGUGGUCAGAGGUUAAAUAAAGUUAUGUUUGUUCCCUAAUGAGAAGCUUUACAGUCACAUGAUUGGUGAUAUGACAUCUGACAACACUGCAGGUUCCUAUGACAAGACUUCGUAAACGGGUUGCAACAAGAUUGAAAGACUCUCAAAAUACUUUCGCAUUGCUGACAACUUUCAAUGAAGUUGAUAUGUGAGUAACAGCUUAAACCCGUCAAGUUGAUAUGUCUAUAUCAGUUAUGCGAGUCCUUUUGGUGCACUGAAUUAUACUAGUCAGUUUGAUUUUGCUUGCUAAUUGUGGAGCUCUUUUCUUCGUGAAGGACAAAUUUGAUGAAGCUCCGGUCCCAAUACAAGGAUGCGUUUUAUGAAAAACAUGGAGUGAAGUUGGGGCUUAUGUCUGGAUUCAUUAAAGUAUGCAGUACCUACUUUUUUCUCGAUGUUAUUACAAUUCCAGAGUUAAAUGGUAAGAAAUAAAACAAUGUUCUUUGGUAUCUGUCUCAGGCUGCUGUUAGUGCCCUCCAGCAUCAACCAGUUGUAAAUGCAGUUAUCGAUGGGGAUGAUAUCAUAUACAGAGACUAUGUGGAUAUCAGUAUCGCUGUUGGUACCUCUAAGGUUAGUUCACAUUCACGAGCUAUCGUUGGUUUGUGCUAAAUUUCAUCCUUAAUACAUUCAUGUAUGUGAGGCUGAAAUUUUCUUGUUGUGGUCUCUUUUCCAGGGACUUGUAGUACCAGUCAUAAGAGGUGCUGAUAAAAUGAACUUUGCCGAGAUAGAGAAGACGAUAAACACACUUGCGAGGAAGGCAAAUGAAGGAACCAUAUCCAUAGAUGAGAUGGCUGGAGGAUCAUUCACCGUUUCAAAUGGCGGUGUCUAUGGAAGUCUCAUAAGCACUCCGAUCAUUAACCCUCCUCAGGUUUAAAUUUAUUUCCCAUCUCACCGGGUCUCAAUCAGAACCACUUUUUUGUUUACAAACAGCAACCUGUGGUUUUGCAGUCUGCUAUACUCGGUAUGCACUCGAUUGUGUCGCGUCCAAUGGUUGUAGGAGGAAGCGUAGUGCCAAGACCAAUGAUGUACGUCGCACUUACGUAUGAUCACAGGCUGAUUGAUGGUAGAGAGGCUGUCUACUUCCUGCGCCGUGUCAAGGAUGUUGUGGAGGAUCCACAAAGGCUUCUUCUUGACAUAUAAAAAAAGUCGGUUUCGGGGAGUCAGGAAGUGUAUGGCUUUUUGCCAGUUAUAGACCUGCAGUGUCUUUAAAACGUUUGGGAGGGUAACAACAAUUUUUUCUCUUUCAAGUUUCUUUACAGUUUCCUGAAUAUUGCCGGAUGGGAAGGCUUCAGUGUCUAAGUUCUUAUUUGUUACACCAUAUGUUCAAUUUUGACUGAAUAAAAUGACCCUUUUGAGGUUCUUCGACUUGAAUGAUUUUUCAUGACUCAGAACAUACCUUCGGAAUUCUUCCUUUUCUUUUUUUUUUGUAGGCCUCAUAUGUUUUAUAAAUAACAUCUAGACGAGAGAGAAGCAAUAUGCUUUCUUUGUAUUAAAUAGAAAUUAACAUUUUAUAAGAGAGAACUGAAACGUAAAUAAUUUUAGCAUACUUUGCUUUCUUACUUUCAAGGGAAAAAUCCAUAAAUUGUAUCAUAGUCUUACUGUCAACAAAAGGAAAUCAACUAUAAGAGGAUUCACUCAGAUCUGUUAGAUCUCCGAUGGUUCCGACUUAUAAUAAUUUAUUGAAGGUAAAGAUUCUAUCUUCUUGUUGAAUGUGACAUGAAUCAUGGUAACACGCAGACCAGGAAAUUCUCAGAUCCUGACUUCUAUGCGCUCCUCUUGUAAGUGUUCUUUCACAGAUUGGAUUGGUACCUUAAUAGAAUAAUAGUGUUACCAGGUAUAAGAUUUUGCCAAUAGGUUUUAACAAGAGUAAAAACGGUUACCUCUUUCCGGUGGAAAAUGCCGGCAGCAAGCGCGGCAGAUGCGUUUGUCUUCUCAAACACCUCGGAAAAGUGCCUGGGAGUACCUGCUCCACUGCUUGCGAUCACCGGUAUGCCUACUGAAUCUGAGAUGAGCUUUACUAAGUCUAUGUCAAAUCCUUUCCCUUGACCUGAAACUCGCAGAAAAGGAAGGCAUCAUAAGGAGAUAAAAUUUUUGAAUACAUUGAUCUUUAACUCCAACAGCAGUGGCUCAAUAGGUGGUUGUGUGUGCUUUUGAUUUUCGUGGAUCAUAUUUACUUCUCAUUGCAUGUAAAGGUGCUCCAAAAUUUCAGAUAUGAAACUAAUUCAAAGAUUGAAGGACUUUUCGAGUGUACCAUCACAGUCUAUGCAGUUCAAUAGUAUUUCACCAGCACCUAAUUCUUCAACCGCUUUCGCAAGCUCAAAUGCUCCAAUAGGCCGACCUUCUCGUCCUCCACUGACCUUUUAGUUGAGAAACCAAUAGUUAAGGAAUGAUACAAACCGAUUAUAAACUGUAAAGGGUGUCUCAAAUUUUACCGUGCACUGAUACCAGGCAUAUUCUUCUCCAUUUGGGCCUAACACCAGCAAGAUUAAAUCCCGGUUAUUACAUGUAUGCAAACUUAUGGGGAAACUCUAGUCAAUGUGACUGUGCUGUUUGUAUAGUUCAAGCAGCUCAAGGCUAUUCAACGAAAACUAAAAUAAGAUUGACGCAAGAUGAACCAUAUCAUGUCCCUUAGGAAAAUAAAGUUCUCAGUUGACAUAGCAAUAAUAAGUUAAUAACAUUUGCCUUGUAAUUUUAAUGCAUAAGAACGCUCAACUUUUUCCAUCUAAUGCAUGAUAUGUAGCCACCCUACAUAAUAUUCCUUUGAACCAUGAAAAAGUAAAUAUAAGAGAGGUGGGAACACCAGCAUACCUGGAUUAGUUACUCUGAUGACUUUGUAUGGCACAUCAUCCGGAUGGUUCACAUAAACUCUACGAGGAUCAAUACUUACAACCACUGCCUGUGGAGAGAAAAACUCUAUCAAAUAAGUGCAAUUUCUCACAAAAACUAGGGAACAUGAGAAACAACUAUCUAAACGUAGUCAAUUCACUGUUUACUCCAUCUGUAACUAAGAUAUUGAUAUCCUAAUGUAAAGCAACUAGUAUCCCUUUAUUUUCUGCAAGCUGAGGUCUAAGAAAAAAGAAAGCCAAUUGUUCUGAACUGUUAAGCAAUUACCUGAUUUCCAUAAACUCUGGAUAUCUGUUCUAAACUACUCUUUCCUGUCUUCACCUACAAGAACUCGGAAAAAGGGAUAAAAUGAUCCUUCCAUUUUUAGAUACUAUAGCAUGAACAACAAGUCGGAUAAAUUAGACGGGCAAUUACAAACUUACCCCUGAUUUUAUGAACUCCUCUGCAGCGUAAACAGCGUCACUUCCUAUGGAGAUCUUAUCAGCACCGGAUCUGAAAUACUCAGCAGCAACUUCCAAGCUAGAAUAGUACCUGAGUCAAAGUAACUUGAUAUUAAAUUGUUGUAGAGAAUAAAAAUUGCAAGGUCCUUGCUGAAAUAAAAAAGAACAUAAUGCUUGCACAGACAUGUUCACAGAAACAUGCUGAAAAGAUUAACAUGUACCUGCCACUAGCAUCUGUAAAGUCUCUAAUACCACCUCCAACAGUUAGUGGUACAAAGACAUUCUUUGAUGUGUGCCUCAACACCUAUAAAGUAUGAAAAGUGAUCUAAAUCGGAAAUUACAGGGAAGGUGCGGAAGUAAGACUUAAAUUCUACUGAGAACGGAAAAAUUUUAGGUACCUGAAUCAUCGGCAAAUCCCCUAGAGGAAAAUCGCGGAAUCCAGUGAUGUUUAAAAAGCUAAUCUGAAAACCCACAAGCAGCACGGUAAAGCGCCAAACCAAAUCUAGAAAAAGGUGUCUUGGAGCCAUUCACAUAAUAUUGCAAGGAGAUCAUAUACUGUCAAAGUAUACCUCAUCUGCACCAUCUUUGUAAUACUGCCCCGCCAAAUCAACCGGUUUGCCAAGGUUUCGAACCUGCGCAAGAAAAAGGAAUGAAUCCAGAGCAUUGUUACAGACGUUAAUAAUUAGCUAAACCCAACAGCUUUAAGGUAAUAUAAGGACGUAUCACAAAAACAUCCAAAUAUCAACAAUGUUUUAUAUUUUCACAAAGAACACAUCCCAGGAUAUGACAUUUAAGCAACAAUUUUCAACAAACCUCAUUUUCAUUAGAUUGCUCUCUCACAUCAUACUGAUCCCCUUUAGUAACUACGAGAUCUCCUUUAUCAUUCGUCCUCACAUCAAGACAAGCAAUCACCUAAAGAAAAACAAAAUAUUAAUAGAAAAACUCCCUACCAGAAUAGUUAAGAGAAAAGACAGCAAUGUUGUAGAGGAGACAGACUUCCAAUGAUAACAGGACAAACUUAUUACCCUCUUUGCAAGUUUUGAGGCCUUCCCUUCCAUUGGCUUCUGUCUUCAAGUGAAUUGUGGUUUCCAUUAGACACCAAAAAAUCAGGAAUUACAUUGUACAUGUAAGGCUAGAGUGAAAUCUACCUGUGUUGCAGGUAAUUUUGGAUGCAAGAACCUUCUCAAAACAGAAAGCCCCACCUCUGAAUAGUUCCAGAUUCAGAAUUAGUACGAUACCAAAUAUGAAAACAGACUCUGAAUAAGAGAAAAAAGAUGUCAACAAAAAAUUGACUAGACUAUCAUACCCCCGCUCUUCUCAGGAUGAAACUGGACUGCAUGCACAUUUCCCCUUCUUAUGGAAGAUAUAAAUGAUUCACCAUAAUUGCAGGUAGACGAAAUCCAGUCCUUAUUUUCAUCUGACUACAGAAAUUAUGGAACUAUAAUUAUCACAUGCAUGUAGAAGAAGAGAAAGACAAUAUGGUACAUAUACGAAAAUGAAAGAAAAAAAGAAGAGAUUAUUUAGAUCCAUACUGGAAUGGCCCGGUACGAAUGAACAAAAUAUACAUGACGAUUUCCAACAUCAUCCAAAAUUUCAGAAUCCUUCCCCACUUGCAACGCAUUCCAGCCAAUGUGGGGUACUCUUAUACCAGCUGAAGAAUCAAAGCGUCCAACUAUUCCCGGUAUCACGCCAAGACCUUUGACUGGCAAAAAUAUACACCAUGAAAACACAUACUAUCAUAAUGUAGAUCAUGUUGAAGGAGAGAUUCCUGAAGAAAUAAUAUGAAGAAGGGGCAAUCGAGCUAAACCUGGUCCAUUCUCCUCACUAGACUCGAAAAGUAGUUGUAGCCCAAGACAUAUGCCGAGAAAGGGACGGUCAUUCUCAAUAUAUGUGCACAAAGCUUCAGCCAUCCUGCAAACGUCAAAGAACCAAAAUCGUAUAUGAAGAAUUAGAGAAGACAUGUUCAUUGUAAGUUUUAUGAACAACUCGGAAUGAAAAGCACUUAAAAUUAUGAGUUAAGCAUGAAAUGUGGUUCCAAAUUUGCUACAAUUAAAAGACCUCUCUAACCUCGGACAGUAACAAGUAAGCUACUUCGAGCAAAUUGAUAACAUACAAUUAAUCAAAGAGAGAAAUCCACAGAGCUUAGUAAUAAGUACCCAGUUUUGUUAAGUACAUCCAUGGCGGGUGCAAAAGCUCCAACGCCGGGAAAGAUGAGGCGAUCAGCAUUCAGAAUGUCUCCCGGCGUUUGAACCUAACAUUUCAAGUUCCCAAAUGUAAUCACUUUCAUAUCAUUCUUUCCCUAACGACGCAUAAGAGAUCACUACAUUUCCCAGAAAUAAAAUUGGAUUCAAAAGCCUACGUCUUUGAUGCUGAACCCGAGAUGACGAAGAGCAUUGCGGAUGCUUCGAACAUUCCCAGCUCCGUAGUCAAGCAAAGUCACUGCUACGCAACAAAGAGACAGAGUAAAAAAAACAAAGCUUCAGCAUAAAAAGACUAAUCAAAAUUUUAGUAUAACAGGGCAAAAUAAAACAAUAGCAAAUACCAGAAUCGGAGGAAGAAGAUGCACGGACGGAGAGGCUUCUGGGAGAUUUGAAUUUGCGAUUACCAUUGCCAAUGUUCUUCUGGAAGAGGAAUAAAGAAGCCGGAGAAGAAGCGCGAAUCGAAGAAGAUGAAGGAAGGUUUUGUCUGGAAGAGACAAUUGACGAGAAUGGCGCCGCCGUAGCCUCCAUUGAUAUCAAACUCACUCACUGCUUCGAUUGCUAAUUCAAAAGGUCGUCGUCUCUCGUCACUUUGUCAACACUUCACUGACGACGUCGUUUUCCCUCGUGUAGCGUUGUUAUGGGCUUUUAUGAACUUCUCUUAAACGGACAUAACGGGCUUGGGCUUCAUUUGACUUUUACAAGAGUGAGUAUUUUAGAUCCCAUGCUCUAGUUAUUUAUAACGGAUAAAAAAGUGGUUACUAAAAUAAAAUACAAGUUAUAGAAGAAACAAAAAACUUACAAGUUAUGUAUACGGUAUACCAUACAUAGGAGAUACAUGUCUCUUAGAAACAACAACAGCAAAAUAUUAUUUCAAACACCAGUUUGAAUUUGAAGUGAAAUUAAAUAUUGGAAUGGAUAAGGGCUUAGGGUCUAUGUAGUACACCAACUCCAGCCAUCCAAUGCAAGGCAUGAAAGAUGAGCAAAACAAAAAAGGACAAAAUAAAAGGUUUACAUAUGAUAUUACUAUUAUUGAGUGUGUUUGCCAACAAUAACUCUUCCCAUCCUUUUUCUCAAGUCAACUCUUUUUAAUACAUCUUCUAUCUGAAUCAUUUCUAUAUAAUGAUUUCGUAACAUGUUCUAGUUCUUACAAGACAUUUAUAUUACAUCGUACAUAAAUUGAAAUUUUGAUGUAGGUUUUUGGAUCGGUUGAAUUAAUAUAUUUUGGAUUGGAGAACAUCAUAACAUGUGCUUUGUGUAGGUAAACUUAAUAACCUUUUUCACCAUAGAAUUUAAUUGCACUAGUUGUGGAUAUUUGUGUAAUGUUGGGAUGAGGUGGUCAAAUUUGGGCAUUCACCGGCCCUUGCUACUAUCAACAAUUCACAAACCACUACGCAAGGCCGGCUCUGAGUCCAGCAAAGUGACACAUAGGCUUAGGGACCCCAUAAUUUCCAGUUGUUUUUAUUUAAGAAAUAGGCUCCAAUUUUAUAAUUUUUUUUGCAAAAGAAGCCACCAAUUUUAAAAACCUUUAAACUACUCUAAAAUUUGUUUGGGCCUCCAAAUUUCAGGACCGGCCCUGCCACUACGAAAAUCAAAAGAUAGAAAAAAAAUGAGAUGACAAGUCAUUUUGGUAUGUUAUGCGUUUGAUGAAUGUCAUCAGGACGUCAUCAAUGAGUCAUCAAUCAUCAGCAUCAACUCUUAAGUCACAAAGAACUUAUUUCUACCUGUGAUCAGUUUUCAUUUUGUAGGUAAACUAUAUUAUAUGUUAUGCGUUUAUGAAUAUUAAAGAUAUUGGCAAUGAGAUGGUAAGACAAUGGUUUGUAUAUUAUUAUUUUAUUUUAUUUUGUAAUAUUAUUAGCUUACAACAGUUCAGAUCAAUAUGUUUUAAUGAUUUAAAAGGAGACAUAUACUUAAAUAUAAAAUAAUCAAUUCAAAGUAAUUGUACUAUACAUAAUACAUUUAUACAAGUGAAAGUGAUUUAGAGCUUUUGUCGACCAAAUUAAAGAUAUUAUUCUAUUAAGUGGUGUUCUUAAAUUGUUGUAUUUGGAUAAGUACGGGAAGAAAAACAUAAUUUAUGUUUCAACAAAUUUCCACAAACGGUACCUAAUAAAUUGUACGGCAUUGAUAUAAACUAAUUUGUUUUGUUAGGUAUCGGUGUCAAAGUAGGAAUGUUCUGCUCCAAUGAUCAUGUAUAUAGAGUAGAACUAUCAACUAUCAAGACCGACGAGAUUGUCAGUGUCGGUGUAUGUGUGCUUUUAGAUUUCAGACGGUGAAAGUUGACGAAAGUGAUUAGUCCAGUUUAUUUACUUCUUCAAAGAUGUAUUUUAGUAAGUAAACGUGGACUUUGAUUUUGUACUCCCCCAAAGAGUCGUCUGCGUUCACAUAACGGGGUCUUAUGCGGUUUAGGUAAACACACAAGAAUUUGUAUUGAAAUGACUUCGCCUCUAGAUAAUUGUUGGACCAAAUACAGAUUGAAUUCGUCUAUUGUCAAUCUCAUUGAUUUAAGCUCCAACAAGACAAGUUGAACAAAAAAAAAAAAGAUAUAAUUUGAAUUGUCUUACACAGUCGUACGUAUAAUAGUAAUCGUUAGCACAUACCCUAACGGCUAACGCAUAUGUUGCAUAGGAAAGAUUGAGUAAUGUAUUUACAUAUUCUUUAAUUUUGAACACAUGGGCAUUGUUCAUUGUUUCAUAAGACUUGGUUAGUGGAUUAAAAAUGAGCUUGCAAUUUGGAAAACAAUUAUUUUUUUUAGUAUGAAACAAAUUCUUUAUGGAUACAUUUUUAUCUUCAUCACUAAAAUAAUAAAAUGCAAUUAAAUUUCCUUGAAUAGCAACAUUAGAGUAGAAAUUAUUAAUGAUGUCGUCAGAGGAAUAUUCCGAGAACAAGCUGUCUUGAUUCGAAAUCCAAUCUUCAUCUUCUUCCAUCGACGACGUUGUUUCAACGCAAAUCACGUCAUCGUCGCCGUCGCGUUUCUCGGUUUCUUCAUAUUCAUCGCCUCUCACUUGAAUCCAUCCGUCGUCUUCUUCAGUAACCCAAUCGGGUAAGCUUAAAAAUUCAUCUCCGGCGAGUUUCUCGAUCCGUUUAGCCGGUGAACCCCAAGAUUCCGAGUAAUCAGCAAAAGGGUCUUCGUGAUCCAUCGAAAUUAAGUGAGUUUUCGAGGUUUCGCAUGAAUCCCAGAAUCGUUGAUCCAACACUGUGCUUGGAGAAGAAGUCUUGUUCUUCAAACAAUCGCUUGUCUGAGAUUCUUCUUCGUCGUUGAGAAAUGAAUGUUUAAGCAAUUCUUCCACAGUCCAUCUCUGUUUUGGAUCUUCCUUCAAACAAUUAUUCAAAAAGUCUUUAGCUUUCUCCGAUAUCCACCCAGGAAUCUCCGGCGACUCACCAGAGAAUCCAAUCUUAUACAUUGCAGCAACGACGUCGUUUAGCUCCGGCCAAGGAUUUGAUCCAGUCAUCAUCUCGAUCACUGUACAUCCCAAAGCCCACACAUCAGCCGGAAACCUCUGUUCUUCACCACGAGCAACUUCUGGCGCCAUAAACGCCGGUGUACCGGAAAAUCCCGACUUGCCAACUGAUUUAGCACAUCCCAUAUCGGCGAUUUUCAAAACGCCGUUUUCCUCAACCAGAACGUUCUGGCUCUUCAAGUCGCAGUGAACAAUCCCUCUCUCGUGAAGAUACACCAAACCGUUAAGAAUUUGACGCGUGUGUGAUCUUAUCUCCGGCUCCGGCAACUUCCCGCCGGAAUUUUUGAUUAAAUCGUGAAGACUCCCGCCGGAAACGUACUCCAUCAGUAUAUUGUACACCAAUCGAUCGUUCUCGUACGUUAAACCAGAGCCGAUGUACUUGACUAUGUGAGGAGAGCUCAAUGUAGACAAGAAUGAUUGCUCUUUCUGCAAGAACGAUGAAGAAGAUAAGUCGGCAGAUUUAACGGCGAAGAUCUCACCGGAGCUUGAGAUUGCUACUGAGACAGUGGCGGUGGAGCCUCGACCGAUGAUUUGUCCUCUUUUCCAAUUAAUCUCCAUUGGAACAGAGCAAAAAACAGAGAAGAAUUUAGGGAGUGGGGGAAAUUGUUGGGACUAAGGUUUUUUUUUUUUU
Molecule: long non-coding RNA, 120690 nt
Filed under: Arabidopsis lyrata
Lineage: Eukaryota; Viridiplantae; Streptophyta; Magnoliopsida; Brassicales; Brassicaceae
Description: long non-coding RNA (ALYR_LNC000805)
Source: RNAcentral